RNAcentral lists this long non-coding RNA (92213 nucleotides) under Triticum aestivum (bread wheat). Its description in RNAcentral is "long non-coding RNA (TAES_LNC012647)". The stretch from base 827 to 950 matches the Rfam family "MIR1120/MIR1122 microRNA precursor family". Lineage: Eukaryota; Viridiplantae; Streptophyta; Magnoliopsida; Poales; Poaceae. The record is from RNAcentral.
GGCGAUGUGCUGUUUGAGGAGCGUGAAUCCAGGGGCACAAUACGCGGCAAGAUCCCAUCCUAGCAUCCUUCCGUGCUGGAAGAUGAUGGCUGGUAGUGGAUCGGGUGGAUAUAUAUUUUUUGUCGCUAGAGGAUCGAGUGGAUCUUAGCCUGAUAAGCUCGGCGCCUAGAUAUCAUACUCUUUUUUUUUGCAAAAAACCGUGAUACUGUACUCUGCUUGCAUAUGAAUAUGACUACACUUUAUCAAAAAAAAAUCAAUGAGCUUGACUUGGCUGUAAUUUGUGUUUGUUUAAUUUUUAAUUUAAUGAUAUGAGCAGAAAUCUUAAAAAAUGUAUUUGUUUCAAAUGUUAACAAACAAAAAAUAAUAGGUAUUGAACGUCAAAAUAAAAUAAAAAUAGUAGGUAUUGGUCUAGACUAUAAUUAGUGGGCUAAAGAUUUCUAAUGAAAUUGAUGGGGCAAAAUAUUAAUUGGGCCACAACUACAACGAGUGGGCUAAGAUUUUAGCUGGGCUGAUGAUCACAUGGGCCGGAACUAAAAGAAUGGGCUAGAAUCCUAUAUGGGCUGACUACCAGAUGGGCCGCCAUGUCGGAUGAUGACGUGGCAUGCACGUUAACGUCCUUAUUAGCACGUCUGUUAAGUGCCAUCUGUGACGGUCAAGAGCCGUCAUGGAUCCAUGACGGUAUUGGAAGAUCCGUCACCGAGCGCAUGGUGGUCAAAUUAUGACGCGAUAUACAUGACAGAUUUUAAAUCCGUCACGCAUGGCCAUCCAUGAUGGUUUUGUGCCCGUCCACGACAGUUGGAAUCCGUCAUGUAUUAACAGAUUUCUUGUAGUGUUCCUCCGUCUGGAAAUACUUGUCCGGGGAAUGGAUGACUCUAGAUGUAUUUUAAUUCUAGAUACAUCCAUUUAUAUUCAUUUCUUGGACAAAUAUUUUCGGACGGAGGGAGUAUAGUAUACAGCGCAGCUUUUGAAAAUAAAUGUUUGCAAAAGUGUUGCCGAGAAGCAACUUACACGGCCCCUUUCGGACACUCUGGAUAGUCUAUACUAGUAUAUAUAAUGAAGAUGUAUCCGUGAUGCUUGUGACAUUCCCAUAUUUGUCCGGUGAUGUUUGCAUAGACUAACGUGGACAGAAUCUUCAAAUAUGGCAAAGCUAAUUAAUGCACGUGUCAUCGACUCAACCCUCUGUUGCUUAUCUGUCAUGCCUCUCUUACUAGUUUUGUUGAUUUGUGCAGCUUUGAAGAUGGAUUAAUGAAAGACGGCGGCAAUGACCUAUGAGUGCGUCGGACCGAUUUGUGCCCCAGACCCAGUAUGUGGCUUGGUCGGGGCCUCCGGCUUUAGAUGUUAGGCUAGGUAAGAAGUCUGGGUAUUCGACUCACACUUUUUGCACCCCUUUAUCAAUGGAUACGAGUAGUGACAGAUGUUGUCAAGAUGGUGGCUUCACACGUAUUGAUGUAUUACUUUGUAAGGUCUUUGUGAAUAAUUAAUAAAGUGGCUGCAUGCAUCUUUGAGAUGCCGAGGCCGGGGGUCAUCCUCCUUUUUUUAGAAAAAUAUUACCAUCCGUUCCCAAAAUUUGGCCUCUCACAAAAUGCAAGACGUAUUUAAUUUCACUAAGACAAUAUCUUUUUUAGUGACACUAAGACGAAUCUCUGGUCGCUAAUUAGUUUUUAUGGGAAUUAUUUUGUUUGUUAUCUGUUCCAUGUGACAUAAAGAAUACGGCAUUAAGUUCAUCAAAUAGAAUCAUACUUAUAAUCAAUUAUAAUACAUAUUAAGUCGUUUAACACCUCUUAUUACACCAGAUUAGACCAGAACAAUAUGUGAUUCAUUCACCGCACACGAUCGACAGAAGGUGACCGUUUGUGAUGAGCUAUAGUAAAAAACGCUUGUGUGUGACCUGAUUCACAUCGCACACGACGUAUCAUAGCCCUUCGUUGAUAUAAUGAUGCACAAAUCUUUUGCGUGUUCCCAAAAAAUUGUUGCUUACGAUGUGGCCUGUCACAUCAAACACAAUUUUAUGCAAUUGGGCAUAUGCCCACAUGGUUGCCCGUACGCAAAUGUCUCAUGUGGAUAUGGUUGAGGUUGGGUACCAGGCGACUUAAUGCACAUUCAUUUGGAGUAGGGUGAGCAAUCGAUGACACCUAGCUAGUGAGAGAGGCGGCGAUGGUGCCUAGUCGGAGCGGUGCAACUAUAGCGAAGCUUUUUGAGGGCCUACUCGAUGAGUUCUUUUAAUCUGUACCACCCCCCUCCCCUCGAAAAAAGUGAUAACCAAUACCUUCUCCGUCCUUCAAGAAGUGUACUUUCAACUUUGUUGGAAAGUCAAACCCUUUUACGUUUGACCGUCAUGUGCGCAUAGCCGCACCGCAGAGAAAGAAACUGGCUGCGAAUAUGUGGACGAGGUGGCGGCCAGCACAUCCGCGCCCGCCGCCUUCAUCGAGGAGAAAUAGAACACGGGAGGCCACCGUCGCUUGGGUCCCAGGAAGGGCAUUGCUGGUUACACAGUCGGUUCUCCUUUACCUUAGACCAUCCUGGACACCCGCCAAUGCUCCACGGAAGCACACCCUUCCGCUCUGCUUGAAGCACCCUCUUAGUCGCUCCGAUGAGCGGCACAACCCAAUAUAGAGAAGAUACGAGGGAAGAAUAUGCCUCCGGGGCUCCCGACAAUCCGGUUAGCGGACUGCCGAACAUGGAAAAGACAAGCCGCGGCCGUCCGUAGACUAGUGUAGUGUAUCCGUUUUGUAGGAGUGGAGCUCCGCGCGACCGUACAUGCACAUAGUUUUAGCUUUUUAACCGUUAUCAUCUGGUUUGUAUGAAACCCGUCAUGUUUGUAUGAAAUCCAGUCGUGUUUGCAUGAACUUAUCCGGUUUGUUGAAAAAGAGUUUGGUAUGUAUGCGGCUACGGUUGAAUGGCAUCCUCCCGCAUCCAUGACCGAACCGUAACUACCGGCGCUUCUCGACCACGCCAACUUGCCAAGUCACUGUCCUGGUCAAAGCGCACGCACUGGAUGGGCUGGUGGUCAAGCAUACAGAAAGAUUAUCCGACCAAAAUUUCUUUCUGAGAGAGAACCAGCUGGUGAAGCUGCAGGUAUAGUGAACCAAACAAACAAAAAUGCUUGCAACAAAAGGCAAGCAAGGCAACAAUCAGCACCUACACGACACUGAAUGCAGGACCGAGCGUUAGGGUAUCUCCAACGGUAAUCCGCAAAUUUUCUCCCGCAUCCAUGACCGCGGUAUUUUUGUUUGUUUGGUUCACUAUACCUGCAGCUUCACCAGCUGGCUCUCUCUCAGAAAGAAAUUUUGGUGGGAUAAUCUUUCUGUAUGCUUGACCACCGGCCCAUCCAGUGCGUGCAAUUUGACCAGGACAGUGACUUGGCAGGUUGGCAUGGUCGAGAAGCGCCGAUAGUUAUGGUUCACUGGGUUUUUACUUUUGCUCCAGUUGCCUCCACCGGACUCUACUCACGGUGGGUUGCCGGAGAGUAAAGCUACGGCGUGUUCGGCCGUGGGCUUUGACUGGCCCUUCUUUCUGUUCUGGAUGGAUGUUGUUGUUUGCAUUAUAGAGUUGGCGCCGAACAUUCUUGAACUCACAGAGCAGUGAGUUAAAAGAUAGGAGUAUCUUCAUGGGCAUGGCUGGUGUGCAGAUUAUACUAACGACGAGUCUUCUUCUUCUGGGGGCUAUAUUUCUCCUCCAUCUUGCAGUAGGCGAUCGCCACAUGAGCCGGUCCAAUAUGGGUAGCGGUUUUUGGAAGCUUCUAUGACCGGUUUGACCCGCUUUUUAUCAUUUUUCUAUCAGUUUUCUAUGUUUCUUUAAUGGUUUUAUUUUUCCUUUUUAUUUCUUCUUUCUAUUUCACAAAACAUGUUCUACUUUUUUCGUAUACAUCAGCAACAAUUUUCCUUUUUACCUUUUUAUUAGAUGUCAAGUACAAUUUUGAAUGGUAUAAAAUGUUUUUAAAUAGAAUAAUGGUUUUCUACAUUGUAUAAACAUUUUUAAAAUAUAAAAAACAUUUUAGUGAAGCACAGGAACUUUUUAAAUGUCACAAACAUUUUUCUUGAAUGCUACUAAAAGUUUUUAAAGGUCGUGCAACAUUUUUUGAACACUGCAUGACCAUUUGUUAAUGAGUUGUAAACUUUUCCAAAAAUUUAAAUACUCAUACAACAUUUUCCAUUUCAGAAAUGUAAGUAAAAGUAAUAAAAAUAAAUAGGAAGGAAAAAGAAGCGGAGGCUCCUCCUACGCUGGGCCGAACCACUAAGGUAGCGCUAGAGGUGACCGCCUCUUUCUUCUCGCUUGAAGCGAGACAAAGCGAAAGCAACUAUUUGACGAGCGCUUCUUCAAAACCCUCACAACAAUCAUUUGGGGGUGUGCUGAGAGCGCGCCACUUGGGGCACUUUUAGUCGCCGCCAUGUGUCGCGCUCUAGGCGCUCCCUCCGAUUUUUAUUUUAUUUUUCCAUACAUGUUUUCGCCUUUUUAAACGGUUUUUUCUAGGGUUUUUUUUUUGAAUUUUUAGUUUUCCACCAGUCUUCCUUAGUUUUUGGAAAAACAAUCAAAAAAUUUACACGAGAAAACACAUUUUUUUCCUUUCGAUAGAGGCACAAUUUUGCUUCCGCGAGAGGCACAGCUAUGCCUCUCGAAACGAAAAAAACAUGUUUUCUAUUAUUAUUUUUCUUUCGUGAGAGGCAAGGCCGUGCCUCUUGGAAACGAAAAAAGAAGUGUUCUCUAUUUUUUUCCUUCCGCGAGAGGUAUGGUUUGUCUUUCACGAGAGGCACGAUUGUGCGUCCGUGAAAGGUACGAGCGUGCCUUUCGGAAACGGAAAAAAUGCAUUUUCUGUUUUUUUAUCCGUGAGAGGCACAGUUUUUGUUCCGUGAGAGGCACGGUUGUGCUUUCAGGAGAGGCAUGGCUGUGAUUCUCUUGGAAGGGGAAAAAACGUGUUCCCGGUUAGGGUUUUUUGUCCUUUUUUGUGAAAAAGAAAGUUCGUCAAAAUCUAUCAAUACGGAAUCUAGUUUUGAAGAUAUCAGCGUGAGAAUCCAAUGGUGAAAACAGUUCGAGAUUUGGACGCUAGGUUUAAGAGAUAAAACCUUUUGAUUAAAUGGAUGUAUGAAAAGGAGGAAAACUCUCAGAUUGCGAUAAAUGGCAUGAGGAAAUGGGAGUGAUCUUUGAAAGGAGUACUCUUAAUCAUUUUAAUCCGUGAUUUCGAGACAAAGCGCUCCCAGUCUUCUUUAGCUCACUUUAGCUCACUAGGCCGUGUUGGGCUUAAUAUUUAAACCAGGGCUCUGUACAGCGUGCGUCGAGUGCGCGUCAAGGUCUCGCCUGUAGCGAUAUUAAAACGCGGCAUCGACUAGGAAGUCCUUUUUGUGUUAAAUUCAAUAAUAUGUACGUGUUGGCUCGUUCAUUUUUUUCCUUUAUUUGUAUUUUGAAAUAUUCUACACACACAUAGAGACAGAGAAGCAGAGAGAGAGAGAGAGAGAUGAAAAUGUUCAACUCACACUAAAAUAUGAUGAAUUACAUAAAAAAUGUUCAUGACAUAUAGAAAAAUAUUUUCACAUGUUUAAAAACAUGUUCAUCGAAUUUUCACAAAAAACUAAUGAAAUGUGAAAAGUUGUUUGCAUAAUUUUUUAAAAUGCUUGUAAAAUUUUAAAAAUGUUCACAUGUUUAAAAAUAUGUAAAUGCUAUUUUCAAAUAUAUAUUAAAAUGUAAAAUUUUCUUUGUGUAAUUUUUACAAAACGUCCUACCAUUCAAAACAUAUUAUAUGAUAUUUAAGAAAAUGUGUUAGUGUUACAAAUUGGUUCAUGAAAUUUUAGAAAAUAUGCAUGCAAUGUUUAAUUUUGUUCGUAUAGUUUUGAAAAAGUUCUUCAUAACAUAUCAAAUAAAAUAAUGACAUUAAAAAGAAUUUCAACACUACUAAAGAAUGUUUGCAUCAUUAAAAAAAUGAUCACUAAAUAUUUGAAAAAUAGUUCAAUGUGCAUUUGACAAAUGUUCAACUUGUAUUCAAAAAUAAUUGUCAUGUAUUUAAAAAAUUCACAACGUGCGUCUAAAAAAUGUUCAGUGUGUAUUAAUGAAAAUUUGAAAGGUACUUGAAAGAAUAAAAAGGAAAAAAAGAAAAAAGCGAACAACCAAGAAAAGGAAUGGCCCUGGUGACGGCAAAUGUGUGUGGUGCGAUCAGGAUGACUCAUGUGACCAUAUCACUUUUCAGUGCAUCAUCGGCCGGUUUACCUGGAGCAUAUCGAGGGCGGCUACCGGUUGCUCCUGGAACCCAAGUAAUUUCUCGGACGUGUAUCUCCUUAUUUAUUUAUUUUUGAGGGGUAAAACACACUUUAUUCAUCAAAGUUCACAUGCAGUGGGAUACGUCUCUGGUCAUAGGGCUGUCCAAACCACACAUGGCGUCCCAGACCUUUUGACAAAGCAAACUUAGCUAAGUUAUGUGCUUCAUAGUUUGGAGCACGACUCUCAAAAGUAAAAAUACAAUGAAAGGUAGUAGCUCUAUGGUUUAUCUCGUUUAUAAUUGACGCAUAUCCUCCCCGUGUACCCAUGUUGAUGUCCUGGAUUACCUGUCGGCAGUCUGAUGCAAUAACAAACUCUCUGAUAUUGAGGUCCUCCGCUAGCGCCAUUGCCUCGCGACAUGCGAUCGUUUCCAGAGUGGCUGGAUCGAGGGUUCCUUCGAUGACCAGAGCCGAGCCUCCAACAUAGUUACCAUUCUCAUCCCUGCAGACCGCCGUCGCCGAACCCCCACGUGAUCGAACUGCAGCAUCGGCGUGGAUUUUGCAAAAUCCCGGUGGUGGCCGUUUUGGUCUUUGUUGUUGCCCCGCCGGGGUUCCGGUGGCUCUCCUGGGCCUUUGUUGCUUAUUGCUCAGUACUCCUAGCUCAUCGAUAAAGCGGUGGAUGAACAUGUGUGUCGCUUGGGGGCUUUGGAAAAUUCCUUCAUGAAUAGCCUUUCGGCGAGCAUGCCAUAUUGACCAUAAAGUGACCGUCAUGAGUAUGAACUCGUCGUGGGAGAGUAAGUCCAUCAAGGUGAAUAACCAAUUCUUCGCAUUGGGCUCUGUUGUAGCUGUGAUUUUAUGUGUUACUUCUUCAUCUGUCAAAGCCCAUAUACUCCAUGAGGAUGAGCACUCCAACAGCGAGUGGCGCCACGAAUCUUGACUUCCACACAGUCCACACUGUCCCGAAUCUAUCAUGUGCCGAUGUGUACGGACAUCAUUCGUUGGCAAAGACUGUUUGGAGAGUCUCCAUAAAAACAUGUGUAUCUCCUUAUGAGGGACACAAAUGCGCAAGACCGUAACAUGGCCUGGGUGGGCUUUGCGGCUCUUGCGUGGUCCCUAUGGGCUACUCGCAACAAAGCUUUAAUGGAAGGAAUGUUUUUCCGACAAUUGGCAAGACCAAGGGAGCGAGGAAGGGUGGAGCUUCUCGCCAGCAGCCUACGCGCAAGGUGUGCUGAACUUCGCCGUGCCAGCACAAGUGCAGAUGUGUGAUAGGGACGUCCCUCAUGGUUUGCGGGAUCCUUCAAACUUCACCUUUGUUUAGAGCAACUCUAGCAUACUCCGCAAAACGCGUUUGCGGUUUGACGAAGAUCGCGUUUGCGGGUCGAAAACUAGCGCGGCCGAACAGAAACCGUAUCUAAAACUGCAUAAUUUGAAAAAACACUUUCGCGGGAGAAAUUGCACCUCGAGAACGUGAGUAGUUCAUCACAUGCUACAUAGAUUUUACAUGAUCAACACGCUACAAACAUAGUUCAUACUACAUACUACGUUAAUACUAGUACUAGAGGGGGUCGGAUCUGACGUCGGCGAGGUCGCGGCAAAUGGACGACGCCGUGGAGGGGAAGGAUGCUCAAUCCUCCUCGCCGGAGCUGCAGAGGUCGAUGUACUUCGCCCUCUACUCCUCGUGGAUGCGGCACCACUCCUCGUACUUCUCCUUGGCGGCAAGGUUGGCGGCGACCGCCUGCCGCCACUCGAGGUCUUCGAGCUCCUCGGCGUAGCGCUGGCGCUCCUCCUUCUCGCGCACGCUCCGCUUGUCGAUGGCGGCCGCAACGGCGUCCACGUCGGCGACGUAGUCUUGCGGCCCGAUGACUCCCCGGCAGCCGAGCGGAGCGGGCUCCUUGGGCUCCUCCUUGACGGGGACGAAGUCGAACUCGUCCGGAUCCUCCGGCUCCUCCUCGCCCUUCGACCACUCCCUAUUCACGGGGAGAAGGCCCGCGCCAGAGGAGGAGGAGCUCCCGGCGUACGAAGAUCUCGCGGAGGAGAAGGACGCGCGCCAGCGGUCGUACUCCUCCAUCUCGCUUCGACGGAAGCUCGCCGGCGGCGACAACCGCGGUUGGUCCACCUCCGGACCCCGCGCUUCCUCGCGUUGUCCGACCGGACGCGCCGCUCGCGCUCCGGGUCGCUUCCGCCGCCGGAUCUGCUGCCGGAGCCGCGUCCGGAGCUCCACAUGCGGCCCCACAUGGCUGCUGGAGGCGGGGGAGGUGGUUGCCGACGGCGAGAAAUAUGGAGAAGGGGGUGGGGAAUCGCGUGGCUCGGCGGCGGCGAGGGAUAGGGGUUCGACCCGCAAACGAGCCGCAGAAUCGUAGAUAUAGCGGUCGGGGCGUGCGGUUUGCAGGUCGCGGCAAUUUUCUUUGCGGGCUGGGCGAGUAUGCCUGCUCUGUUCUGGCCGGAAAAUUAGGCCGAGCCUGCAUACUCGCCAGAAUUUUGCGGGUCUGUAUGUUUUGCGGGGUCUGCUAGAGUUGCUCUUAGCACGCUGUGACGUGGCUACGGGUAUGGCCGACCUUGUAUCGCUCGUUGAACUUCUUUUUUUCCUUUUCGUACUUCUGUCCCGCGUGUGUAAGGGCCACAGUCUAAGGCCUGGUAUGUGCCUCCAUUCUAAAAAUCACACCAUGAAAAAGACUAUGCGUGAGCUAGAUCUCCGAGAAGGUGUGAAUAUUUCUCGCGUUGGAGAUGCUGAAGUUACUUGUAUCGAAAGGGCAAAGCCACACAAGAAAUAGGUCCCAUUGACAAGUGGACACAACCAAUUGAUCCUAAAUUAACACAAGCUGAAGCCUAGCAGCGAUAGAAGAUAAACAAGGGAGUUUGGAAAAGGAGAACACAGAAGGUGAGGUUGGAUCGUGCGGUUUGCUCGGAUGCUUUCCUCGCUUGCUACCCGGAAUCUGUUGUUGAACACAUAGUUACAAGGAGGUCUUCGAGCUCCUCGGCGCGGCGCCGGCGCUCCUCCUUCUUGUGCACGCUCCGCUCUGCCAUGGCGGCCGCAACGGCGUCGAUGUAGUCUUCCGGCCCGACGACUCCGCGGCGGCCGAGCGGAGCGGGCUCCUUGGGCUCCUCCUUGACGGGGACGAAGUCGAACUUGUCCGGAUCCUCCGGCUCCUUCUCGUCCUCCGACCACUCCCUCUUCACGGGGAGAAGGCCCGCGCCGGAGGAGGAGGAGCUCCCGGCGUACGAAGAUCUCGCGGAGGAGAAGGACGUGCGCCAGCGGUCGUACUCCUCCAUCUGGCUCCGACGGAAGCUCGCUAGCGGCAACAGGCCGCGGUUGGUCCACCUCCGGGCCCCGCGCUUCCUCGCGUUGUCCGACCGGACGCGCCGCUCACGCUCUGGGUCGCUUUCGCCGCCAGAUCUGCUGCCGGAGCCGUGUCCGGAGCUCCACAUGCGGCCCCACAUGGCGGCUGGAGGCGGGGGAGGUGGUCGCCGACGACGAGAAAUGUGGAGAAGGGGGUGGGGAAUCGCGUGACUCAGCAGCGGCGGGGGAUAGGGUUUCGACCCGCAAACGAGCCGCGGAACCGUAGAUAUAGUGGUCGGGGCGUGCAGUUUGCGGGCCGCGGCAAGUUUUUUUGCGGGCUGCGCGAGUAUGCGGGCUCUGUUCUGGCCGAAAAAUUGGGCCGAGCUCGCAUACUCGCCAGAAUUUUACGAGUCUGUGUGUUUUGCAGGGUCCGCUAGAGUUGCUCCUAGCUAUACCUGGCCAAACCUUGGGCCGGGCCGAGCUUCGGGCCGGGCCUAGCCAAGCCCGACACAAAAAACCCAGGCCCUGGCCCGGCCCGUCCAUCGGGCCUGUGUUUUUGGGCCCGAGCCCGGCCCGAAUACCUAAAAGCCCGUCGGGCUUCGGGCCGGCCCGGCCCAGCCUUCGGGCUAAAAAACUAGGCCCGAGCCUGGUUCGGGGGCAGCGUCGGGCCGGGCCGGGCUUCCCAUGACCGGGACUACUCUUAGCACGCUGUGACGUGGCUAUGAGUCUGGCCGACCUUAUCGCUCGUGGAACUUCUUUUUUUACUUUUCUUACUUUGCCCCGCGUGUGUAAGGGCAUCAGUCUAAGGCCUGGUAUGUGCCUCCAUUCUAAAAGUCACACCAUGGAAAUUACUUGUUGUAUGUAGCAUGGCAAUUUUGUAAGUAUUACAUAUCGGUGGAUUUUUUAAAUUGUGUCAUGGUAAUGUCCUCCGUUUUUUCUAUAUUUCUACUCAUGUAUAUGAAUUCUUGUAACACGACAAUAUACUUUUGGAAAUGCUAAAAAUCUGACAUCAGAAUUUUAAGCAUGCAAAAUCGGAUGUUUUUCUUAUGAAAAAUUAUAUUGUCGCAAAGAUGGCAAAUUUAUUUAGUAAGCAUGACAAUUCCUGGCAAAAAACUGAGCAUGACAAGGAUUUGCCGUUCUUGUUGAAGGAAAUUGACAUACUCGCCACAACAUAAUUUGUCAUCUCGGUCAUUCGGUUUGCCAUGUCAAAAAAAAUCCAGCGUUUAAUUUGUAGUGAAAUCCUUAUAUAUUGCUAUUUUUGAGAUGGCAAUAUAUUGGGCCUGGUAAAUUUAUGAUUUUGCUACUGCCCAAAUUUCUGCAUUUUAUCAGCGAAUUGGGUCUAACCUGUUUUCCUCACGCGCUCGUUAUACUCUGGGCCAGUUUGUGUUGCGCUGAAAAUCUUUCUAGUGAACGUGUUUCAGGGGACUGCGACGACUAUUAUAACUGUGACGACUAUUAUAUCUCUUAUUAUAGUGAGUCAUACCUCUGCCGGGUCAUGGUUGGCGGCCCCCUGAAGGUAAUCUUGUAAAGAUCAACACUGAUGCUGUAGUACAUCUCGGUGCCGGCAUCGCCGGCAUGGGGGGAGUAGCCCGCUCUUCCACGUCCUUCAUGGGCGCAUGGUGCAAACCCCAUCUAGGGGUCACGGAUCCUUUCAUUGCUGAAGUGCUCUCCUUGCGUGAGGGCGUCAUCUUCACGAAGCUUCAAGGCUACAUGCACGUGCGACUGGAAUCUGAUUGUCUUGAGGCAGUUAACCUCACGUCCAAGGGAUUGCGACGACUAUUGUAUAGGAGUAUCUCUUAUACCGAGUCGUACGAUACGCUUGCAUGAAGCUUUCUCCUUUGCGCUACAAUAUUUGGGCCGGCCCAUUUUCCGUACAUUUUUUUCUUGCUCAGCCGCUCGAUGGUUAUGUUCGCUCUGUUUUUUUCGGGUAUUUUUUCAUUUUCAUUUUUUGUUUUUCUUCUGUUUUCUUUGUAUUUUCACCGGAUUUAUUCAAAUAUCUUUGUUUUUUCACUGGUUUUCUUUAGUGUUUCUAAUUUUCUUUGUUUUCUAUCGGUUUUCAUCGUUUCUUUCUCGGUUUUCACCGAUCCUUUUUUCUUUUCUUCCUUUUAUUCUUUUUUUCUGUUUCGUUUUUCUUGUUUAUUUUUUAUUUCUGCAGUGUUUUUCCUCCGGUUUUCUUGUUUCCCUUUUCUUUUUUUCUCUUCAGUUUUAUUUUUUUCCUUUUUUCCACAAUGGUCUACAUUUUUAUUACAUAUUGUACAUUUUUUAAUAUCAAAAACUUUUUUAUACACGUUUAUAAUUUUUCAAAUACAUCAUUAACAGUUUUUCAAAUAUAUAUUUUGAUGUCUAUUGCUUUCAUACACAUGCAUAUUUUUGGUACACAUGAAAAACAUUUUUGAUACGUGUUUAACAUUUAUAUUAUACACGAUUAACAUUUUUUCUAAAUAUAUAUUUUUAUGUCCAAUUUUGUCCGUACAUAUCACACAUGUUUCCUAUAAAUUUGAAAAGAAAUAUAUGCACAUUUAAUAUUUUUUGAAUUACACGAACUUCUUUUACAUAGUAUAAAAUUUUGUGAAAGUUCCAUGUACUUGUUUUUGAAAAGUAUGAAUAUUUUUUAAAUGUCACAAACAUUGUUUCGAAAGCUACCAGCAUUUUUUAAGUUACGGUAAAUGUUUUUUGCACUGCAUUAAUAUUCUUAAUAAUCUUAAUUAUAUAUAUUUCUGAAGUAUAAAUUAAGUUUUGGAAUGUAUGUGUUUAAAAAUAUUCGAACAUAUAAACAAAAGGAAAAAGCUUACGUUCAACCGACUGAUAACGCUCAUGCGUCCGCCGGCUCCACAUCCGUUGGAUCGUCUGUUGAUCAGACAGACGAGAGCGUCCACGCUUCCGCGUCGCGCGGACGUUUUUUCUGAAACUUACCUGUUGUUUCAGGAAACAUUCGUGCAACUGGAUAACGCCUGCGGCUCAGUUGACUCGUGUGGCCAGGACAGAGGGCAGCGCGGUUGCAAGGAAUUCAGAAACACUUUGUACACAAUGAAAUCAUUUUUCAGAGAUACAAUCAAGCAGGACAAUGGGAAUUAGAAUUCAUGUUUCAGAGAUACAAUCAAGUAGCCAGUAGUCCUGAACCUCUUGGUUUCAGAGAUACAAUCAAGCAGGACAGUGGGAUUUGUUGAUUCACGUUUUUCAGAGAUAGCUAUGUUUCAGAAACAGAGACCAUGUUUCAGAAACUAACCUAGGCUUCCAGAUGCGAUCUACUCGAAGUAGUUUCAGGAAACACCACCGGGGGGAUUGUGAACCAAGAGGAAACUNNNNNNNNNNNNNNNNNNNNNNNNNNNNNNNNNNNNNNNNNNNNNNNNNNNNNNNNNNNNNNNNNNNNNNNNNNNNNNNNNNNNNNNNNNNNNNNNNNNNNNNNNNNNNNNNNNNNNNNNNNNNNNNNNNNNNNNNNNNNNNNNNNNNNNNNNNNNNNNNNNNNNNNNNNNNNNNNNNNNNNNNNNNNNNNNNNNNNNNNNNNUGAGAACGAUGGUCGCGCCUGAUCUCGAAGCAGGGCCCCUUGGUGAGCUCGAUUUGCGUCAGAUCCGGCCAUCUGACGCGCGAUAUGGAGCGCCAUAGUGUUGCAGAAACUUCAAUUUAGCUCCAGGAUGCCGCCGGCGAGCUGAUUUUGCGGUGGGUCGGCGACGGAGUCGCGCGGGGCGCAGCUCUGUCGGGGCUUGGGGCAAGAGUGUUAUUUGUUUCUGCAACAUAGUGGCUGUUGCAGGAAAUAACGAGUGCGCAUGCGGGCGUCUACACUAGAUCGAAUGGCCAUCAGGUCGGGCAUCCAACGGCCGUCGAGACGACGGAUAAAAUCAGAAAAUCGGCCGAUGGACGCGCAGCGUCGCCCUAAACAAAAGUAUAAAGCAAAAAAAGGAAAGAGUGAAGAAACGUAAAUAAAAAGGAACUAACCUGAAAGUUGGGCCUGCCCGUUACUUGCUGCUGGGGAGGGCGCGCUUCUUCGGUCUCGCUACGAGCGAGGUAGGCGCUCCGGACCCGCUCUCGAUUGUUGUUCGCUCCAUCCCGUAUGCUUGACCAGCUUCACCAGCUGGCUCUCUCUCAGAAAGAAAUUUUGGUGGGAUAAUCUUUCUGUAUGCUUGACCACCGGCCCAUCCAGUGCGUGCAAUUUGACCAGGACAGUGACUUGGCAGGUUGGCAUGGUCGAGAAGCGCCGAUAGUCAUGGUUCACUGGGUUUUUACUUUUGCUCCAGUGGCCUCCACCGGACUCUACUCACGGUGGGUUGCCGGAGAGUAAAGCUACGGCGUGUUCAGCCGUGGGCUUUGACCGGCCCUUCUUUCUGUUCUGGAUGGAUGUUGUUGUUUGCAUUAUAGAGUUGGCGCCGGACAUUCUUGAACUCACAGAGCAGUGAGUUAAAAGAUAGGAGUAUCUUCAUGGGCAUGGCUGGUGUGCAGAUUAUACUAACGACGAGCCUUCUUCUUCGGGGGGCUAUAUUUCUCCUCCAUCUUGCAGUAGGCGAUCGCCACAUGAGCCGGUCCAAUAUGGGUAGCGGUUUUUGGAAGCUUCUAUGACCGGUUUGACCCGCUUUUUAUCAUUUUUCUAUCAGUUUUCUAUGUUUCUUUAAUGGUUUUAUUUUUCCUUUUUAUUUCUUCUUUCUAUUUCACAAAACAUGUUCUACUUUUUUCGUAUACAUCAGCAACAUUUUUCCUUUUUACCUUUUUAUUAUAUGUCAAGUACAAUUUUGAAUGGUAUAAAAUGUUUUAAAAUAAAAUAAUGGUUUUCUACAUUGUAUAAACCUUUUAAAAUAUAACGAACAUUUUAGUGAAGCACAGGAACUUUUUAAAUGUCACAAACAUUUUUCUUGAAUGCUACUAAAAGUUUUUAAAGGUCUUGCAAGAUUUUUUGAACACUGCAUGACCAUUUGUUAAUGAGUGGUGAAUGUUUCCAAAAAUUUAAAUACUCAUACAAAAUUUUCCAUUUCAGAAAUGUAAGUAAAACUAAUAAAAUAAAUAGGAAGGAAAACAAAGCGGAGGCUCCUCCUACGCUGGGCUGAACCACUAAGGUAGCCCUAGAGGUGACGACCUCUUUCUUCUCACUUGAAGCGAGACAAAGCGAGAGCAGUUAGUUGACGAGCGCUUCUUCAAAAGCCUCACAACAAUCACUUGGGGGUGUGCUGAGAGCACGCCAUUUGGCGCGCUCUUAGUCGCCCACCAUGUGUCCCGCUCUGGGCGCUCUCUUCGGAUUUUUUUAUUUUUCCGUACAUAUUUUCGCCCUUUUAAACGAUUUUUUCUGGGUUUUUUUUGUCUUUUUUGUUUUCCACCAGUCUUCCUUAGCUUUUGGAAAAAUAAAAAAAAAUUCACGAGAAAAGAGGUCUUUUUUCUUCCGAUAGAGUCACGAUUUUGCUUUCGCGAGGGCACAGCUAUGCCUCUCGAAACGAGAAAAAAAGUGUUUUUUAUUAUUAUUUUCCUUCCGCGAGAGGCACGGCCAUACCUCUCGGAAAUGAAAAAAGAAGUGUUUUCUAUUUUUUCCUUCCGCGGGAGGCAUGGUUUGUCUUUCACGAGAGGCACGAGCGUGCCUCUCGGAAACGAAAAAACGCAUUUUUUUGUUUGUUUAUUUGUGAGAGGCGCGAUUUUGUUUCCGUGAGAGGCACGGUUGUGCUUUCAGGAGAGGCAUGGCUGUGCCUCUCUAGGAAGGGAAAACGGUGUUCCCGGUUAGGUUUUUCCGUCAGUUUUUUUUGUGAAAAAGAAAGUUCGUCAAAAUCUAUCAAUAUGGGAUCUAGUUUUGAAGAUAUCGCCGCGAGGAUCCAAUGGUGAAAACGGUUCGAGAUAAACAUUUUGAUUAAAUGGAUGCAUGGGAAAGAGGAAAACUCCCAAAUUGUGAUAAGUGCCAUGAGGAGAUGGGAGUGAUCUUUAGAACGAGUACUCUUAAUCAGUUUAAUCCAUGAUUUCGAGACAAAGCGCUCCCAGUCUUCUUUAGCCACCUUUAGCUCACGUAGGCCGUGUUGGGCUUAAUAUUUAAACCAGGGCUUUGUACGGCGUGCGCCGGGUGCGCGUCAAAGUCUCGCCUGUAGCGAGAUUAAAACGUGGCAUUGACUAGGAAGUCCUUUCUGUGUUAAAUUCAAUAAUAUGUACAUGUUGGCUCGUUCAUUUUUUCCUUUUUUUAUAUUUCGAUAUAUUCUACACACACAGAGCCAGAGAAGCAGAGAGAAAGAGAUGAAAAUGUUCAACUCAUACUAAAAUAUGUUGAAUUAUAUAAAAAAUGUUCAUGACAUAUAGAAAUAUAUUCACACAUUUUAAAAACAUGUUCAUCGAAUUUUCACAACAAAACUAAUGAAAUGUGAAAAGGUGUUUACAUAAUUGUUGAAAAAUGCUCGUAAAAUUUUAAAAAUGUUCACAUGUUUAAAAAUAUGUGAAUGCUAUUUUUAAAAAUAUAUUGAAAUGUAAAAUUUUCUUUGUGUAUUUUUUACAAAAUGUCCUACCAUUCAAAACAUAAUAUGUGAUAUUUAAGAAAAUGUAUCAGGGUUACAAAUAGGUUCAUGAAAUUUUAGUAAAUAUGCAUGCAAUGUUAAAUUUUGUUCGUAUAGUUUUGAAAAAGUUCUUCAUAACAUAUCAAAUAAAUUAAUGACAUUAAAAAGAAUUUCAACACUACUAAGGAAUGUUUGCAUCAUUAAAAAAAUGAUCACUAAAUAUUUGAAAAAUAGUUCAAUGUGAAUUUGACAAAUGUUCAACUUGUAUUCGAAAAAUAUUGUCAUGUAUUUGAAAAAUUCUCAACGUGCAUCUAAAAAAUGUUCAGUGUGUACUAAUAAAAAUUUGAAAGGUACUUGAAAAAAUAAAAAGGAAAAAAAGACAAGCGAACAACCAAGAAAAGGAAUGGCCCUGGUGACGGCAAAUGUGUAUGGUGCGAUCAGGAUGACUCAUGUGACCAUAUCAUUUUUCAGUGCAUCAUCGCCCGGUUUACCUGGAGCGUAUCGAGGGCGGCUACCGAUUGCUCCUGGAACCCAAGUAAUUUCUCGGACGUGUAUCACCUUAUGAGGGACACAAAUGCGCAAGACCGUAACGUGGCCUGGGUGGGCUCUUGCGUGGUCCCUAUGGACUACUCGCAACAAAGCUUUAAUUGGAAGGAAUGUUUUUCGACAAUUGGCAAGACCAAGGGAGCAAGGAAGGGUGGAGCUUCUCGCCAGCAGCCUACGCGCUAGGUGUGCUGAACUUCGCCGCGCCAGCACAAGUGCAGAUGUGGGAUAGGGACGUCCCUCAUGGUUCGCGGGAUCCUUCAAACUCCACCUUUGUUUAGCACGUUGUGACGCGGCUAUGGGUCUAGCCGACCUUGUAUCACUCGUUGAACUUCAUUUUUUUUCCUUUUCGUACUUCUGUCCCGUGUGCGUAAGGGCCUCAGUCUAAGGCCGGGUAUGUGCCACCAUUCUAAAAAUCACACCAUGGAAAUUACUUGUUGUAUGUAGCAUGGCAAUUUUCUAAGUAUUACAUUUUAAAUUGUGUCAUGGUAAUGUCCUCUCUGUUUUCUAUAUUCCUACUCAUGUAUAUGAAUUCUUGUAACACGACAAUAUACUUUUGGAAAUGCUAAAAAUCUGGCAUCAGAAUUUUAAGCAUGCCAAAUCGGAUGUUUUUCUUAUGGAAAAUUAUAUUAUCGCAAAGAUGGCAAAUUUAUUUAGUAAGCACGAGAAUUCCUGGCAAAAAACUGAGCAUGGGGAUGUUCUUGUUAAAGGAAAUUGACAUCCUCGGCACAACAUAAUUUGUUAUCUCGGACGUUCGGUUUGCAAUGUAAAAAAAAUCCAACGUUUGAUUUGUAGCGAAAUCCUUUUUUCGUAGAUCCGUUUAUACAAAAUGUUUUAUCUUUUAAACCGUGCGUCCAAAUCUUGAACCGAUUUCGCCGUUGAAUUCCUCGCGUCGAGAUCUUCAAAGCUAGAUUCUAUGCUGAUAGGUUUUGACGAACUUUUUUUUCACGAAGAAAACCGGACAAAAAAAGCAAACCGGGAGCACGGGUUUUUCCCUUUCCGAAAAAGGCACGAAAAGAAAACAGAAAACACAUUUUUUUUCGUUUCCGAGAGGCACAGCCGUGACUCUCGCUAAAGCACAACCGUGCCUCACACGGAAGCAAAACCGUGACUCUCACGAAAGAAAAAAAACAAAAAAUGCGUUUUUUCGUUUCCGAGAGGCACGGCCAUGACUCUCGCGAAAGCAAAACUGUGCCUCUCGCGGAAGCAAAACCGUGACUCUCGCAAAAAGGGAAAAAAAGAAACAUGUUUUUUUUGUGCAAAUUUUGUUUUUGUCGAAAAGCUAGGGAAGACCGGUGAAAACCCAAAAUGUCGAAAAAAAAGGAAAAAGAUACUAUUUAAAAAGCCGAAAAUGUGUGCGGAAAAAUAAAAAAAAUCCGGAGGGAGCGCCCAGAGCGCGACACGUGGCAAAUGGCUGAGAGCGCCAAGUGGUGCUGAUCGUUGCGAGGCUCCUGAAGGAGCUCUCGUUAAUUAGUUGCUCCCGUGUUUCAAGGGACUGCGACGACUAUAUAUCUCUUAUAGCGAGUCGUAUGAUAUGCUUGCAUGAAGCUUUCUCCUUUGUGCUACAAUGUUUGGGCCGGCCCAUUUUUCGUACGUUUUUUUUCUUGCUCAGCCGCUCGAUGGUUAUGUUCGCUCUGGUGUUUUCGGGCAUUUUUUCAUUUCAUUUUUUAUUUUUUCUUGUGUUUUCUUUGUUUUUUCACCGGAUUUAUUCAAAUAUCUUUGUUUUUUCACUGGUUUUCUUUAGUGUUCCUACUUUUCUUUGUUUUCUAUCGGUUUUCAUCUUUUCUUUCUUGGUUUUGACCGAUCUUUUUUUCUUUUCUUCCUUUUAUUCUUUUUUUUUCUGUUUCUGUUNNNNNNNNNNNNNNNNNNNNNNNNNNNNNNNNNNNNNNNNNNNNNNNNNNNNNNNNNNNNNNNNNNNNNNNNNNNNNNNNNNNNNNNNNNNNNNNNNNNNNNNNNNNNNNNNNNNNNNNNNNNNNNNNNNNNNNNNNNNNNNNNNNNNNNNNNNNNNNNNNNNNNNNNNNNNNNNNNNNNNNNNUUGUUUAUUUUUUAUUUUUGCAGUGUUUUUCCUCCGGUUUUGUUGUUCCCUUUUCUUUUUCCCUUUCCUUUUUCUCUUCAGUUGUAUUUUUUUCCUUUUUUGCAACAAUGGUCUACAUUUUUAUUACAUAUUGUACAUUUUUUAUAUAUCAAAAACUUUUUAAUACAUGUUUAUAAUUUUUCAAACAUAUAUUUUGAUGCCUAUUGUUUUCAUACACAUGCAUAUUUUUGGUAAACAUGAAAAACAUUUUCGGUACGUGUUUAAAUUUUUAUUAUACAUGAUUAACAUUUUUUUAAAUAUACGUUUUGAUGUCUACUUUUUUAGUACAUAUCACACAUGUUUCCUAUACAUGUGGAAAAAAAAUAUAAACAUUUAACAUUUUUUUGAAUUACACGAACGUUUUUUACAUAAUUUUUUUUGAAAGUUCCAUGUACUUGUUUUUGAAAUGUAUGAAUAUUUUUUAAAUGUCACAAACAUUGUUUUGAAAGCUACCGGCAUUUUUGAAGUUACGGUAAAUGUUUUUUGCACUGCAUUAAUAUUCUUAAUAAUAUUAAUUUUAUAGUUUUUUUGAAGUAUAAAUUAAGUUUGGAAUGUAUGUGUUUAAAACAUAUUCGAACAUAUAAACAAAAGUAUAUAGCAAAAAAAGGAAAGAGUGAAGAAACGUAAAAAAAAAGGAACUAACCUGAAAGUUGGGCCUGCCCGUUACUUGCGGCUGGGGAGGGCGCGCUUCUUCGGUCUCGCUACGAGCGAGACAUAGGCGUUCCGGACCCGCUCUCGGUCGUUGUUCGCUCCAUCCCGUACCACCGCCGGAGUCGCCGAGAUGACCGGCCUCCAUGACGAGCGCGCCACCAGCGAACCCCGGAGAUCCAAGCGGUCCAGGCCGGAGGCGAAGGCGGCGGAGCCUCCGGCACGCCGGGCCAAGCGCGCCGAGGGCCAGGUUCCUCUGCGCAAGCGCGAGUCUGCGAGGCUUGCGCGACCACCCCGCCCCCUGGACCUGGACCUGGACCUGGACUCGGAGGGUGCGGUCGCGUCGCCUCCUCCUCCUUCUCCUCCAGCACCCCGCGCCGAGACCCCGGCCCCUCCGCCCAAGCGUCCAGCGGCGAGGGUUGCGCGACCAUCUUCGCCCCCUUACGGCCAUCGGGAUUCGGCGGAUGUGACCAUGGUUGCUCCUCCGCCCAAGCCCGAGCACUCCGUCCCCCCUAAUUGGCAUCGCACCGCGUACAGACUCCACAACCGCGUCGUCCGGGAUACCAGCAACCGCAAGCCCGCCCCCAGUCGCUACGACAACGGGUAACCUCUCCACACCGGCAACGCAAUCACUUCCACUCCCUAAUGUGCUGCAUGCUUUGGAUUAAUUCUUUGAUUGAUGGAUAUAGUGAACUGAAUCGAUGCCAUUGUCCGUGAUUUUGCUAUUAUGCUCACCACAUGAGCCAAGCUUCAGACCCCUGCCCUUGGCCCUUGCCACUAACUUUGUUGAAUAGGCCAACAUUAGCAUUUUAGUGAUAAUAAUUGGUAUAAAUGGGAGUUUAUAUAGUUUCAACUAUGCGAUCAAGUACUAGAAAUAUGAUCUGUAUAUAUCCCGGUGAUAAAUUAUGUCUUCUACUAUCUAUCUGAACAGUUGGUUUAGUUGUGUUUCUGCAUACCCUGCUUGCUAGGGGAUUCUCUUUUAAAAUGCAACAACUCUGACAUUUGUACCUGGGAGUAAAAUCUGCUUGGUGCCUAGGAUAUUCAAGCAACAUGCGAUCCUGUAACGCCUUCCUUUAUCUCUUAUCCAUUAUCUCACCAUCAAGUCCUAAUUGCAUUACAAUACUUUUCUUAUCAUGUCUCCAGUUUUGAGGGCCAUUGGUUAUGAGUUAUGACGCAGUUUAAUGUUCUCCACUGCUCCCUGCCUGCUAUUUACUUUAUUUUUCCAUCAACAAGUAGUAUCUAGGUCCAAAAUUGUCCGUCGUUGCAAGGUAUCACCUGCUAUUCAGUUCUCCGUCGAGAAGUAUGAGCUGUAACCUCUCACUAGUGAUAAUUAACAUCGAGAUCCAAAAUCAUUUGUCGAUGUAAGUUAUCGCCUUUUGACUUUAUACUUAUUAAAGGUGGUUUAGUUCUUCUGUUCUAUGUGAUAGUACCAUUCAGUGUUAACUCGUUAAUUAGUACAGUACUAGUUUGAUGGAAAACACACAAGCAAGAUAUGCGUAUGAUGUUGACACUUCUGCUCUUUCAGGAUAUAAAUUAAGUAUGAUCCAACAUGGCAAACUCCGACGUGUGCACGUGUGGCUUUGGAACGCUACAACAACAUGAAUCAGGUUUGCUCUAUUCUACUCAAGUGUACAAAUAUUGCAUAGUGCCAUUUAGUGCCGGGGUAGUCAUUCGACAUUUAGUUCAUCAGAUUGGGACAACUUUUCAGCUUUCUUUACUUUGUCAGUGUGCCGUUUUCCGCCGGUGGUAAACAAUCUUGCAAGUGGUCUAGAAUGCGAUUAAGCUCGAGACAUGGGUGUGUAUGACUAUAAAGAAACUAACAUGUGGUCUAGAAUGCUUCUGCACUGUGUAUGCUUUGCUGCCUGCAUCUUUUGCAUGAGGCUCAAUAGGUCUGGUUUGGCCCUAUGUACAUGAAAGUGUUGUUAUUGAACAGCCUGCAAGUUGUCUAGACUCUGGUAUCACAAGGUUAAAAUAGUCUUCUUGUCUUGAUGUUCUGUAAAUGUUCCCCAGCAAUAUCCCAGUGAGCUGGACCUUGUAAACUGUGAUCAUACUCUUUAAUUGCUUCCAACGUGCGGUGAAGACUAUGUGGAACCAGUGUGCAAUGUGAUUCACCUCUUGACCUGCCCAAGUUGUCCUUUUUUCUUGUCCUUUCCCAGUUUGUUUUUCAUGAUACGUUUAACUUCUUUCUCAGUUACAUGGCACUUAAUUGCACCCUUGAACUGCCCUCUUAUGAUGGUGAAUUCCACAGACUAAAUCUAACAAUUCAUAAUGCAUUACCAAGUGCCUAGCUACUCAUUAAUUCAUAUAUGCACCCUUCGACUGCCCUCUUAUGUUUGUGAAUUUGUUAGGGGGAUGAGCAUGAGAUGGUUAAACCAGUGAGCAGCCAUAUCUUUGUCUUCAAUGGUAUCUGGUUCCAUGCAAAUUUCCUUGCCAAGCGAAAAGGAGCCACCAACUGUGUUGAUCUCGUCCCCAAGUACUUCUUUGCUGAAUCGGAAAUUGUGGGGACGAGGAAAAUAUCUUGUAUUUCAUGUGUUAAGCUUGACCCAGGUAUUUUCAAUAAUCCAAGUUCCAGUUUUUGUUCACACAAAUUUUAUCUUGAUGAAUUAUGCGGGUGUGUGUGUGUGGUGUUCUUUACAUAAAUGAUUUUACACUCGCAGGCAAUCCCAAAAAAAUUGGUGGUUGUAGCCUGUGCUCUGAGAAUAUCCUGCAUCCUGCUGGGGGUGGAUACCAUGGUGCCCAAGCUCGAUCUGUUCGACAUGCUCCUGGUGGCCUACAGAUUUCAUUCAAGUUCUGAAUGUUUGAAGUGUGGUAGAAUCGUCCAUCACUAAUUCACUAUGCUAAUAUAAUGUAGGCGGAAGAAGCAGAAAAUCAUGUUUCAUUAUGAGCGUCAAACCUGUUCUAGUAGAAUCAUGCAUCAUUUUGGUUGUAAUGAAGGAUAAAACUCCACUUUGAUGUAUGUCCGAUGUUAUUAAUCUGUUUCACGUAGUAAGGAGGUGCUUGUUGCAUUUUGCUGUGAAGCAAGGUGUUUGACAUGGAUCUGCCGUCAAAUAUUUUGAUAUCAUCUCUUAGAUUGAAACUCUAGAAUAUAAUCCUCAGUUGUGCUCACACAUAUGGGUUUCAGUGCAAGAUGGACAAAGUGGAUUUGUGGCUUACUUGUGACCUCGUCCACUAGAAUCAUGAUCAAUGGAACCAAGGGAAGACCUAUACUCAACUGUCAGUGCUUAUGGCAGGGAGCACCACUAUCACCUAUGCUUUUCAUACUCAUCAUGGAGCCGCUACGCACAUCACGUGACCGGACUGGGGUGCCAAAAACUUGAUUGGAUCGAGGUGGAGGGGGCGGGAUGGCGAGCGACGUACGCUGGCUAGUCUCCUACGCGGCUGACCUUACCUCGGCGCGCAUGCUUUCCUUCGUCGACAGCGAGAUCCGGCUUUGACACGACACGCUUUGGAUCGUCUUGAUCGAUGAGAGGGGCGUGACAGUCGACGCGCGCUAUCUCCGGGCCCGAGAGCGGAUCGACAUCGGUCAGGCCGUAUCCUUUCCUUGUCACAUAGCCAGGGUGCGGGACCGGAUUCCGGAAGGACACGCGGCGGCGCCGCGUCAGACUCGUUCGACUGAUGAUGCGGGCGGUACACCGCGGGGACGUGGUGGCGGGGCCAGGGCAUCCUUGGGCCACAUCCGGACGCGACCGAGGCGCCCGCCAUGGAUGCGCGACACGUGGACGAGGAUCCCGGUUGCCAUGGCGGGGAGACGAGCCAUGCGACAGGUACAAAAGCCCACCCCGUUCCCACCCGUGACCUAGAUGCCGCUUUCUCGCAUUUCUGGGAGNNNNNNNNNNNNNNNNNNNNNNNNNNNNNNNNNNNNNNNNNNNNNNNNNNNNNNNNNNNNNNNNNNNNNNNNNNNNNNNNNNNNNNNNNNNNNNNNNNNNNNNNNNNNNNNNNNNNNNNNNNNNNNNNNNNNNNNNNNNNNNNNNNNNNNNNNNNNNNNNNNNNNNNNNNNNNNNNNNNNNNNNNNNNNNNNNNNNNNNNNNNNNNNNNNNNNNCUUCCAUGGGAAUCGGCGGGAAGGCUUCGAAUCUAGGCGAUUCGGGCACGGUGCCGGUCGUUUCGAUCGGGGCCGCGGUCGGGGCCGCUUCUCGUGGUCCAGGGAGGCGGACGGCGACGACUUCUCCACGAACAAGCAGGCGACAUCGGCCUCGGAUGACACCACGCGAUGGGACGACGCGGCGGAGUUGGCCAAGCGGGCAAGAUCUGGGGGGGUGUGUGGAUGGAGAAGCACCCAAACCCUAAUCCCCUUGGAAUCGACAUCGACAACGCAUCCAAGAAGAAGCAGAUCCCUGACGUCGUCCAACGGGCUGAAUCAUCUACCCGGGUGCUCCCAACCAAAACCUAUGAUCCGUGUCUGAUCUGCAAAGCUACUAGUCAUACUCCUGCUAGUUGCCCGCAAGCCCUUUGUGAGAGAUGCAGUAAGAUGGGGCAUCUAGCUUCAAUCUGCACUACUUUUCUGCCUUGGGAGUGUGUAGCCCCUAUGUGUGCUUUUCAGGCCAAGGGCCCAGUUUUUUUCUAUAUUCCAGAUUCUUGCACUGCUAAGCAGCUCAAGGAAAGAGCCACUAGUGUUGUGAUUACUGUCAUUGAGGGAGAGGCGAGUGUUAAGGAGUUGGAAGAUGCGUUUUUUUUAUUAUAUUGGGACAAAAUGGCACCGCACAGCCCGCCUUAUAGGCCCUAAUACUUAUGUCAUGUGGUUCCCUAAUCAGAGAGAUGUGAAAAAAGCUUGCUAUAAUGAUAGAAUGACUCUCAAAUCUUGUGGAGUAGUGGUCAAGAUUGUUCCCUGGUCUGCCAAUGUAGGGCCGAAAGGGGUGAUGGAGGUUGCUUGGGUGAGAGUGGCUAAUGUUCCUCUAGAACGGAGAAAUGAAAGAAACUUGGCAUAUGUCUCAUCUUUGGUUGGUGUUCCACUUGAAAUUGACAUGGCCACUCUGCACAAACCUGAGUAUGUGCGGGCCCGGCUGGGAUGUCACAAUGUGGACGAACUACCUGGUGUGGCUGAGGCUUUUUUGAUUUCUUUUAUGACAUUGAGAAGAUACUGGUCAGAGAUCCUGAAAGAAUGAGCAACGUGACCCAGGUUGAGUUAGCUAAGAAAAACUCAUCCCAUGGGAAGCAGUUUGCUCGGGCUGAUCCACAAAAUGUUGAAAAAGAAAAAGAUGUGGGGGCCUAUAAGAGCAAUAGCACUGGGGAAAAUGCUCCCAGUGACAGUGCAGAGGAGGGGUAGGAGGAGUCAAAGGACUCAGAGGAUGAUACACUCUUGAUCGACACCACUACUAAAGAGGCUUGUGGGAGAGAAAAUUUGGGUGGGUCUCAAGCACUGGUUGUUGUUGAUAACAGCAAGCUGAAUGUGGAUGAGAUUCAGGUAAAAAAUGAUAUCCGAGUCUAUUGCUAAUGAUAUAUAUGAUAUCUAUACUUCUCACUUGGAGGUGAAUGAAAAAUGUACCCAUGUGGAAGAGCUGGUGGAUGAUGAUCACAUCAAGCGUGGGGUGCGUUCUGAGUACAUGGUACAAUUUCUUGUCUCUUCUGAUGAUGUGGAGGAAGUGAUUCCUACUCCAUUAAAAAUCUAAGGAUGCACUGAGAUUCAGUACAAAGGAUGUGCAGAACAUGGGUGACAAGAUUCAGGAUAGGGCAGUUGCCAUUUCAAAGAAGAGGAACUUGGAAGGUAACCCCAACCAUAAUUCCUUUGAUUUAUUUUCAGAUAAUGAUCUUAUGCUUAGAACAUAAAAAAUGGGGGUAAUUAUUUUUUAGAGUAAUUUUUCUAGUAUUGAUAUCUUGAGAGAAUUGGAGAGGGUCAGGAAUAAUGAUACAAAUAAUAUCUCUAAGUCUGAUACUCUAGUAGAGGAGAAAGUGAUGUUCAUUACCAAUGGGAAAGGGGAUAAAACUCCUAUUAGUUCUGAUUGGGCUGAUGGUGAGGAGGAUUUGGAGGAAAAUUUUAUCCUAGUCAGGUCUAGGAGGAAGAGAAGUCCUAAAAUUCAAGUGGCCAUAUCCAGACCUUCGACCAGGAGCCAAAAAUAUGAUUUAAUGAUGAAGAAAGAAAAUGCUGGCAGCCCUGUCUAUCAUACCAGGGCCACCAGGGGGGAGGAAAAAGAAACCUGGUUGAUAUGAUAGGUCUUUUCUGGAAUUGUAUGGGGGCUAGAAAAAAGGGGAUGAGUUCCUGCCUUUCCCAUAUCAUCAAGGAUCAUUCCCUUGAUUUCAUUUGCUUGCAAGAAACCCAUAAGAAGAAUUUCCAGGAUACUUAUUUUAGGAAGAUUGACUCUUACAAUGCUUUUGAGUCGGAGUGGGUCCCCUCAGUGGGAAAAUCUGGAGGAAUUUUAUGUGGGGUUAGAAAAGAGAGGUUUGAAGUAGUUGCCUGGAGGAAAGGCAAGUUUAUCCUCCAGGUUACUAUUUAUGACAUCAAAAUUAAGAAGAUGUGGACACUAUGCACUGUCUAUGGGCAGCUCAUGAUUGUGACAAACAAGACUUCCUUAUAGAGCUAGCUGAUUUUUGCACUCAUGUGCAAACUCCUUUACUUAUAGGAGGUGAUUUUAACAUCUUGAGGCACGAGGGAGAAAAAAAAUAAAAAUUGGCAUCGUUCUCUUUACACGGAUAUAUUUAAUUCUGUGAUUAAUACUAUGUGCUUGAAUGAGAUUCACAUGAGUUGGGGAUUGUACGCUUGGACUAACAACCAAUCCCACCCAACUCUAGAAAAAUUAGAUCGGGUGCUUAUGAGCACUGAUUGGGAGGAUUUAUUCCCUCAAGUUAAUAUAAAAAGAUAGUCAGAGAUGUUUCAGACCAUAAUGCUCUUUUGCUGUCGUCUGACAAUCAUGUUGUUAGAGUCCCACAACAAAGAGAGUUUAGGUUUGAAAUUAUUUGGCUCAAAUCUGAGUAUCUCUCCUCCCUUUGGUGGAUAAGAUUUGGAAUCAAUAUGUUAAGGCAACAGACCCUAUUGAUGUUUUAAACAUCAAGCUGAAAUGUUUUAAAAAGUUCUUUAAAGGAUGGGGAUCUAACAAGUUUGGUCAUGAGAAAAUUCAAAAGCAAAUGAUUAGAGAGGAGCUGACUAAUAUUGAAGAGGAAGAAGAGAAAGGGGUUCUAGAUCCAGAUAUGUUUUGUAGAAAAACUGAGCUGUUAGUGGAGUUGAAUGAAAUUUUGGCUAAUGAGGAGCUCUUUUUGCUACAACAAUCUAAAGAGAGGUGGUUGCUCAAGGGUGACAGUAACACUGCCUAUUAUCAAAAGAUGCUAAUGGCAAUAAAAGGAAAAACACCAUUCACUCCUUGAAUGUGGGGGAUUUAGUCAUAGAGGGGACUGGUAAUCUUCUGAACCAUGCCACUGAAUUCUAUAAAAAUCUAUUUGGGCCUGCACCUGGAAAUAUGCUUCAAAUCGACCCUAGUAUUUGGGGGGAGGAGGAGAAACUAGAUGAUGAGGAUAAUGAGGUUUUAUGUAGGCCUUUCUCAGAAGAGGAGGUCAAGAAUGCUUUGUUUAGUAUGAACAAUAAUAGAGCUCCUGGUCCUGAUAAUAUACCAGCAGAGUUUUAUCAGCACUUUUGGGACAUUAUGAAAAAAUAUAUUAUGAGGCUCUUUACUGCUUUAUAUGAAGGAACUCUUGAUGUGCAUAGGCUGAACUAUGGGAUUAUUACGCUACUCCCUAAGAUCAAUGGUGCGAACAAAAUUCAACAGUUUAGGCCUAUUUGUUUGCUUAGAUGUCCAUAUAAGUUGAUUACAAAGGUGUUAGACAAUAGAGUGACCCCUUAUAUGCUGACAUUUUGUUUAGCAAACAUCAAAAUGCUUUUAUCAAACAUAGGAAUAUCAUGGAUGGGGUGUUGACCUUACAUGAGAUUUUACACCAUACUCAUGUUAAGAAGAAGGUUGGCAUCGUUAUCAAACUCGAUUUCGGAAAGGCCUAUGACAAGGUUAACUGGGACUUCCUGUUAAAAUGCCUUGAGAUUAGAGGGUUUGGAAAAACUUGGUGUAGCUGGAUGAAAAAGAUUAUUCAAAAUGGCAUUGUGAGUGUGAAAUUAAACAACACUUCGGGGCCUUACUUUCAGAGUUACAAAGGGGUUAGGCAGGGGGACACAGUGUCUUGAUACGUCUCCAACAUAUCUAUAAUUUAUGAAGCAUUCAUGCUAUAUUACUAUGUGUUUUGAAUGAUUAUGGGCUUUAUUAUACACUUUUGUAUUACAUUUGAGACUAACCUAUUAACCGGAGUUUCCCCCCUCUACUCUCUUGUGAUGAAUUGAGUUUCCCCUUUGAAGUUAUCUUAUCGGAUUGAGUCUUUUAUGAGAACACUUGAUGUAUGUCUUGCCGUGUUUAUCUGUGGUGACAAUGGGAUAUCAUGUGCCUCUUGAUGUAUGUUUUGGUGACCAACUUGCGGGUUCCGCCCAUGAACCUAUGCAUAGGGGUUGGCACACGUUCUUGACUCUCCGGUAGAAACUUUGGGGCACUCUUUGGAGUACUUUGUGUUGGUUGGAUGAAUCUGAGAUUGUGUGAUGCAUAUCGUAUAAUCAUGCCCACGGAUACUUGAGGUGACAAUGGAGUAUCUAGGUGACAUUAGGGUUUUGGUUGAUUUGUGUCUUAAGGUGUUAUUCUAGUACGAACUCUUUUAUAGAUCGAUCCGAAAGAAUAACUUUGAGGUGGUUUCGUACCCUACCAUAAUCUCUACGUUUGUUCUCCACUAUUAGUGGCUUUGGAGUGACUCUUUGUUGCAUGUUGAGGGAUUGUUAUAUGAUCUAUCUAUGUUAUUAUUGUUGAGAGAACUUGCACUAGUGAAAGUAUGAACCCUAGGCCUUGUUUCCUAUCAUUGCAAUACCGUUUAUGCUCACUUUUACCACUUGUUACCUUGCUGUUUUUACAAUUUCAGAUUACAAAAACCUUUAUCUACUAUCUAUUUUGCACUUGUAUCUUCAUAUCUUCGCCGAACUAGUGCACCUAUACAAUUUACCAUUGUAUUGGGUGUGUUGGGGACAUAAGAGACUCUUUGUUAUUUGGUUGUAGGGUUGCUUGAGAGAGACCAUCUUCAUCCUACGCCUCCUACGGAUUGAUAAACCUUAGGUCAUCCACUUGAGGGAAAUUUGCUACUGUCCUACAAACCUAUGCACUUGCAGGCCCAACAACGUCUACAAGAAGAAGGUUGAGUAGUAGACAUCAAGCUCUUUUCUGGCGCCGUUGCCGGGGAGGUUAGUGCUUGAAGGUAUAUCUUUAGAUCUUGCAAUCGAAUCUUUUUGUUUCUUGUUUUAUCACUAGUUUAGUUUAUAAAAGAAAACUAAAAAAAAUGGAGUUAAGUUUGUCUCUUACGCUUCGUCUUUUUAAUAUCUUUCGUGAGUUUGAUGAAAAGGAAAAUUGUGCUCAAGUGCUAGAAGAAGAAUUACAUAGAAUGCUUGGCAUGAAAUAUGUGAAUGAUGAGCAUGAUUGCCAUGUUGUUAGUAUGAAUUCCUUGAAUAUCCAUGAUGCUAAUGAUAUGCAAUGCCACAAGCUUGGGGAAGCUAUGUUUGAUGAAUAUGAUAUUUUUAGUCCCCCAAGUUUUGAUGAGAAUAUUUAUUAUGAUGAAAGCAUGCCUCCUAUUAUGAUGAUUAUAUUGAUGAAAGUGGGUUUAAAGAGUGUCAACUUUAGGAAGUAGUGAUCCCACUAUUUUGGAGGAUGUUGAAUCUUAUUGUGAUGAACAUGAAAGUGGAUUUGGAAGAGUGUCAACUUUAUUUAGUGAUGAUUCCACUAUUUCGGAAGAGGUUCCAAUUGAUUAUGAGAACAAAGUUGCUAUCUAUGAUGAUUAUUGUGAUGACUUGUAUGCUAUUAGGAAUAAUGAUAACCAUGAAACUUGUCAUCAUGAUUUUAGUUUUCAAUUGGAUUAUGCCUCACAUGAUAAUUAUUUUGUUGAGUUUGCUCCCACUAUUAUUCAUGAGAAGAAUUUUGCUUAUGUGGGGAGUAGUAAAUUUUCUAUGCUUGUAGAUCAUGAAAAGAAUGCUUUAGGUGCUGGUUAUAUUGUUGAAUUCAUUCAUGAUGAUACUGAAAAUUAUUAUGAGGGAGGAACAUAUGCUUGUAGGAAUUGCAAUAAUGUCAACUUUCCUCUCUAUGUGUUGAAAAUCUUGAAGUUAUGCUUGUUUUACCUCCCUAUGCUAGUUGAUUAUUGUUCCCAUAAGUUGUUUGCUCAUAAAAUCCCUAUGCAUAGAAAGUGGGUUAGGCUUAAAUGAGAUAGUCAUAUGCUUCAUGAUGCUCCCGUUAUGUUUCAAUUCUUAUCUUUUAUGUGAGCAUCAUUGCCAUCAUCAUGCCUAGCUAGAAAGGCAUUAAAGAAAAGCUCUUGUUGGGAGACAACCCAAUAUUUAUCCUUACUGUUUUUGUGUGUCCACAUGAUUAUGCUACUGUAGUAAUCAUGUUUUAUAGCCUUUGUUUCAAUAAAGUGCCAAGUAGAACCUUUGGGAAUACUUGGGUGAAGUUUAUGUGAUCUUGCUGUAAGAAACAGAAACUUUUGCGCUCACGAGAAUAGCUGCCAUUUUUUUUACUAGAGAGUGAUUUUAGGUUGAUUCUUUUUGCAGAUGAUUAAUAGACAAAUUCCUCAGGUCCAGCAAUUUAUUUCAUACUUUUUGGGGUUCCAGAGGUAUACGUUUGAUACAGAUUACUACAGACUGUUCUGUUUUUGACAGAUUCUGUUUUCCUUGUGUUGUUUGCUUAUUUUGAUACAUCUAUGAGUAGUAUCGGAGGGUAUGAACCAUAGAGAAGUUGGAAUACAGUAGGUUUUACACCAAUAUGAAUUUAGAAUGAGUUCAUUACAGUAUCUAAGUGGUGGUUUUAUUUUCUUAUACUAACGGAGCUUACGAGUUUUGUUUUGAGUUUUGUGUGGUUGAAGUUUUCAAGUUUUGGGUAAAGAUUCGAUGGACUAUGGAAUAAGGAGUGAAAAGAGCCUAAGAUUGGGGAUGAACAAGGCACCCCAAGGUAAUCUUCAAGGACAACCAAGAGCCUAAGCUUGGGGAUGCCCCGGAAGGCAUCCCCUCUUUCGUCUUUGUUCAUCGGUAACUUUACUUGGAGCUAUAUUUUUAUUCGCCACAUGAUAUGUGUUCUGCUUGGAGCGUCAUUUCCUUUUGUUAGUGAUUGCUUGAUGUUAGUUAGAAUAAUGUUUUGCUUCUUUAGUUUCAAUAAAAGUGUCAAGGAUAGCCUUUGCCAUGCUUAUUUUGCUACUAUACAUGUUGCUGUUUAAAAACAGAAAGUUUACCGCUGUUGCAAAAAUUUUGUAGAAAAGUCAGAGAAUGGUAUAACGUUGAAUCUUUUUGCAUAUUAAGCUCUGAUAAAUUUAUUACAGUCGGUAGUUUAUUUCAUAAUUUUUGGAGUCAGGGAAGUAUUGAUACUCUUGCAUUCUUUACAGACUGUACUGUUUUGGCAGAUUGCUGUUAUGUUUGCAUUGUUUGCAUAUGUUUGCUUGUUUAAUGAUUCUAUUUAAGGAUAGGAGUAUUAAAUAUGAAGAGGAAUUUAGUAUGAAAUGUUGAAUAAUAAUUUUAGUGAUUUGUUACAGUAGAAAAUGAUAAGGUUUUGCAUUGGUUUAUACUAACCUAUCUCACGAGUUCUUGUUCAGUUUGUUGUGAAUGAAGCUUUUUAUAAUAAAAAGAAACCAUGAUACGAGAGGAAUUAAAGAGACACAAAAGUUCAAGCUUGGGGAUGCCCAAGGCACCCCAAGAUAAUAUUUCAAGAAGUCUCAAGCAUCUAAGCUUGGGGAUGCCCCGGUAGGCAUCCCACCUUUCUUCUUCAACAAUCAUCGGUUAGUAUCGGUUGAGCCUAAGUUUUUGCUUCUUCACAUGAGUUGUGCUAUCCUUGCAAUUUUAUUUUAUUUUGUUUUGCUUGCUGCUUGAAUACAAUACCAAGAUCUGAAAUCCUUUAAUGAGAGGGAGUCUUCAUAUAGUUGCAUAAUUAUUUAGCUACUCAUUGAUCUUCACUUAUAUCUUUUUGGAGUAGCUUUUCAUUUACUCGUGUGCUUCACUUAUAUCCUAUGAAUAAAUUGUUGAAUGAGUUGAAUGUCAUAAAUCUGAAUUUAUAUAUGUUUCAUUUGCUUAUCCCAUGGGGAGUUAUGAUUUCACAUCUAAGAAGUAGAGGUUUUAAGUUUAUUGACGGUUAGCAAGCAUUGUUUUAGUCAUUUGAACAAUUCAUGAAAGAAUAUUGAAGGAAGAGAGAUUUCACAUAUAAAUAUAUUAUCAUAGACAUCUUUUAUAAUUGUGAGUACUCAUUAAGUAUGACAUGCUAACGAGUUGAUGUUGGACAAGGAAGACAACGUAAUGGGUUAUGUUCUCUCGUAUCUCAGUUAAAGUAUAUUGUCAUGGAUCAUUCAAACAUGUUGAGCUUGCCUUUCCCCCUCAUGCUAGCCAAAAUUCCUAGCACCAAGUAGAGAUACUACUUGUGCUUCCAAAUAUCCCUAAACCCAGUUUUGCCAUGAGAGUCCACCAUACCUACCUAUGGAUUGAGUAAGAUCCUUCAAGUAAGUUGUCAUCAGUGCAAGCAAUAAAAAUUGCUCUCUAAAUAUGCAUGACUUAUUAGUGUGGAGAAAAUAAGCUUUGUACGAACUUGUUAUGGAAGCAAUAAAAGCGAUGGACUGCAUAAUAAAGUUCCAUAUACAAGGGGCAAUAUAAAGUGACUUCUUUCGCAUUAAGAUUUUGUGUAUCCAACCCUAAAAGCGCAUGACAACCUCUGCUUCCCUCUGCGAAGGGCCUAUCUUUUACUUUAUGUUUUUUACUUUAUGCAAGAGUCAAGGUGAUCUUCACCUUUCCCUUUUUCAUUUUAUCCUUUGGCAAGCACUUUGUGUUAGGGUGAUCCUGAUAUAUAUAUCCAAUUGGAUGUACGUUAGCAUGAACUAUUAUUGUUGACAUCACCCAAAGGUGAAUACGUUUGGAGGCAACAUUAUAAGCCCCAAUCUUUCUCUAUGUCUGAUUAAAACUUCAUAACCACAAGUAUUGCGUGAGUGUUAGCAAUUGUAGAAGACUAUAUGAUAGUUGAGUAUGUGAAGUUUGCUAAAUCAAAGCUCUGACAUAGACUCUUCCUGAAAGUAAGAUGAAUUGCAAUUGUUUGAUGACUAAGAAUGAAGUUUGCUAGUUUUCAAGAAAGUUUAUGGUCUAUGCUUUAAUAUGUGAAUUGCUUGUUACUAGUUUGUGAAAAGUUUUAUGGGAUGAACUACUGUUAUGACAUAUAAUCAUGCUAGAAAAGGUGAUUGAAAUUAUCAUUGAUCAAACUUGUGCACCUUCUAGCAUUCACACUUCAUAAACUCUUUCUUUUAUCAUUUACCUACUCGAGGACGAGUAGGAAUUAAGCUUGGGGAUGUUGAUACGUCUCCAACGUAUCUACAAUUUAUGAAGCAUUCAUACUAUAUUACUAUGUGUUUUGAAUGAUUAUGGGCUUUAUUAUACACUUUUAUAUUACUUUUGGGACUAACCUAUUAACCGGAGGCCCAGCCCAUAUUGCUGUUUUAUUGCCUGUUUCAGUAUUUCAAAGAAAAGGAAUAUCAAACGGAGUCCAAACGGAAUGAAACCUUCGGCAUCAUGAUUUUUUGGACGAAUACCAUCCUGGAGGCUUGGAGAUCAAGUCAGAAGAUACUUGAGGAGCCCAGGAGAUAGGGGGCGCCCCCCCUACAGGGUGCGGCCCCCUGUCUCGUGGGCCCCUCGAGCACCUCCCGACCGACUUCUUUCGCCUAUAUAUUCCCCCGUACUCUAAAAACAUCGAAAAUCAAGAUAGAUCGGGAGUUCCGCCGCUGCAAGCCUUUGUAGCCACCAAAAACCUCUCGGGAGCCCUUCCCGGCACCGUGUCGGAGGGGGGAUCCUUCACCGGUGGCCAUCUUCAUCAUCCCGGUGCUCUCCAUGAUGAGGAGGGAGUAGUUCACCCUCGGGGCUGAGGGUAUGUACCAGUAGCUAUGUGUUUGAUCUCUCUCUCUCUCUCGUGUUCUCUCUCGUGUUCCCUCUAUGGCACGAUCUUGAUGUAUCCCGAGCUUUGCUAUUGUAGUUGGAUCUUAUGAUGUUUCUCCCCCUCUACUCUCUUGUGAUCAAUUGAGUUUCCCUUUGAAGUUAUCUUAUCGGAUUGAGUCUUUUAUGAGAACACUUGAUGUAUGUCUUGCCGUGUUUAUCUGUGGUGACAAUGGGAUAUCAUGUGCCUCUUGAUGUAUGUUUUGGUGACCAACUUGCGGGUUCCGCCCAUGAACCUAUGCAUAGGGGUUGGCACACAUUCUUGACUCUCCGGUAGAAACUUUGGGGCACUCUUUGAAGUACUUUGUGUUGGUUGGAUGAAUCUGAGAUUGUGUUAUGCAUAUCGUAUAAUCAUGCCCACGGAUACUUGAGGUGACAAUGGAGUAUCUAGGUGACAUUAGGGUUUUGGUUGAUUUGUGUCUUAAGGUGUUAUUCUAGUAGGAACUCUUUUAUAGAUCGAUCCGAAAGAAUAACUUUGAGGUGGUUUUGUACCCUACCAUAAUCUGUACGUUUGUUCUCCGCUAUUAGUGGCUUUGGAGUGACUCUUUGUUGCAUGUUGAGGGAUUGUUAUAUGAUCUAUCUAUGUUAUUAUUGUUGAGAGAACUUGCACUAGUGAAAGUAUGAACCCUAGGCCUUGUUUCCUAUCAUUGCAAUACCGUUUACGCUCACUUUUACCACUUGUUACCUUGCUGUUUUUACAAUUUCAGAUUACAAAAACCUUUAUCUACUAUCUAUUUUGCACUUGUAUCUUCAUCUCUUCGCCGAACUAGUGCACCUCUACAAUUUACAAUUGUAUUGGGUGUGUUGGGGACACAAGAGACUCUUUGUUAUUUGGUUGCAGAGUUGCUUGAGAGAGACCAUCUUCAUCCUACGCCUCUGAUACGUCUCCAACGUAUCUAUAAUUUAUGAAGUAUUCAUGCUAUUAUAUUACCCAUCUAUGGUGUUUUAUAUGCAUUUAUAUAUCAUUUUAUAUGAUUUUUGGGACUAACCUAUUGACCUAGAGCCCAGUGCCAGUUUAUGUUUUCUCCUUGUUUUUGUGUUUUACAGAAAAGGGAUACCAAACGGAGUCCAAAUGACGUGCCAAUUUUUGAGGAUUUUUUUAUGGACCAAAAGAAGACCACGGAGCAUCGGAGUUGGGCCAGAAGAGCUCCGGGCUGCCCACGAGAUAGGAGGGCGCGCCCCUAGGGGGGGCGCCCCCCUGUCUUGUGGACGGCCCGGAGACCCCCCUUACGUGAAACCAACGCCAAUAAUUCCUAUAAAUACAGAAACUUUCGGGAAUUAACCUAGAUCGGAAGUUCCGCCGCUGCAAGCCUCUGUAGCCACGAGAAAUCAAUCUAGGCCCUCUCUGGCACCCUGCCAGAGGGGGCCAUCAUCACCGGAGGCCAUGGAGGAGGAUCUCCGAGGGGCCAUCAUCUCCAUGAAGGCCUAGGACCAGAGGGGGAAAGCCACGGAGGAGGAAGCACAAGGGGGAGAACCUCUCCUCCUCUUUCUUGGUGGCACCAGAGUGCCAUCGGGAGGGGAAUCAUCGCCGCGGUGAUCGUCUUCAUCAACAUCACCAUCAUCAUCACCAUCCUCAUCUCUUUUACACGGUCCACUCUCCCGCACUCCGCUGUAAUCCCUACUUGAACAUGGUGCUUUAUGCUACAUAUUAUGAUCCAAUGAUGUGUUGCCAUCUUAUGAUGUUUUGAGUAGAUAUCUUUUGUCUUUGGGUUGAUUGAUGAUCUAGAUUGGUAUGAGUUGUAUGUUUCGCUUUGAUGCUGUCCUAUGGUGCCCUCCAUGUCGCACAAGCAUGAGGAUUCCCGCUGUAGGGUGUUGCAACACAUUCAUGAUUCGCUUAUAGUGGGUUGGUGAGUGACGGAAACACGAACCCGAGUAAGAGGGGUUGUUGCGUAUGGGAAUAAAGAGGACUUGAUGCUUUAAUGCUAUGGUUGGGUUUUACCUUAAUAAUCUUUAGUAUUUGCGGACGCUUGCUAGGGUUCCAAUCAUAAGUGCAUAUGAUCCAAGUAGAGAAAGUAUGUUAGCUUUUGCCUCUCCCUCAUAUGAAAUUGCAAUAGUGACUACCGGUCUUGUUAACAAUUGCCUAGGACAAUUCCGCACACCGAUCCACCAUUAUUCCACACUCGCUAUUUAUAUUAUUUAGUAUUAUAUUCUAACUUCAUGAUAACAGCACCUACUUUUAUGUUUUAGCUCUCCGAUAUCAUACAAAGUUAUCCUCUUUAUACCCACAACACAGUUUUAUUUCUUGUUUCUAGUUGGAAGCAAACGUUCGGUGCACGUAGAGUCGUAUCAGUGGAAGAUAGGGCUUGAGAGAAUAUUGAUCUUACCUUUAUCUCCUUGUGGGUUCGACACUCCAUACUUAUCACUUCCACCUUUGGGAAUUGCUACGAUGAUUCCUUGCACUUGGGGAUUAUCAAGCUCUUUUCUGGCGCCGUUGCCGGGGAGCAAUAGCGUGGGGUUGAUAUUCUCGUGUGUGCUUGUUUGCUUUCUUUACUUAGUAGAUUUUGUUUUUCCUUUUUGUUUCUGUUUAGUUGUGGGUGAAACAUAUAAAAAAUUCAAAAAGAAUUAAAAUACCAAAAAGGAAUUGCUUGCCUUUCAUGCCUAAAAAAGUUUUUAGAAAAGAGAAGUGAUUGGAAAGUUAUGCAUUGAAGAAGUGAGGGUCGACCUUGAGCACUUGUGUUCAUGCUCACGGAAACAAUGUAGAAUUUUUUCAUGGAAGUUUCUCUGUAAAUAAUUAUCCCCUUGUAUAUAUUCAUUGUAUUAUAAAAUUAAUGUGUCAAGCUUUGGUUUUAGCAUGAUAAGAUUUCUUGUUUACUAUGUGCAGAACAAAAACAGAAACUUUGGCUGUAGUGCAUGAAUUUACAUUUUUUACUGGAAAGUCAAAUGGGUCUGAAACUUUUUACACAUUACUUCUUUACAAAAUGUUCAAAUUGUAAAAUGUAUUUCAUAAUUUUUGGAGUUACAGAAGUUUACUAAACUUCCAGAUUACUAUAGACUGUCCUGUUCUUAACAGAUUCUAUUUUUCGUGUGUUGUUUGCUUAUUUUGAUGCAUCUAUGGCUAGUAUCGGGGGGUAUGAACCAUAGAGAAGUUGGAAUACAGUAGGUUUACCACCAAUAUAAACAAAGAAUGAGUUAAUUACAAUACUUUAAAGUGGUAGUUUGCUUUAUUACACUAACGGAUCUCACAAAGUUUUUGUUUAAGUUUUUGUGAAUGAAGUGUUUGAAGAACGAGGAGUUACCGAUGUGAGAAGAAAAAGAGAGAGAGAAGAGUUCAAACUUGGGGAUGCCCAAGGCACCCCAAGUAAAUAUUUCAAAGGAUACUCAAGCGCCUAAGCUUGGGGAUGCCCCGGUGGCAUCCCAUCUUUCUUCUUCGACAAAUAUCGGUAUACCUCGGUUUUUGUUUUGUUCACAUUGUUUGUGUCCUUUGUGUUUGUAUUUUCCUUUAAGAAUCAUGCUAGUAUGAGAUAGCUCUUCAUUGAUUUAUAGAAUACUUCAUGUGCUUCACUUAUAUCUUUUAAGUAUGAUCUUAUAGAAUUGCUCCAUGAACCUCACUUAUAUCUUUUGGAGUAUGAAUAAUGCUAUAGUUUAAAGUGGGUUUGGAAGAGUGUCAACUUUAUGAAUUAGUGAUCCCACUAUCUUGGAGGGAGUUGAAUCUCUGUACGAUAUUUAUGAAAGUGGAUUUGGAAGAGUGUCAACUUUAGUUAGUAUUCCACUAUUUUUGAAAGAGGUUCCAAUUGAGUAUGAGAACAAAAUAGCUAUCCAUGAUGCUACUGAAAAUUAUUAUGAGGGAGGAAUAUGUGCUUGUAGGAGUUGCAAUAAUGUCAAGUUUCUUCUCUAUGUGCUUAAUGUUUUGGAGUUAAACUUGUUUUGCCUUCCUACGCUAGUUGAUUCUUGUUCCUAUAAUUUGUGUGCUCACAAAAUCCCUAGGCAUAGUAAGUGAGUUAGAUUUAAAUAUGCUAGUCAUAUUCUUCAUGAUGCUCUCUUUGUGUUUCAACUCUUAUAUUUUGUGCGAGCAUCAUUGAAAUCAUCAUGCCUAACUAAAAGGCGUUAAAGAAAAGCGCUUGUUGGGAGACAACCCAAUAUUUAUCCUUACUGUUUUUGUGUGUCAACAUGAUUAAGCUACUGUAGUAAUCAUGUUUUAUAGCUUUUGUUUCAAUAAAGUGCCAAGUAAGACCUUUGGGAAGACUUGGGUGAAAGUUAAUGUGAUCUUGCUGUAAAAAACAGAAACUUUGCGCUCACGAGAUUAGCUGUCAUUUUUUUACAUAAGAGUGAUUUUGAGUUGAUUCUUUUUGCAGAAGAUUAAUAGACAAAUUCCUCACGUCCACCAAUUUAUUUCAUAAUUUUUGGAGUAGCAGAAGUAUGGUUAUUGUUCAGAUCAUUACAGACUGUUCUGUUUCUGACAGAUUCUGUUUUCAUUGCAUAGUUUGCUUGUUUUCUAGUUUCUAUGGCUUAUAUUUCUCAAUAUAAAUUGUAGAAAUGAUAUGGUACAGUAGGCAUUAUGUGAAAAUAAUUAUGAACCUUGUCUUUUACAGUACCAAAGUGCAUGGUUUACUCUUUAUCAUACUAACCUAUCUCACGAAGUUCCAUUAAGUUUUGUGUGAUUGAAGUUUUCAAGUUUUGGGUGAGAUAUCGAUAUGAGGAGAAUAAGGAGUGGAAAUACCCUAAUCUUGGGGAUGCACAAGGCAUUCCAAGGUAAUAUUCAAGGAAGACUCAAGCGCCUAAGCUUGGGGAUGCCCCGGAAGGCAUCCCCUCUUUCGUCUUCAAAACUAUCGGUAUAUCUUACUCGGAGCUAUAUUUUUAUUUGUCACAUGAUAUGUGUUUUGCUUGGAGCGUCAUUUUAUUUUGUUAGUAUUUGCUUUCUGUUAUUUAUAUUAGUGUUUUGCAUCUUCAUUUUCAAUAAAACAGUCAAGGAUAGCCUUUGCCAUGCUUAUUUUGCUUGUAUACAUGUUGCUGUUUGAAAACAGAAAGUUUACCGCUGCUGCAAAAAUUCCCUAGAAAAGUCAGAGAAUGGUAUAACGUUCAAUCUUUUUGCAUAUUGAGCUCUGAUAAAUUCAUUACAGUGGUAAUUUUAGUUCAUAAUUUUUGGGGUCAGGGAAGUAUUGAUACUCUUGCAUUCUUUACAGACUGUACUGUUUUGGCAGAUUGCUGUUAUGUUUGCAUUGUUUGCAUAUGUUUGCUUGUUUAGUGAUUCUAUUUAAGGAUAGGAGUAUUAAAUAUGCAGAGGAAUUUAGUAUGAAAUGUUGAAUAAUAAUUUUAGUGAUUUGUUACAGUAGAAAAUGAUAAGGUUUUGCAUUGGUUUAUACUAACCUAUCUCACGAGUUCUUGUUGAGUUUGUUGUGAAUGAAGCUUUUUAUAAAAAGAGAAACCAUGAUAUGAGAGGAAUUAAGGAGACAUAAAAGCUCAAACUUGGGGAUGCCCAAGGAACCCCAAGAUAAUAUUCCAAGAAGUCUCAAGCAUCUAAGCUUGGGGAUGCCUCGCUAGUCAUCCCACCUUUCUUCUUCAACAACUAUCGGUUAGUAUCGGUUGAGCCUAAGUUUUUGCUUCUUCACAUGAGUUGUGAUAUCCUUGCAAUGUCAUUUUAUUUUGUUUUACUUGCUGUUUGAAUAAAAUCAUUGGAUAUGAAUUAUUGAAUAAAAAGGAAUCCUCCCAUGGCUAGAUAAUUAUUUGACUACUCAGUGUCCUUCACUCAUAUCUUUUGGAGUAGUUUGUCAUUUACUCAUGUGCUUCAUGUAUAUCCUAUGAGUAAAUGGGGGAAAUGAAUUGAAUGCCAUAAAUCUGAAUUUUUAUAUGUUUCAUAUGCUUAUAACAUGGUUAGUGAUGACUUCACACAUAGAAAGUAUGAGGCAUAAAAGUUGUUGAGAGUUGGCAAACGUAGUUUUGGUCAUCAUUGCAAUUAAUAGGAAGUAAUUCGGAAAGAUAGGUUCACAUACAAAUAUAUUAUCUUGGACAUCUUUUAUGAUUGUGAAGCAGUCAUUAAGUAUGACAUGCUAAAAAGAGUUGACAUUGGACAAGGAAGACAACAUAAUGGUUUAUGUUUUCCGACAUCUCAGUUAAAGUAUAUUGUCAUUGACCUUCCAAACAUGUUGAGCUUGCCUUUCCCCCUCAUGCUAGCCAAAAAUUCCUAGCACCAAGUAGAGAUACUACUUGUGCUUCCAAAUAUCCUUAAACCCAGUUUUGCCAUGAGAGUCCACCAUAUCUACUUAUGGAUUGAGUAAGAUCCUUCAAGUAAGUUGUCAUCGGUGCAAGCAAUAAAAAUUGCUCUCUAAAUAUGCAUGACUUAUUAGUGCGGAGAAAAUAAGCUUUGUACGAACUUGUUAUGGAAGCAAUAAAAGCGACGGACUGCAUAAUAAAGGUCCAUAUACAAGGGGCAAUAUAAAGUGAUGUUCUUUCGCAUUAAGAUUUUGUGUAUCCAACCCUAAAAGCGCAUGGCAACCUCUGCUUCCCUCUACGAAGGGCCUAUCUUUUACUUUAUGUUUUUACUUUAUGCUUGAGUCAAGGUGAUCCUUACCUUUCCCUUUUUCAUUUUAUCCUUUGGCGAGGCGAGCUCCUCGUGUUUGAAAUAUNNNNNNNNNNNNNNNNNNNNNNNNNNNNNNNNNNNNNNNNNNNNNNNNNNNNNNNNNNNNNNNNNNNNNNNNNNNNNNNNNNNNNNNNNNNNNNNNNNNNNNNNNNNNNNNNNNNNNNNNNNNNNNNNNNNNNNNNNNNNNNNNNNNNNNNNNNNNNNNNNNNNNNNNNNNNNNNNNNNNNNNNNNNNNNNNNNNNNNNNNNNNNNNNNNNNNNNNNAUAUAUAUAUAUAUAUAUAUAUAUAUAUAUAUAUAUAUAUAUCCAAUUGGAUGUAAGUUAGCAUGGGCUAUUAUUGUUGACAUCACCUAAAGGUGAAUAUGUUGGAAGGCAACACAAUAAGCCCCUAUCUUUCUCAGUGUCCGGCUGAAACUCCAUAACCACAAGUAUUGCGUGAGUGUUAGCAAUUGUAGGAGACUAUAUGAUAGUUGAGUAUGUGGACUUGCUGAAAAGCUCUAUUCUUGACUCUUUCUAAUGUUAUGAUAAAUUGCAAUUGCUUCAAUGACUGAGAUUAUAGUUUGUUAGUUCUCAAUGAAGUUUCUGAACCAUGCUUGACAUUGUGAAUAGAUUGUUACUUGAUCAUGAAAAGUUUUAUGAGAUAAGCUACUAUUAUGACACAUAUUGAUGCUAGAAAAGGUGAUUGAAAUUAUCAUUGAUCAAACUUGUGCACCUACUGUUGAGGAACGUAGCAGAAAUUCAAAAUUUUCCUAUGAAUCACCAAGAUCUAUCUAUGGAGAGACUAGCAACAAGGGAAAGAAGAGUGCAUCUACAUACCCUUGUAGAUCGCUAAGCGGAAGCGUUCAAGAGAACGGGGUUGAAGGAGUCGUACUCGUCGUGAUCCAAAUCACCGGAGAUCCUAGUGCCGAACGGACGGCACCUCCGCGUUCAACACACGUACAACCCGGUGACGUCUCCCAUGCCUUGAUCCAGCAAGGUGAGAGGGAGAGGUUGAGGAAGACUCCAUCCAGCAGCAGCAUAACGGCGUGGUGGUGGUGGAGGAGCGUGGCAAUCCUGCAGGGCUUUGCCAAGCACCGCGAGAGAGGAGAAGGGAGAGAGGUAGGGCUGCGCCAGGGAGAGGUGAAACUCAUGUGUUGGCAGCCCCAAAACCCUCAAGUAUAUAUAGGGGAGAGGGAGGGGGGUGCGCCCCCUCUAGGGUUUCCACCCCAAGGGGUGCGGCUGCCCCAAUCCCAUCUAAGGGUGGCGGCCAAGGGGGGAGAGGGGGAAACUUGUCCCCCGAGUUAGGUGGAAGCACCCCCUCCCCAAACCCUAGGCGCCUUGGGCCCUUGGGGGGGGGGGGGGCGCACCAGCCCACCUGGGGCUGGUCCCCUCCCACACUUGGCCCUUGCAGCCCUCCAGGGCCGGUGGCCCCACUUGGUGGACCCCCAGGACCCUCCCGGUGGUCCCGGUACGUUACCGAUAAAACCCGAAACUUUUCCAAUGACCAAAACAGGACUUCCCAUAUAUAAUUCUUUACCUCCGGACCAUUCCAGAACUCCUCGUGACGCCCGGGAUCUCAUACGGGACUCCGAGCAACAUUCGGUAACCACAUACAAACUUCCUUUAUAACCCUAGCGUCAUCGAACCUUAAGUGUGUAGACCCUACGGGUUCGGGAACCAUGUAGACAUGACCGAGACAUUCUCCGGUCAAUAACCAACAGCGGUAUCUGGAUACCCAUGUUGGCUCCCACAUGUUCCAUGAUGAUCUCAUCGGAUGAACCACGAUUUCAAGGACUCAAUCGAUCCCGUAUACAAUUCCCUUUGUCUAACGGUAUUGUACUUGCCCGAGAUUCGAUCGUCGGUAUCCCGAUACCUUGUUCAAUCUCGUUACCGGCAAGUCUCUUUACUCAUUCCAUAACACAUCAUCCCGUGAUCAACCCCUUGGUCACAUUGUGCACAUUAUGAUGAUGUCCUACCGAGUGGGCCCAGAGAUACCUCUCCGUUUACCGGAGUGACAAAUCCUAGUCUCGAUUCGUGCCAACCCAACAGACACUUUCGAAGAUACCUGUAGUGCACCUUUAUAGUCACCCAGUUACGUUGUGACGUUCGGUACACUCAAAGCAUUCCUACGGUAUCCGGGAGUUGCACAAUCUCAUGGUCUAAGGAAAAGAUACUUGACAUUAGAAAAGCUUUAGCAUACGAACUAAGAUCUUUGUGCUAGGCUUAGGAUUGGGUCUUGUCCAUCUCAUCAUUCUCCUAAUGAUGUGAUCCCGUUAUCAACGACAUCCAAUGUCCAUGGUCAGGAAACCGUAACCUUCUAUUGAUCAACGAGCUAGUCAACUAGAGGCUUACUAGGGACAUGGUGUUGUCUAUGUACCCACACAUGUAUCUGAGUUUCCUAUCAAUACAAUUAUAGCAUGGAUAAUAAACGAUUAUCAUGAACAAGGAAAUAUAAUAAUAACUAAUUUAUUAUUGCCUCUAGGGCAUAUUUCCAAUAGUCUCCCACUUGCACUAGAGUCAAUAAUCUAGUUCACAUCGCUAUGUGAUUAACGCUGACAGGUCACAUCGCCAUGUGACCAACAUCCAAAGAGUUUACUAGUGUCACUAAACUAGUUCACAUCAUCAUGUGAUUAAGACUCAAUGAGUUCUGGGGUUUGAUCAUGUUUUGCUUGUAAGAGAGGUUUUAGUCAACGGGUCUGCAACAUUCAGAUCCGUAUGUACUUUGCAAAUCUCUAUGUCAUAUUGUAAAUGCUGCUUCCACGCUCCACUUGGAGCUAUUCCAAAUGGUUGCUCCACUAUAUGUAUCCGGUUUGCUACUCAGAGUCAUUCAGAUAGGUGUUAAGCUUGCAUCGACGCAACUCUUUACGUCGAACUCUUUAUCACCUCCAUAACCGAGAAACAUAUCCUUAUUCCUCUAAGGAUAAUUUUGACCGCCAUCUGGUGAUCCACUCCUUGAUCACCUUUGUACCCUCUUGCCAGACAUGUGGCAAGGCACACAUCAGGUGCGGUACUUAGCAUAGCAUACUGUAGAGCCUACGUCUAAAGCAUAGGGGACGACCUUCGUCCUUUCUCUCUUUUCUGCCGUGGUCGAGCUUUAAGUCUUAACUUCAUACCUUACAUCUCAGGCAAGAACUCCUUCUUUGACUGAUCCAUCUUGAACACCUUCAAGAUCAUGUCAAGGUAUAUGCUCAUUUGAAAGUAUUAUUAAGCAUUUUGAUCUAUCCUUAUAGAUCUUGAUGCUCAAUGUUCAAGUAGCUUAAUCCAGGUUUUUUAUUGAAAAACAUAUUUCAAAUAACCCUAUAUGCUUUCCAGAAAUUCUACAUCAUUUCUGAUCAACAAUAUGUCAACAACAUAUACUCAUCAGAAAUUCUAUAGUGCUCCCACUCACUUCUUUGGAAAUACAAGUUUCUCAUAAACUUUGUAUAAACCCAAAAUCUUUGAUCAUCCUAUCAAAGUGCACAUUCCAACUCCGAGAUGCUUACUCCAGUCCUUAGAAGGAUCGCUGGAGCUAGCAUACCUUUUAGCAUCCUUAGGAUCGACAAAACCUUUCUGAUUGUAUCACAUACAAUCUUUCCUUACGAAAACUGGUAAGGAAACUCGUUUUGACAUCCAUCUGCCAGAUUUCAUAAAUGCAGCUAAUGCUAACAUGAUUCCGACGGACUUAAGCAUCGCUACGGAUGAGAAAAUCUCAUCAUAGUCAACUCCUUGAACUUGUGAAAAACUCUUCGCCACAAGUCGAGCUUCAUAGACGGUGACAUUACCGUCCACGACCGUCUUCUUCUUAAAAAACAUUUAUCUCAAUGGCUUGCCGAUCAUCGGGCAAGUCCACCAAAGUCCAUGAUUUGUUCUGAUACAUGGAUCCUAUCUCAGAUUUCAUGGCUUCUAACCAUUUGUCGGAAUUUGGGCCCACCAUCGCUUCUCCAUAGCUCGUAGGUUCAUUGUUGUCUAGCAACAUGACCUUCAAGACAGGAUUACUGUACCACUCUGAAGUAGUACGCAUCCUUGUCACCCUACGAGGUACGGCAGUGACUUGAUCCGAAACUUCAUGAUCACUAUCAUAAGCUUCUACUUCAAUUGGUGUAGGAGCCACAGGAACAACUUCCUGUGCCCUGCUACACACUAGUUGAAGUGACGGUUCAAUAACCUCAUCAAGUCUCCACCAUCCUCCCACUCAACUUUCCAAGAUAAACUUUUCCUCGAGAAAGGACCCGAUUCAAGAAACAAUCCCUAUUGCUUUCGGAUCUGAAUUAGGAGGUAUACCCAACUGUUUUGGGUGUCCUAUGAAGAUGCAUUUUAUCUGCUUUGGGUUCGAGCUUAUCAACCUGAAACUUUUUCACAUAAGCGUCGCAGCCCCAAACUUUUAAGAAAUGACAACUUAGGUUUCUCUAAACCAUAGUUCAUACGGUGUCAUCUCAACGGAAUUAUGUGGUGCCCUAUUUAAAGUGAAUGUGGUUGUAUCUAAUGCCUAACCCAUAAACGAUAGUGGUAAUUCGAUAAGAGACAUCAUGGUACGCACCAUAUCCAAUAGGAUGCAACUAUGAUGUUUGGACACACCAUCACACUAUGGUGUUCCAGGCGGUAUUAAUUGUGAAACAAUUUCCACAAUGUCUUAAUUGCGUGCCAAAGCUUGUAACUCAGAUACUCAUCUCUGUGAUCAUAUCAUAGAUAUUUUAUCCUCUUGUCACAAUGAUCUUCAACUUCACUCUGAAAUUACUUGAACCAUUCAAUAAUUCAGACUUGUGUUUCAUCAAGUAAAUAUACUCAACAUCUACUCGAAUCAUCUGUGAAGUAAGAACAUAACGAUAUUCACUGCAUGCCUUAGCACUCAUUGGACUGCUCACAUCAAAAUGUGUUACUUCCAACAAGUUGCUAUCUUGUUCCAUCUUACUGAAAACGAGGCUUUUCAGUCAUCUUGCCCAUGUGGUAAGAUUUGCAUAUCUCAAGUGAUUCAAAAUCAAGUGAGUCCAGACGAUCCAUCUGCAUGGAGUUUCUUCAUGCGUAUACACCAAUAGACAUGGUUCGCAUGUCUCAAACUUUUCAAAAAUGAGUGAGUCCAAAGAUCCAUCAACAUGGAGCUUCUUCAUGCGCUUUAUACCAAUAUGACUUACAUGGCAGUGCCACAAGUAAGUGGUACUAUCAUUACUAUCUUAUAUUUUUGGCAUGAAAAUGUGUAUCACUACGAUCGAGAUUUAAUAAACCAUUCCUUUAGGUGCAAGACCAUUGAAGGUAUUAUUCAAAUAAAUAGAGUAACCAUUAUUCUCCUUAAAUGAAUAACCGUAUUGCGAUAGACAUAAUCCAAUCAUGUCUAUGCUCAACGCAAACACCAAAUGACAAUUAUUCAGGUUUAAUACUAAUCUUGAUGGUAGAGGGAGCAUGCGAUGUUUGAUCACAUCAAACUUGGAAACACUUCCAACACAUAUCGUCAUCUCACCUUUAGCUAGUCUCCGUUUAUUCCGUAGCUCUUUUAUUUCGAGUUACUAACACUUAGCAACCGAACCGGUAUCUAAUACCCUGGUGCUACUAGGGGUACUAGUAAAGUACACAUUAACAUAAUGUAUAUCCAAUAUACUUCUAUCGACCUUGCUAGCCUUCUCAUCUACCAAGUAUCUAGGGUAAUUCUGCUUCAGUGGCUGUUCCCCUUAUUACAGAAGCACUUAGUCUCGGGUUUGGGUUCAACCUUGGGUUUGUUCACUAGAGCAGCAGCUGAUUUGCCGUUUCAUGAAGUAUCCCUUCUUGCCCUUGCCCUUCUUGAAACUAGUGGUUUCACCAACCAUCAACAAUUGAUGCUCCUUCUUGAUUUCUACUUUCGCGGUGUCAAACAUCGCGAAUACCUCAAGGAUCAUCAUAUCUAUCCCUGAUAUGUUAUAGUUCAUCACGAAGCUCUAGCAGCUUGGUGGCAAUGACUUUGGAGAAACAUCACUAUCUCAUUUGGAAGAAACUCCCACUCAAUUCAAGUGAUUGUUGCACUCAGACAAUCUGAGCACAAGCUCAACGAUUGAGCUUUUCUCCCUUAGUUUGCAGGCUAAGCAAAUCGUCGGAGGUCUUAUACCUCUUGACGUGGGCACGAGCCUGAAAUCCCAAUUUCAGCCCUCGAAACAUCUCAUAUGUUCCGUGAUGUUUCGAAAAACGUCUUUGGUGCCUCAACUCUAAACCGUUUAACUGAACUAUCACGUAGUUAUCAAAACGUGUAUGUCCGAUGUUCGCAACAUCCAUAAACGACGUUUGGGGUUCAGCACACUGAGCGGUGCAUUAAGGACAUAAGCUUUAUACUGUCCGCAUAAUCGCUACUGUCAACUUUCAACUAUAUUUUCUCUAGGAACAUAUCUAAACAGUGGAACUAAAGCGCGAGCUUACGACAUAAUUUGCAAAGAUCUUUUGACUAUGUUCAGGAUAAUUAAGUUCAUCUUAUGAACUCCCACUCAGAUAGACAUCCCUCUAGUCAUCUAAGUGAUUACAUGAUCCGAGUCAACUAGGCCAUGUCCGAUCAUCACGUGAGACAGACUAGUCAUCAUCGGUGAACAUCUUCAUGUUGAUCGUAUCCUCCAUACGACUCAUGCUCGACCUUUCGGUCUCUUGUGUUCUGAGGCCAUGUCUGUACAUGCUAGGCUCGUCAAGUUAACCUAAGUGUUUCGCGUGUGUAAAUCUGGCUUACACCCGUUGUAUGUGAACGUAAGAAUCUAUCACACCCGAUCAUCACGUGGUGCUUCGAAACGACGAACUUUCGCAACGGUGUUAGGGGGAACACUUUCUUGAAAUUUUAAUGAGGGAUCAUCUUAUUUACUACCGUCGUUCUAAGCAAAUAAGAUGCAUAAACAUGAUAAACAUCACAUGCAAUCAAAUAGUGACAUGAUAUGGCCAAUAUCAUAUUGCUCCUUUUGAUCUCCAUCUUCGGGGCUCCAUGAUCAUCAUCGUCACCGGCAUGACACCAUGAUAUCCAUCAUCAUGAUCUCCAUCAUCGUGUCUUCAUGAAGUUGUCUCGCCAACUUAUUACUUCCACUACUAUGGUUACCGGUUAGCAAUAAAGUAAAGUAAUUACAUGGCAUUGUUCAAUGACACGCAGGUCAUACAAUAAAUAAAGACAACUCCUAUGGCUCCUGCCGGUUGUCAUACUCAUCGACAUGCAAGUCGUGAUUCCAAUUACAAGAACAUGAUCAAUCUCAUACAUCACAUAUCCUUCAUCACAUUCUUCUUGGCCAUAUCACAUCACAUAGCAUACCCUGCAAAAACAAGUUAGACGUCCUCUAAUUGUUGUUUGCAUGUUUUACGUGGCUGCUAUGGGUUUCUAGCAAGAACGUUUUUACCUACGCAAAACCACAACGUGAUAUGCCAAUUGCUAUUUACCCUUCAUAAGGACCCUUUUCAUCGAAUCCGUUCCGACUAAAGUGGGAGAGACUGGCACCUGCUAGCCACCUUAUGCACCAAGUGCAUGUCAGUCGGUGGAACCUGUCUCAUGUAAGAGUACGUGUAAGGUCGGUCCGGGCCGCUUCAUCCCACAAUACCGUCGAAACAAGAUUGGACUAGUAACGGUAAGCAUAUUGAAAAAAAUCAACGCCCACAACUACUUUGUGUUCUACUCGUGCAAAGAUUCUACGCAAUAGACCUAGCUCAUGAUGCCACUGUUGAGGAACGUAGCAGAAAUUCAAAAUUUUCCUACGAAUCACCAAGAUCUAUCUAUGGAGAGACUAGCAACGAGGGGAAGAAGAGUGCAUCUACAUACCCUUGUAGAUCGCUAAGCGGAAGCGUUCAAGAGAACGGGGUUGAAGGAGUCGUACUCGUCGUGAUCCAAAUCACCAGAGAUCCUAGUGCCGAACGGACGGCACCUCCGCGUUCAACACACGUACAGCCCGGUGACGUCUCCCAUGCCUUGAUCCAGCAAGGUGAGAGGGAGAGGUUGAGGAAGACUCCAUCCAGCAGCAUCAUAACGGCGUGGUGGUGGUGGAGGAGCGUGGCAAUCCCGCAGGAGGGAGGGGGGUGCGCCCCCUCUAGGGUUUCCACCCCAAGGGGUGCGGCUGCCCCAAUCCCAUCUAAGGGUGGCGGCCAAGGGGGGAGAGGGUGAAACUUGUCCCCCAAGUUAGGUGGAAGCACCCCCUNNNNNNNNNNNNNNNNNNNNNNNNNNNNNNNNNNNNNNNNNNNNNNNNNNNNNNNNNNNNNNNNNNNNNNNNNNNNNNNNNNNNNNNNNNNNNNNNNNNNNNNNNNNNNNNNNNNNNNNNNNNNNNNNNNNNNNNNNNNNNNNNNNNNNNNNNNNNNNNNNNNNNNNNNNNNNNNNNNNNNNNNNNNNNNNNNNNNNNNNNNGCACCAGCCCACCUGGGGCUGGUCCCCUCCCACACUUGGCCCAUGCAGCCCUCCGGGGCCGGUGGCCCCACUUGUUGGACCCCCGGGACCCUCCCGGUGGUCCCGGUACGUUACCGAUAAAACCCGAAACUUUUCCGGUGACCAAAACAGGACUUCCCAUAUAUAAUACUUUACCUCCGGACCAUUCCAGAACUCCUCGUGACGUCCGGGAUCUCAUCCGGGACUCCGAACAACAUUCUCUAACCACAUACAAACUUCCUUUAUAACCCUAGCGUCAUCGAACCUUAAGUGUGUAGACCCUACGGGUUCGGGAACCAUGUAGACAUGACCGAGACGUUCUCCGGUCAAUAACCAACAGCGGGAUAUGGAUACCCAUGUUGGCUCCCACAUGUUCCAUGAUGAUCUCAUUGGAUGAACCACGAUGUCAAGGACUCAAUCGAUCCCAUAUACAAUUCCCUUUGUCUAACGGUAUUGUACUUGCCCGAGAUUCGAUCGUCGGUAUCCCGAUAACUUGUUCAAUCUCGUUACCGGCAAGUCUCUUUACUCGUUCCAUAACACAUCAUCCCGUGAUCAACCCCUUGGUCACAUUGUGCACAUUAUUGUGAUGUCCUACCGAGUGGGCCCAGAGAUACCUCUCCGUUUACCGGAGUGACAAAUCCCAGUCUCGAUUCGUGCCAACCCAACAGACACUUUCGAAGAUACCUGUAGUGCACCUUUAUAGUCACCCAGUUACGUUGUGACGUUUGGUACACCCAAAGCAUUCCUACGGUAUCCUGGAGUUGCACAAUCUCAUGGUCUAAGGAAAAGAUACUUAACAUUAGGAAAGCUUUAGCAUACGAACUACGAUCUUUGUGCUAGGCUUAGGAUUGGGUCUUGUCCAUCUCAUCAUUCUCCUAAUGAUGUGAUCCCGUUAUCAACGACAUCCAAUGUCCAUGGUCAGGAAACCGUAACCAUCUAUUGAUCAACGAGCUAGUCAACUAGAGGCUUACUAGGGACAUGGUGUUGUCUAUGUACCCACACAUGUAUCUGAGUUUCCUAUCAAUACAAUUAUAGCAAGGAUAAUAAACGAUUAUCAUGAACAAGGAAAUAUAAUAAUAACUAAUUUAUUAUUGCCUCUAAGACAUAUUUCGAACACCUACUAGCAUUCACACUUCAUAAAUUAUUUCUUUUAUCAUUUACCUACUCAAGGACGAGCAGGAAUUAAGCUUGGGGAUGUUGAUACGUCUCCAACGUAUCUAUAAUUUAUGAAGUAUUCAUGCUAUUAUAUUACCCAUCUAUGGUGUUUUAUAUGUUGGGGAACGUAGCAGAAAUUCAAAAUUUUCCUACGUGUCACCAAGAUCUAUCUAUGGAGAAACCAGCAACGAGGGGAAGGAGAGUGCAUCUACAUACCCUUGUAGAUCGCUAAGCGGAAGCGUUCAAGAGAACGGGGUUGAAGGAGUCGUACUCGCCGUGAUCCAAAUCACCGGAGAUCCUAGUGCCGAACGGACGGCACCUCCGCGUUCAACACACGUACAGCCCGGUGACGUCUCCCACGCCUUGAUCUAGCAAGGAGAGAGGAAGAGGUUGAGGAAGACUCCAUCCAGCAGCAGCACAACGGCGUGGUGGUGAUGGAGGAGCGUGGUAGUCUGGCAGGGCUUCGCCAAGCACCGCGAGAUAUGAGGAGAAAGAGAGGUAGUGCUGCGCCAACAGGAGAAGAAACUCAUGUGUUGGGAUGCUCCAAUGCCUCCACUAUAUAUAGGGGGAGAGGGGGCUGCGCCCCCACCUAGGUUUCCAGCCCUAGGGAGCGGCGGCCAGCCCUAGAUGGGACUUGGAGGGGGCGGCCAAGAGGGGGAGAGAGGGGGCGCGCCCUAGGGUGGGCCUAUAGGCCCAUCUGCGCCUAGGGUUUCCCCUCUUCCCUCCUAGCUGCGCCUUGGGCAAGGGUGGGAGGCGCACCAGCCCACUCUGGGGCUGGUCCCUUUCCACUCUAGGCCCAUGCAAGCCUCCGGGGCUGGUGGACCCUCCCGGUGGACCCCGGAACCCUUCCGGUGGUCCCGAUACAUUACCGGUGACCCUCAAAACACUUCCGGUGGCCAAAACCUCACUUCCUAUAUAUUAUUCUUUACCUCCGGACCAUUCCGGAACUCCUCGUGACGUCCGGGAUCUCAUCCGGGACUCCGAACAACAUUCGGUAACCACAUACAAACUUCCUUUAUAACCCUAGCAUCAUCGAACCUUAAGUGUGUAGACCCUACGGGUUCGGGAACCAUGCAGACAUGACCGAGACGUUCUCUGGUCAAUAACCAACAGCGGGAUCUGGAUACCCAUGUUGGCUCCCACAUGUUCCACGAUGAUCUCAUCAAAUAAACCACGAUGUCAAGGACUCAAUUGAUCCCGUAUACAAUUCCCUUUGUCUAGCGGUAUUAUACUUGCCCGAGAUUCGAUUGUCGGUAUGCCGAUACCUUGUUCAAUCUCGUUACCGGCAAGUCUCUUUACUCGUUCCCGUAACACAUCAUCCCGUGAUCAACUCCUUGGUCACAUUGUGCACAUUAUGAUGAUGUCCUACCGAGUGGGCCCAGAGAUACCUCUCUGUUAACCGGAGUGACAAAUCCCAGUCUCGAUUCGUGCCAACCCAACAGACACUUUCGGAGAUACCUGUAGUGCACCUUUAUAGCCACCCAGUUACAUUGUGACGUUUGGUACACCCAAAGCAUUCUUACGGUAUCCGGGAGUUGCACAAUCUCAUGGUCUAAGGAAAAGAUACUUGACAUUAGAAAAGCUUUAGCAUACGAACUACACGAUCUCUGUGCUAUGCUUAGGAUUGGGUCUUGUCCAUCACAUCAUUCUCCUAAUGAUGUGAUCCCGUUAUCAACGACAUCCAAUGUCCAUGGUCAGGAAACCGUAACCAUCUGUCGAUCAACGAGCUAGUCAACUAGAGGCUUACUAGGGACAUGGUGUUGUUUAUGUACCCACACAUGUAUCUGAGUUUCCUAUCAAUACAAUUAUAGCAUGGGUAAUAAACGAUUAUCAUGAACAAGGAAAUAUAAUAAUAACUAAUUUAUUAUUGCCUCUAGGGCAUAUUUCCAACAGUCUCCCACUUGCACUAGAGUCAAUAAUCUAGUUCACAUCGCCAUGUGAUUAACACUCACACGUCACAUCGCUAUGUGACCAACAUCCAAAGAGUUUACUAGUGUCAUUAAACUAGUUCACAUCAUCAUGUGAUUAAGACUCAAUGAGUUCUGGGGUUUGAUCAUGUUUUGCUUGUGAGAGAAGUUUUAGUCAACGAUUCUGCAACAUUCAGAUCCAUAUGUACUUCGCAAUUCUCUAUGUCAUAUUGUAAAUGCUGCUUCCACGCUCCACUUGGAGCUAUUCCAAAUGGUUGCUCCACUAUACGUAUCCGGUUUGCUACUCAGAGUCAUUCGGAUAGGUGUUAAAGCUUGCAUCGACGUAAACCUUUACGCCGAACUCUUUAUCACCUCCAUAAUCGAGAGACAUGUCCUUAUUUACUCCAAGGACAAUUUUGACCGCUGUCCAAUGAUCCAUUCCUGGAUCAUUCUUGUACCCCUUGACUAACUCAUGGCAAGGCACACUUCCGGUGCGGUACAUAGCAUAGCAUACUAUAGAGCCUACGUCUAAAGCAUAGGGGACGACCUUCGUCCUUUCUCUCUGUUCUGCCGUGGUCGAGCUUUAAGUCUUAACUUCAUACCUUACAUCUCAGGCAAGAACUCCUUCUUUGACUGAUCCAUCUUGAACACCUUCGAGAUCAUGUCAAGGUAUAUGCUCAUUUGAAAGUACCAUUAAGCGGUUUUUGAUCUAUCCUCAUAGAUCUUGAUGCUCAAUGUUCAAGUAGCUUAAUCCAGGUUUUCACUUGAAAAACACCUUUCAAAUAACCCUAUAUGCAUUCCAGAAAUUCUACAUCAUUUCUGAUCAUCAAUAUGUCAACAACAUAUACUCAUCAGAAAUUCUAUAGUGCUCCCACUCACUUCUUUGGAAAUACAAGUUUAUCAUAAACUUUGUAUAAACCCAAAAUCUUUGAUCAUCUUAUCAAAGUACAUAUUCCAACUCAGAGAUGCUUACUCCAGUCCAUGGAAGGAUCGCUGGAGCUAGCAUACCUUUUAGCAUCCUUAGGAUCGACAAAACCUUUCUGAUUGUAUCACAUACAAUCUUUCCUCAAGUAUAACAUCGAGGAAACAAUGUUUUGACAUCCUAUCUGCAAGAUUUCAUAAAUCAUGCAGUAAUUGCUAAUAUAAUCCCAACAGAUUCUUAGCAUCGCUACGAGUGAGAAAGGCUCAUCGUAGUCAACUCCUUGAACUUGUCGGAAAACAUCUUAACGAUAAGUCGAGCUUUCUUAAUGGUGAUACUUACCAUCAUUGUCUGUCUUUCUUUUCAAAUCCAUCUGUACCCAACGGCCUUACGACCAUCAAGUAUUUCUUCCAAAGUCAUGGAUCCUCUCUCGGAUUUUAUGGCUUCGAGCCAUUCAUCGGAAUCCGGGCCCACCAUCACUUCUCCAUAGCUCGUAGGUUCAUUGUUGUCUAGCAACAUGACCUCCAAGACAAGAUUACAGUACCACUCCGAAGCAGUACGCGUCCUUGUCGUCCUACGAGGUUCGAUAGUGACUUGAUCCGAAGCAUCAUGAUCACUAUCAUCAUCUUCCACUUCAAUUGGUGUAGGUGCCACAUGAACAACUUCUGUGCCCUGCUACACACUGGUUGAAGUGAUGGUUCAAUAACCUCAUCAAGUCUCCACCAUCCUCCCACUCAAUUCUUUCGAGAGAAACUUUUCUCGAGAAAGGACCCGAUUCAAGAAACAAUUACUUUUGCUUCCGGAUCUGAGAUAGUAGGUAUACCCAACCAUUUUGGGUAUCCUAUGAAGAUGUAUUUAUCCGUUUUGGGUUCGAUCUUAUCACGAUGAAACUUUUUCACAUAAGCGUCACAGCCCCAAACUUUUAAGAAACGACAACUUAGGUUUCUCUAAACCACAGUUCAUACGUUGUCAUCUCAACGGAAUUACGUGGUGCCCUAUUAAUGUGAGUGUGGUUGUCUCUAAUGCCAAACCCAUGAAGAUAGUGGUAAUUCGAUAAGAGACAUCAUGGUACGCACCAUAUCCAAUAGGGUGCAACUAUGAUGUUCGGACACACCAUCACACUAUGGUGUUUCAGGCGGUAUUAAUUGUGAAACAAUUUCCACAAUGUCUUAAUUGCGUGCCAAAGCUCGUAACUUAGAUACUCAUCUCUAUGAUCAUAUCAUAGACAUUUUAUCCUCUUGUCACGAUGAUCUUCAACUUCACUCUGAAAUUACUUGAACCAUUCAAUAAUUCAGACUUGUGUUUCAUCAAGUAAAUAUACUCAACAUCUACUCGAAUCAUCUGUGAAGUAAGAACAUAACGAUAUACACUGUGUGCCUUAGCACUCAUUGGACUGCACACAUCAAAAUGUGUUACUUCCAACAAGUUGCUUUCUUGUUCCAUCUUACUGAAAACGAGGCUUUUCAGUCAUCUUGCCCAUGUGGUAUGAUUUGCAUAUCUCAAGUGAUUCAAAAUCAAGUGAGUCUAAACGAUCCAUCUGCAUGGAGUUUCUUCAUGCGUAUACACCAAUAGACAUGGUUCGCAUGUCUCAAACUUUUCAAAAAUGAGUGAGUCCAAAGAUCCAUCAACAUGGAGCUUCUUCAUGCAUUUUUAUGACUUACAUGGCAGUGCCACAAGUAGGUGGUACUAUCAUUACUAUCUUAUAUCUUUUGGCAUGAACAUGUGUAUCACUAUGAUUGAGAUUCAAUAAACCAUUCAUUUUGGGUGCAAGACCAUUGAAGGUAUUAUUCAAAUAAACAGAGUAACCAUUAUUCUCCUUAAAUGAAUAACUGUAUUGCGAUAGACAUAAUCCAAUCAUGUCUAUGCUCAACGCAAACACCAAAUAACAAUUAUUUAGGUUUAACACCAAUCUCGAUGGUAGAGGGAGCGUGCGAUUCUUGAUCACAUCAAGAUUGGAAAACACUUCCAACACAUAUCGUCAGCUCACCUUUAGCUAGUCUCCGUUUAUUCCGUAGCUUUUAUUUCGAGUUACUAACACUUAGCAACCAAACCGGUAUCUAAUACCCUGGUGCUACUAGGAGUACUAGUAAAGUACACAUUAACAUAAUGUAUAUCCAAUAUACUUCUAUCAACCUUGCCAGCCUUCUCAUCUACAAGUAUCUAGGGUAAUUCUGCUCCAGUGGAUGUUCCCUUUAUUAUAGAAGCACUGAGUCUCGGGUUUCGGUUCAACCUUGGGUUUCUUCACUAGAGCAGCAGCUGAUUUGCCGUUUCAUAAAGUAUCCCUUUCUUGCCCUUGCCCUUUUUGAAACUAGUGGUUUCACUAACCAUCAACAAUUGAUGCUCCUUCUUGAUUUCUACUUUCGCGGUGUCAAACAUCACGAAUAUUUCAAGGAUCAUCAUAUCUAUCCUGAUAUGUUAUAGUUCAUCACGAAGCUCUAGCAGCUUGGUGGCAAUGACUUUGGAGAAACAUCACUAUCUCAUCUGGAAGAUAAACUCCCACUUGAUUAAAGUGAUUGUUGUACUCAAACAAUAUGAGCACAAGCUCAACGAUUGAGCUUUUCUCCCUUAGUUUGCAGGCUAAGAAAAUCGUCGGAGGUCUCAUACCUCUUGAUGUGGGCAUGAGCCUGAAAUCCUAAUUUCAGCCCUCGAAACAUCUCAUAUGUUCCGCGACGUUUCGAAAACGUCUUUGGUGCCUCAACUCUAAACCGUUUAACUGAACUAUCACGUAGUUAUCAAAACGUGUAUGUCCGAUGUUUGCAACAUCCACAAACGACGUUUGGGGUUCAGCACACUGAGCGGUGCAUUAAGGACAUAAGCUUUCUACUGUCCGCAUAAUCGCUACUGUCAACUUUCAACUAUAUUUUUCUCUAGGAACAUAUCUAAACAGUGGAACUAAAGCGCGAGCUUACGACAUAAUUUGCAAAGAUCUUUUGACUAUGUUCAGGAUAAUUAAGUUCAUCUCAUGAACUCCCACUCAGAUAGACAUCCCUCUAGUCAUCUAAGUGAUUACAUGAUCCGAGUCAACUAGGCCGUGUCCGAUCAUCAUGUGAGAUGGACUAGUCAUCAUCGGUGAACAUCUUCAUGUUGAUCGUAUCCACCAUACGACUCAUGCUCGACCUUUCGGUCUCUUGUGUUCCGAGACCAUGUCUGUACAUGCUAGGCUCGUCAAGUUAACCUAAGUGUUUCGCAUGUGUAAAUCUGGCUUACACCCGUUGUAUGUGAACGUAAGAAUCUAUCACACCCGAUCAUCACGUGGUGCUUCGAAACGACGAACUUUCACAACGGUGCAUAGUUAGGGGGAACACUUUCUUGAAAUUUUAAUGAGGGAUCAUCUUAUUUACUACCGUCGUUCUAAGCAAAUAAGAUGCAUAAACAUGAUAAACAUCACAUGCAAUCAAAUAGUGACAUGAUAUGGCCAAUAUCACAUUGCUCCUUUUGAUCUCCAUCUUCGGGGCUCCAUGAUCAUCAUCGUCACCGGCAUGACACCAUGAUCUCCAUCAUCAUGAUCUCCAUCAUCGUGUCUUCAUGAAGUUGUCUCGCCAACUAUUACUUCUACUACUAUGGCUACCGGUUAGCAAUAAAGUAAAGUAAUUACAUGGCGUUGUUUAAUGACACGCAGGUCAUACAAUAAAUAAAGACAACUCCUAUGGCUCCUGCCGGUUGUCAUACUCAUCGACAUGCAAGUCGUAAUUCCUAUUACAAGAACAUGAUCAAUCUCAUACAUCACAUAUCAUUCAUCAUAUUCUUCUUGGGCAUAUCACAUCACAUAGCAUACCCUGCAAAAACAAGUUAGACGUCCUCUAAUUGUUGUUUGCAUGUUUUACGUGGUUGCUAUGGGUUUCUAGCAAGAACGUUUCUUACCUACGCAAAACCACAACGUGAUAUGCCAAUUGCUAUUUACCCUUCAUAAGGACCCUUUUCAUCGAAUCCGUUCCGACUAAAGUGGGAGAGACUGGCACCCGCUAGCCACCUUAUGCACCAAGUGCAUGUCAGUCGGUGGAACCUGUCUCACGUAAGUGCACGUGUAAGGUCGGUCCGGGCUGCUUCAUCCCACAAUACCGUCGAAACAAGAUUGGACUAGUAACGGUAAGCAUAUUGAACAAAAUCAACGCCCACAACUACUUUGUGUUCUACUCAUGCAAAGAAUCUACGCAAUAGACCUAGCUCAUGAUGCCACUGUUGGGGAACGUAGCAGAAAUUCAAAAUUUUCCUACGUGUCACCAAGAUCUAUCUAUGGAGAAACCAACAACGAGGGGAAGGAGAGUGCAUCUACAUACCCUUGUAGAUCGCUAAGCGGAAGCGUUCAAGAGAACGGGGUUGAAGGAGUCGUACUCGCCGUGAUCCAAAUCACCUGAGAUCCUAGUGCCAAACGGACGGCACCUCCGCGUUCAACACACGUACAGCCCGGUGACGUCCCCCACGCCUUGAUCCAACAAGGAGAGAGGGAGAGGUUGAGGAAGACUCCAUCCAGCAGCAGCACAAUGGUGUGGUGGUGAUGGAGGAGCGUGGUAGUCCAGCAGGGCUUCGCCAAGCACCGCGAGAUAUGAGGAGAAAGAGAGGUAGGGCUGCGCCAACAGGAGAAGAAACUCAUGUGUUGGGCUGCUCCAAUGCCUCCACUAUAUAUAGGGGGAGAGGGGGCUGCGCCCCCACCUAGGUUUCCACCCCUAGGGGGCGGCGGCCAGCCCUAGAUGGGACUUUGAGGGGGCAGCCAAGAGGGGGAGAGAGGGGGCGCGCCCUAGGGUGGGCCUAUAGGCCCAUCUGCGCCUAGGGUUUCCCCUCUCCCCUCCUAGCUGCACCUUGGGCAAGGGUGGGAGGCGCACCAGCCCACUCCGGGGCUGGUCCCUUUCCACUCUAGGCCCAUGCAAGCCUCCGGGGCUGGUGGACCCUCCCGGUGGACCCCGGAACCCUUCCGGUGGUCCCGAUACAUUACCGGUGACCCUCGAAACACUUCCGGUGGCCAAAACCUCACUUCCUAUAUAUUAUUCUUUACCUCCGGACCAUUCCGGAACUCCUCGUGACAUCCGGGAUCUCAUCCGGGACUCCAAACAGCAUUCGGUAACCACAUACAAACUUCCUUUAUAACCCUAGCGUCAUCGAACCUUAAGUGUGUAGACCCUACGGGUUCGGGAACCAUGCAGACAUGACCGAGAUGUUCUCCAGUCAAUAACCAACAGCGGGAUCUGGAUACCCAUGUUGGCUCCCACAGGUUCCAUGAUGAUCUCAUCAGAUGAACCACGAUGUCAAGGACUCAAUCGAUCCCGUAUACAAUUCCCUUUGUCUAGCGGUAUUGUACUUGCCCGAGAUUCGAUUGUCGGUAUGCCGAUACCUUGUUCAAUCUCGUUACCGGCAAGUCUCUUUACUCGUUCCCGUAACACAUCAUCCCGUGAUCAAAUCCUUGGUCACAUUGUGCACAUUACGAUGAUGUCCUACCGAGUGGGCCCAGAGAUACCUCUCCGUUAACCGGAGUGACAAAUCCCAGUCUUGAUUCGUGCCAACCCAACAGACACUUUCGGAGAUACCUGUAGUGCACCUUUAUAGCCACCUAGUUACGUUGUGACGUUUGGUACACCCAAAGCAUUCUUACGGUAUCCAGGAGUUGCACAAUCUCAUGGUCUAAGGAAAAGAUACUUGACAUUAGAAAAGCUUUAGCAUACGAACUACACGAUCUCUAUGCUAUGCUUAGGAGUGGGUCUUGUCCAUCAAAUCAUUCUCCUAAUGAUGUGAUCCCGUUAUCAACGACAUCCAAUGUCCAUGGUCAGGAAACCGUAACCAUCUGUUGAUCAACGAGCUAGUCAACUAGAGGCUUACUAGGGACAUGGUGUUGUUUAUGUACCCACACAUGUAUCUGAGUUUCCUAUUAAUACAAUUAUAGCAUGGGUAAUAAACGAUUAUCAUGAACAAGGAAAUAUAAUAAUAACUAAUUUAUUAUUGCCUCUAGGGCAUAUUUCCAACAUUAUAUGCAUUUAUAUAUCAUUUUAUAUGAUUUUUGGGACUAACCUAUUGACCUAGAGCCCAAUGCCAGUUUUUGUUUUCUCCUUGUUUUUGUGUUUUACAGAAAAGGGAUACCAAACGGAGUCCAAAUGACGUGCCAAUUUUUGAGGAUUUUUUAUGGACCAAAAGAAGACCAGAGCAUCGGAGUUGGAUAGAAGAGCUCCAGACUGCCCACGAGAUAGGAGGGUGCGCCCCUAGGGCGGGGGUGCCCCCCUGUCUCAUGGAUGCCCGGAGACCCCCCUGACGUGAAACCAACGCCAAUAAUUCCUAUAAAUACUGAAUCUUUUGGGAAUUAACCUAGAUCGGAUGUUCCGCCGCCACAAGCCUUUGUAGCCACGAGAAAUCAAUCUAGGCCCUCUCUGGCACCCCGCCGGAGGGGGCCAUCAUCACCGAAGGCCAUGGAGGAGAAUCUCGGAGGGGCCAUCAUCUCCAUGAAGGCCAAGGACCAGAGGGGGAAAGCCAUGGAGGAGGAAGCACAAGGGGGGGGGGAACCUCUCCUCCUCCCUCUUGGUGGCACCGGAGUGCCAUCAGGAGGGGAAUCAUCGCCGCGGUGAUCGUCUUCAUCAACAUCACCAUCAUCAUCACCAUCCUCAUCUCUUUUACGCGGUCCACUCUCCCACACUCCGCUGUGAUCCCUACUUGAACAUGGUGCUUUAUGCUACAUAUUAUGAUCCAAUGAUGUGUUGCCAUCUUAUGAUGAUUUGAGUAGAUAUCUUUUGUCUUUGGGUUGAUUGAUGAUCUAGAUUGGUAUGAGUUGUAUGUUUCACUUUGAUGCUGUCCUAUGGUGCCCUCCGUGUCGCGCAAGCGUGAGGGAUUCCCGCUGUAGGGUGUUGCAAUACGUUCAUGAUUCACUUAUAGUGGGUUGGUGAGUGACGGAAACACGAACCCGAGUAAGAGGGGUUGUUGCGUAUGGGAAUAAAGAGGACUUGAUGCUUUAAUGCUAUGGUUGGGUUUUACCUUAAUGAUCUUUAGUAUUUGCGGACGCUUGCUAGAUUUCCAAUCAUAAGUGCAUAUGAUUUGCCUCUCCCUCAUAUGAAAUUGCAAUAGUGACUACCGGUCUUGUUAACAAUUGCCUAGGACAAUUCCGCACACCGAUCCACCAUUAUUCCACACUCGCUAUUUAUAUUAUUUAGUAUUAUAUUCUAACUUCAUGAUAACAACACCUACUUUUAUGUUUUAGCUCUCCGAUAUCAUACAAAGUUAUCCUCUUUAUACCCACAACACAGUUUUAUUUCUUGUUUCUAGUUGGAAGCAAACGUUCGGUGCACGUAGAGUCGUAUCAGUGGCAGAUAGGGCUUGAGAGAAUAUUGAUCUUACCUUUGGCUCCUUGUGGGUUCGACACUCCAUACUUAUCACUUCCACCUUUGGGAAUUGCUACGAUGAUUCCUUGCACUUGGGGAUGAUCAGCCUCCUACGGAUUGAUACCUUAGGUCAUCCACUUGAGGGAAAUUUGCUACUGUCCUACAAACCUGUGCACUUGUAGGCCCAACAACGUCUACAAGAAGAAGGUUGUGUAGUAGACAUCAUGUCUCCUUUGUUGUUCAACAUUGCUGCUGAAUGCCUAUGNNNNNNNNNNNNNNNNNNNNNNNNNNNNNNNNNNNNNNNNNNNNNNNNNNNNNNNNNNNNNNNNNNNNNNNNNNNNNNNNNNNNNNNNNNNNNNNNNNNNNNNNNNNNNNNNNNNNNNNNNNNNNNNNNNNNNNNNNNNNNNNNNNNNNNNNNNNNNNNNNNNNNNNNNNNNNNNNNNNNNNNNNNNNNNNNNNNNNNNNNNNNNNNNNNNNNNNNNNNNNNNNNNNNNNNNNNNNNNNNNNNNNNNNNNNNNNNNNNNNNNNNNNNNNNNNNNNNNNNNNNNNNNNNNGGGGGUAGAUUGACUCUGUUGAAUGCUAACAUUUCCAGCAUAGCCUACUAUUACAUGUCCAUGUUUCUUUUGUCUAAGACUAUCGUAGAGAGGCUGGAUAAACAUAGGAGGAGAUUCUUUUCGAAAGUUUCUAAAAAAGGAAACGAUACUACUUGGUUAGGUGGUCCGGGAUUUGUAGAUCCAGAGAAAAAGGGGGACCAGGGGUGAAAGACCUUCAUAGGCAGAAUAUAUGCCUUCUUGUAAAAUGGUGGUGGAAACUUGAGACGAAAAAGGGUCUCUGGCAAGAUAUUAUCAAGGCUAAGUAUUUCAGUAGGGAUACUGUAGCUUCUAUCAAAGGGAAAAUAAAUGAUUCUCCCUGCUGGAAGACCAUUAUGAAAGUGAAAGAUCUGUAUAUGGCUGGUAGGAGGGUGGUCGUCCAAUCUGGUGACAUAGCAAGGUUGUGGACAAACCCAGUUGGCGACCAAACACCAUUUGCUGUUCAAUUUCCCCGGUUGCUUGCCAUUUGCAACUAUCCUAAUUGUGUUGCGAAGGAAUGUUUGGAGGCUGAUCCUAUUUCCUUCUUUCGAAGGAGACUGAAUUGUGAGCUUAAUGAGCAAUGGCAAAAAAUGGUCUCGAUUGUUAAAAAACUCCGUGUCUCUACAAAGAGUGAUAGUACCAAAUGGGGAAUGGGCCCUAAACCAUAUUCUACAACCAAAGCAAUGUAUUCCUAUCUUGAAAGGAACAUCUCAGGAUGUAAUUAUCGGUGGAUAUGGAAAGCUCGUAUGCCUUUGAAAAUUCAAAUUUUCAUGUGGCAGUUAUCGCAGGAUGCGGUGCUGACCAGGGAUGUGAUGAUACAUCGUGGGUGAAACGGGGAGCCCAAGUGCUUGUUUUGUGGGGAAAGGGAAACUUCUCAGCAUCUCUUUUUCACAUGUCCCGUUGCUAGGGUUACCAGGAGAGUUGUGGGGUGCAUGUUUGGCACCGAGCUAUGCCCUGACAAUUUGUGGCACACAUAUGUGUGGUGUUAUGUGUUUUUUCCCUGGUGGAGAUAUCUUUUAUACAGUCGGCAUUGCGGCUAUCUGCUAGGCUAUAUGGGCUUGUCAUAAUAGAGCUACUUAUGAGCAUAUUCCACUCAAAACUCCGUUUGAAUGCAUCUUCUCUGCAUGUGCUCUUCUUUGUUACUGGGCAGGUAUGAUGAAGCAGGAGGAUGCGGCGGCCCUAAGAUCUGGAGGAGCUCUACUGAAGGACAAUGCGUCUCGUCUGAUGAGGAUCUGCGCUACGGCAUACCAGGACGAGGGAGCCUACUGAAGGGAGAGGGCUUGAUGCGUAAAGCCUUCGAUAUUUUGGAUAGAUACCUCCUGCAUGAGGAUGAUUGAGCCAUGCUGCUCUGUUCUGAGCAGUGUUUCUUAGUGAUCUGGCUUUAGACAAUGAUUUUUCUCUUUUGGGUCAUGGAUUUAUGGUGUCGUCGGGUUUUCGUCCCAUAGUGACUAAUCUCGAUGGCGAGUGCUCAUGGUGGGUUUCCUGGCGAUGCUUGAACCCGCUUUCCUCUUUCCCGUUUCAUUCUCUGGACAUGGUUGUAUUUUCGUUAUGUCACAGUAAUGGAAAGGGGCAAUGCCCGGUUCAAAAACAAUCAUGGAGCCGCUACAGAGAAUGUUCCAAUUGGCAGCUCAGAGAGGCAUACUUUCACUGCUUGCACAGAGAGGGAUGGCGUAAAGGGUAUCAAUGUUCACAGAUGAUGUUAUGGUCUUCCUAAAAUCGACGACAGUGGACCUACAUGCAUGUGUUUCCAUCCUACAGCUCUUUAGGGAUGCCUCUGGUUUGCGGGUCAAUCUCGCCAAAUGCGCAGCGCUACUGAUUACAUGCAACGCGCGAUAGAUGAAGCGGGUCACCCAAAUCCUGGGAUGCCCAAUCGGUACUUUCCCGUGCAAAUACAUGGGCCUUCCCCUCACUGUGAGAAAACAAAUGGCGACGCAAUUAUCAAGGCUGGUAGAUCAAUUGGCAACCUGUUUACCAAGUUGGAAGGCCGCCAAUAUGCCGAAAAGCGGAAGAAUGUUCUUGUUAAGUCAGUGUUAUGUGCAAUACGAAUUCACGUGAUGAUGGCACUGGACAUCCCAAACAAGACAAUUGCAGCAAUGGUCAAGAUAUGUAGAGGCUUCUUAUGGAGUGGAAAAGCUCAGGCGAGCGGUGGACAGUGUGCAGUGGCCUAGGUAGAGGUUUGCACGCCAAGAUGGGCAGGUGGACUAGGCCUUCCAAAUCUACAACGGCUAAAUGUUGCCACGCAGGCGCGAUGUCCGUGACUCAAGCGGUCGGACCCCUCGAGGCCCUAGAGUGAGUUUGACAUACAAAUACAGGUACCCAAAGAAUCCAUGGACCUAUUCAGAACAGCCAUCCACUCGACCGUGGGCAACGGAAACACAACUCUCUUCUGGGAGGACAGAUGGGUUCAGGGCCACAGGAUGGAGGAGUUAGCGCCUAGCCUCUAUGGCCAUGUGAGGCAAGCCACGCGAGCCACUAGAAUGGUUUCCCAAAGAAUGAUGAAUGGCGUUUGGGCCAUGGAAAUUGGACCAGAGCUCUUGUCGGGGAUAUACCCCGCAGUAUGACCCGGCCGGAAGUAUGACCCGACCGGACUUGGCGCUUCACCGAUGACCCGCCGGAGGACUGGCGACUCACGGGUCUGGCGGCUCACUGGUCAGACGACUCACGGAUGACCCCGACAGCGGGUCACAUAGAAGACUAGGCCCAAGGCCCAGUAGGCCGGCUCAUAUUAGGGUGGGCCGGCUUAAGACAGAAGGCAUGAGGAAUAUUUCCUUUACGGGGAAGCAAAACCCGUACUUGUAUCCGACUUGGAAUAGAGAAUAAGUUAGUUCUAAUCCUAAUAGGACUCUACAUGUAAGCCGCCCCUCUAACUUAUAUAAGGAGGGGCAGGGCUCCCCAAGAGGGGCAAGCAGCAAGAAACAAUAUCUAGGGCUAGACACAAAGGGGGAGCCGGCUUAUGCGGCGACUCCCUCAUGAGCAUAAUGAGACCUAGCCUCAAACAGCAUGUAGGGCUAUUACCGGAUGAUGUUUCCCGGGGCCCGAAGCUGUCUAAAUCUUCGUCUUGUGUGUUGCGUCUCUCGAUUCCGCCCAACCCCUCUCAAGCUACCACAUAGAUGCGUUGGCCUCACGACUAAGUCCUCACACUAGGACAUCUGCCGUGACAAUUCCACCACAGCUCUCAUCACAAAUGCUUUAGGAAUACCUGCUACUGUGGGAGCGGAUGGAGACAAUACAACUCGACCAAGACAAAGAUGACUCGGUGCACUGGGCAUGUGAGGCAAAUGGAACUUUCUCAACGCAAUCAACAUACAACACAAGGUUUUGGGGCCGUAAGAUCGCACCGGCGGCAAAGUUCACUUGGAAGUCAAGGGCGCCGCUGAGAUGCAGGUUCUUUGCAUGGCUUGCCCUGCGAAACAGAUGUUGGACCUCAGACAGACUAGCACGACGUGGACUAGACCACCAAGAAGCCUUCCUGCUCCGCGACCAAGUGGAGGAAAGCAUUCACCACAUCCUCGUCCAAUGUGUCCUUGUGAGGGACGUAUGGACCCGAGCCUGCAUGUCAUUGAACAAACAAGAAUUGAUCCCAACACGGGCUACAAGGCUUAUAGAAUGGUGUGCACAAUUAAGGGUGGAACCGACGGAGAAGGGAAAGAUGUCCGUGCCCUAAUCCUACUAGUGAUGUGGGAGCUAUGGAAGCAUCGCAACGCGGUCGUGUUCGAUGGAUCAACACCAUCGAUGGGAAGUGUACUCCGUAGAAUUGAGGUCGGAGAGUAGAUCAUGGAAGUCAAAGGGCAUUACCAAGGCGGACAUGGAGAGCUUUCUUGAAGCUCUAAGAGUGGGUAGUGACGCGAGAAGUUAGCAUCAUGUAAUUUGGAACGCGUGGAGUUGGUUGUAUAUAUAUAUAUGUAAACCCAACGUGGAGGGGUUCUUUCCCCCUCCCUCUCCUUUGAUAUAAUGUAUGCACACUCGUGCGUAUUCGAGAAAAUAAAUUGGGUGAAUGGUGCAGGCCGCAAAUGCUAAACAGGCAAACACUUUUUUUUGAGUCAUGAGCGUUUUUAAUAUGUUUUCUUUAAUAUCAGUACAGACACAAGCGCUCAUAUACACGCGCAUACACUCACCCCUAUGAACGCACACACGCACACCCUACCCUUAUGAGCACAUCCGACGAAAACGUCUCCUCCCACUGAAUGCGCAUCGCCGGAAAUCCUGAAAUAAAUUCAGAAAUAAAUGCGAGCACCAGGAUUUGAACCCUGGUGAAAUGAGGAUACCACAGUCCUUCUAACCACCGAGCGCACGCCGCAAAUAUUAAGCCCAACACGCCCUACCGUGAGCUAAAGGUUGCUAAAGAAAGCUGCGAGAGCUAUAUCCGGUUCAAAGCGAGAUUGAAGGAAUUCUCGCCUGAAGGUUCCCUCGAGGAGCUCCUACCUGUAGCUACUGUGCCGGCCUAUAUUUUCUGGAUUUCUUUUCAUUCGUUGGAUUUCAAUUGUGUUCGUUGUGGUUGUUUACUGAGUUGGUUUCCUGGUAUUUUUUGUUUUUUCGUUUCUUUGUGUUUCUUUAUACAUUUUUUUCAACGUUUUCUUCAUUUCUUUCACAGUUCUUAUCGGUUUUCUUUGUUUUUUCAUGGUUUUCAUAUUUUAUUUGUUUUAGUUUACUUUUUGGCGGUUUUCUCUGUUUUUACUCAGUUUUCACUGGUUUUUUCUUCCUUUCAUUAGUUCUUUUUGUUUCUUUAUCGGUUUUAUUGUUUCUUUCUUUCCUUUUCGUUAAUUGGGUUUUCUCGGUUGUACAGAUUCAUGACUAAAAUUUUCUAUAUACAUGUUUCACAUUUUGAAAUACAUGACUAACAUUUUUUGAGUUACAUGUACAUUUUGUACAUUGUAUAUUUUUUUUUGAAAAUUUCCAUGUGUAUGUUUUUUAAAUGUGUGAAUAGUUUUAAAUGGCACAAACAUCUUUUGAAAGCUAUCAACAUUUUUCAACUUAUGCUAACAAAACAUUUACACUGUGUUCAUAUUCUCUGGAUUCGGAUUUUUUACCUAAAUUAAGUUUUGGAAUAUAUUAAUUUAAAAUAUAUUAGAAAAAGUAGACAAAAAAAUAAAAGAAUGAAGAAACGUAAAAAACAGGAACUAACCUGAAAGGUUUUUUUAUAACAUAUACAUAGUACAAUUAGUACAAACACACGUGGAGACUGCUAGACAAAUUGGACGAAGACAUAUGUCCCAAAAAUUAUGCAGCAAGGAUCCCAAGAAAAUAAAAUUUACAAAAGGUUUCCAAGAGAUCUCUGCACACAUCGAAACCCACAGCGGCCUCCACAUUCCAGUGUCACCAAAUCGCUCACUAGAAGAGAAACAUAGCCUCCAACAUCUCAAGAUCCAGAGCAGCAUCAUCGCCAAAAUGGCUUUCAAAAUCGAUGAACAGACUCGCUGCAUGCAGCAAGGCACUUGUCGAUGUGGCAUUGUCGGUUGGGGAAUAUCCCAUGCUGGCCUAGACCGGGAUCCAUCGAUUCCCACCGAUGAAGUCGGGGAAGAACGUUGGAACCGCCGUCGUUGGACCACAAAACCCGUUUCUGGAUCAUCAUGUUGUCCUGACCAAUUGCACCACUGCGAGAGACGGAAGCGACUAACAAGACAAUGAACAAUAGAUCUCACCGUCUGAAAAUAACCGGCAAAGGCUACUGGCUUCUCGAUGUCGUCAUAAAGAUCGUCGUCAUGGAGAGGAAUAAGGCGAAGCAGAUUUAUUCGACGCAGCCCCGUUGUCCUCGCUCCAGCGCCACCAAAAGAAACAUAGAACCUAUCUACAGAACACCAUGGAAGAGGAACGGGAUCCUCCCCCUCCAUCUGCCGCCGGAGCAGCGGACAGAGGGGGCGGAGGCCGUGGCUUCACCGGCGUUCUGCAAGGAAACCGUCGUCGCGCAGAGCCCUUUUCUCUCUCGGGCGGUUGGGAGGAACCGUUAAGUACUCACCUGAAAGUUGGGCCUGCACAUUACUUCGCGGCUGCGAGGGCGCUCCUUCAGCGAGACCCUUCUUCGGUCUCGGUACAAGCGAGGCGUAGGCGCUCCGGACCCCCUCUCAAUCGUUGUUCGCUCCAUCCCGUACCACCGCCGGAGUCGCCGAGAUGACCGGCCUCCAUGACGAGCGCGCCACCAGCGAACCCCGGAGAUCCAAGCGGUCCAGGCCGGAGGCGAAGGCGGCGGAGCCUCCGGCACGCCGGGCCAGGCGCGCCGAGGGCCACGUUCCUCUGCGCAAGCGCGAGUCUCCGAGGUUUGCGCGACCACCCCGCCCCCUGGACUCGGACGCGGAGGGUGCGGUCGCGUCGCCUCCUCCUCCUCCUCCUCCAGCACGCCGCGCCGAGACCCCGGCUCCUCCGCCCAAGCGUCGAGCUGCGAGGGUUGCGCGACCAUCUUCGCACCAUAGGGAUUCGGAGGAUGUGACCAUGGCUCCUCCUCCCGCGCGCCGCGUGAAGGCCCCGGCUCCUCCGCCCAAGACUGAGUGGCAUCGCAUCUCGUACAGACUCCGCAACCGCGUCGUCCAGGAUACCAGCAACCUCAAGCCCGCCCCCAGUCGUUACGACAACCGGUAUCUCAUUCUCUCCACACCCUCUCCCUACUGUGCUGCAUGCUUGGAUUGAUUGAAUUUGUUUGAUGGAUGGAUAUACUCAACUGAAUCCAUUCCAUUCUCCGUGAUUUUGCUAUCCUAUUAUACUGUAUAUGCUCACCACAUGACCCAAGCUUCAGACCCUUCCCUUGAACUUUGUUGAAUAGACCAACAUUAGCAUUUAGUAGUAGUAAACUAGUAAUUGGUAUUGAUUGGAUUGAUAUAGUUUCAACUAUGUAAUCAAGAACUAGAAAUAUGAUCUGUAUAUAUGCUGGUGAUAGAUUCUGUCUUUUAUCUAUCUAUCUAUCUAUCUAUCUGUAUGUAUGCAUUCUUGAACAGUUGUUUUUGUUGUUUCUGCAUACCCUGCAACAAUUCCACAUUUGUGGGAGUAAAAUCUGCUUGGUGCCUAGGAUAUUUAUUAAGCAACAUUCAAUCCUGUAAUACCUUCCUUUAUCUCUGAUCUGUUAUCUCGCCAUCAAGUCCCUGCAUUACCAUACUUUUCUUAUCAUGUCUUCAUCCUUGAGGGUCAUUGGUUAAUGGUUAUGAGUAUGACACAGUUUAAUGUGCUCCUUGCCUGCUAUUUAUUUUUCCAUCAACAAGGUAUAGUAUCUAGGUCCAAAACUGUCUGUCGUUGCAAGUUAUCACCUGCCACUCAGUUCUCCAUUGAGAAGUAUGAGUUGUAACCUCUCACUAGUGAUAGCAUCGAGUUCCAAAAUCGUUUGCCGAUGUAAGUUAUCGCCUUUUCACUUUCUGUUUGUUAUAAUAAAGGUUUAGUUCUUCUGUUUUAUUUGAUAAUACCAUUCAGUGUUAACUCGUAAGUACAUACUCCCUCCAUCCCAACAUUCAUGUCUUAGAUUUGUCUAAAUACGAAUGUAUCUAUUUAGAGCAUCUCCAACAGCCGCGCCAAACUAGCGCCGCGCCGCAAAAGUGGGCGUUUUAGCGCGCGCGCAACCGGUAUAGCUGCUCCAGCGGGCGCGCAAAAACUGUGCGCGCGCCAUAUGCAGUUCAGCGUGCUGGCCGAAACGCAAUCGCGCGCCGCUUAUUUGCUGCGCCCGCUCCUGGGCGCUGGACUCUCGUGCGCUUGCUCUCCCACUUCCACCCCCAUCCGGCCGCGCCGCCGCCGCCGCCCGCGCCCCCCGGCGACCGUUCCGGCGCUUCCCCCGCCUAUCCCUGGGCCGCCGCGCUUCCGCCCUGUUGGGGAACGUAGCAGAAAUUCAAAAUUUUCCUACGUGUCACCAAGAUCUAUCUAUGGAGAGACCAGCAACGAGUAGAAAGAGAGUGCAUCUACAUACCCUUGUAGAUCGCUAAGCGGAAGCGUUCAAGUGAACAGGGUUGAUGGAGUCGUACUCGUCGUGAUUCAAAUCACCGAUGAUCCUAGUGCCGAACGGACGGCACCUCCGCGUUCAACACACGUACAGCCCGGUGACGUCUCCCACGCCUUGAUCCAGCAAGGAGAGAGGGAGAGGUUGAGGAAGACUCCAUCCAACAGCAGCACAACGGCGUGGUGGUGGUGGAGGAGCGUGGCAAUCCAGCAGGGCUUCGCCAAGCACCAUGGGAGAGGAGUAGGAAGAGAGGUAGGGCUGUGCCAGAACUUCGUGUAUAGCUCCCAUGCGCCUCCCCACUAUAUAUAGGGGUGGAGGGGCUGGUUUCUUGCCCUCCAAGUCCAUUGGGGCGUUGGCCAAGGUGGGAGGAAAGAAAUCUCAUUAUUUCCUUCCCCACCGAUUGUUAUCCCCCCUUUUUAGGGAUCUUGAUCUUAUCCCUUCGGGAUAUGAUCUUAUUCCUUCUAAGGGGGGAUCUUGGUGCGCCUUGACCAGGGGUGUGGGGCCUUGCCCCCACUACCCACGUCCAUGUGGGUCCCCCCAUGCAGGUGGGCCCCACUCCGGAACCUUCUAGAACCUUCCCAGUACAAUACCGAAAAAUCCCGAACAUUUUCCGGUGGCCAAAAUAGGACUUCCCAUAUAUAAAUCUUUACCUCCGGACCAUUCCGGAACUCCUCGUGACGUCCGGGAUCUCAUCCGGGACUCUGAACAACAUUCGGUAACCACAUACAAACUUCCUUUAUAACCCUAGCGUCAUCGAACCUUAAGUGUGUAGACCCUACGGGUUCGGGAGACAUGUAGACAUGACCGAGACGUUCUCCGGUCAAUAACCAACAGCGGGAUCUGGAUACCCGUGAUGGCUCCCACAUGUUCCACGAUGAUCUCAUCAGAUGAACCACGAUGUCAAGGACUUAAUCAAUCCCGUAUUCAAUUCCCUUUGUCUAUCGGUAUGUUACUUGCCCGAGAUUCGAUCGUCGGUAUCCAAUACCUUGUUCAAUCUCGUUACCGGCAAGUCACUUUACUCGUUCCGUAACACAUCAUCCCGUGAUCAACUCCUUGGUCACAUUGCGCAUAUGAUGAUGUCCUACCGAGUGGGCCCAGAGAUACCUCUCCGUUUACACGGAGUGACAAAUCCCAGUCUCGAUCCGCAUAAAACAAUAGAUACUUUCGGAGAUACCUGUAGUGCACCUUUAUAGUCACCCAGUUACGUUGUGACGUUUGAUACACCCAAAGCACUCCUACGGUAUCCAGGAGUUACACGCUCUCAUGGUCGAAGGAAGAGAUACUUGACAUUGGCAAAGCUCUAGCAAAUGAACUACACGAUCUUUUGUGCUAGUCUUAGGAUUGGGUCUUGUCCAUCACAUCAUUCUCCUAAUGAUGUGAUCCCGUUAUCAACGACAUCCAAUGUCCAUAGCCAGGAAACCAUGACUAUCUGUUGAUCACAACGAGCUAGUCAACUAGAGGCUCACUAGGGACAUAUUGUGGUCUAUGUAUUCACACGUGUAUUACGAUUUCCGGAUAAUACAGUUAUAGCAUGAAUAAAAGACAAUUAUCAUGAACAAGGAAAUAUAAUAAUAAUACUUUUAUUAUUGCCUCUAGGGCAUAUUUCCAACACGCCCCCCUCCUAGUCCCGCUGGCCCUCACGCGCGCCCGUCGUUCGAGGAACAGCGCCCGAGCGCUCGCUGCCGCACCCGCGCCCGCAAGGUGUUCGGCAAAACGCCUACAAGGUAUGUAUUGCUCAAACUUCAUGAAUUUGGUGCAUGUUUUUAAUUGUAGUUUUUAUAGUAUAGUAUUGAACAUUGUAGAUGAGUUCGUCGUAUGAUUCUUCCGAAGAAGAAUUUGAUAUGGAAGAGGAGGAGGAUCUUGCAAUGAUCCUAGCUAUGCAUAUCAAUAAAAAACCGAAGCACGGUGGUUCGGUUAUGGGUUGGGAGAAAAUUUGGAGAGAUAGGAUUAAUGCUCAUAACUGAUUGAUGAUGAACUAUUUCGUGGAGAAUUCCACAUACCCAGAGUCGUAUUUUCGUCGCCGAUUUAGGAUGAGCACCGACUUGUUCAGGCGCAUUGCAGAAAAACUAGCGAGCCAUGACCGGUUUUUCAGCAAAGGAGGAAUGCCGCCGGAGAUCUCGGGCAUAGCACCUUUCUGAAGGUGACAGCCGCUUUGCGUAUGUUGGCAUACGGUAUCCCGGCUGAUCUAGUUGAUGAUCACUUGGCUAUGGGUGAGAGUCAAGCCAUCAUGUGUGUCAAGCGCUUUGCAGUGGGAAUUGUGCAAGUGUUUGGCGAGGAGUAUUUAAGAUCUCCUAAUGUUGAAGACGUCGCAAGGCUAUUGGCGAUGAACAAAGCUCGUGGCUUUCCUGGCAUGAUUGGCUCAAUAGAUUACAUGCAUUGGAGUUGGAAGAAUUGUCCAAAGACAUGGCAUGGGCAAUUCCACGGCCAAAAAAAGGGAUCCACUAUAAUACUUAAAGCGGUGGCCGAUCAGGAAACUUGGAUUUGGCAUGCAUUCUUUGGAAUGCCUAGAUUUUUGAAUGACAUCAAUGUUGUCAACCGGUUACCACUGAUGAAUAAGAUUGCAAGUGGUGAGUUGCCACCGGUGCAGUUUGUAGCAAAUGGCCGUACGUACAACUAUGGCUAUUAUCUAGCGGAUGGCAUCUAUCCAAAGUGGCAAACCUUCGUGAAGUCGUUGAAAAAGCCGGAAGGUAAGAAAAAUCUUGAUUUCCACAAUGCUCAGGCGGUGGCUAGAAAAGAUGUGGAGAGAGCAUUUGGGAUUUUGCAAGCCCAAUUUGCUAUUGUGAUAGGACCAGCUAGAUUUUGGGAUCAAAAAAUGCUUUGGUACAUCAUGCACGCUUGUGUGAUCAUGCACAACAUGAUCAUUGAGAAUGAACGUGGCCAAGAUUUAGACUACUCACAGUAUGAGCUCUUAGGACAUCCCGUGCGAGUGCGACGGAGGGCUGAAAGGGUAGCCCGUUUUGUUGCCUCCUAUCAGGACAUUCAGCGUCCCGCAACACACAAUGAACUUCAGAAGGAUCUGAUUGAAGAGUGGUGAGCAAGGAAUGGACGACAAAGAGGAUGAUUUCUGCAUUCGAUAUUGUAUUGUUCAUGAACUAUUUGUUGUGUCUAUUGCAGUAUUUGUUGUACUGAACGAUAAACUAUUUGUUUGGGUUGUAAUGAUAACGAAAUUGAACUAUUUAUUAUUGAUUUAUUUUGUUUGUUUGAAUAUUUUUGCUUUUAUUUGAAAUGUAUAUGUGGUUUGUGCGUGCCGUGCGCGCUGUAUUUUUGUGCACUGCUGGAGCGGCGCGCGCACACUGCAUUAUAGCGCGGCUGCUGGAGCCAGCGCUGGCGGCCGCGCUAAACCAGCCGAAGCGCGCGCGCCAUACUAGUUUUUAGCGCGCGGCACGAAGCGCGGCUGUUGGAGAUGCUCUUACAUUUUAGUGUUAGAUACGCAAGAAUUUUGGGACGAAGGGAGUACUAGUUAUACGGAAAACACACAAGCAAGGUAUGUGUAUGAUGUUGACACUUCUGCUCUUUCAGGAUAGAAAUUAAACAUGAUCUAACAUGGCAAACUCCGACGUGUGCACGCGUGGCUUUGGAACACUACAACAACAUGAAUCAGGUUUGCUCUAUUGUACUCAAGUGUAUAAAUAUUGCAUGGUGCUACGUACUUAGGGGCAGAGUAGUCAUUCGACAUUUAGUUCAUCAGAUUGGGACAACUUUUCAGCUUUCUUUACUUUGUCAGUGUGCCGUAUUCCGCCGGUGGAAAUAAGUCAAACUGGAACAAAUAAUCUUGCAAGUGGUUUAGAAUGUAACUAAGCUCGAGACAUGGUGGUCUAGAAUGCUUUUGCACUGUGUAUGCUGUGCCUGCGACAAGUUGGCAUAUGCUGCCCCCUCCCNNNNNNNNNNNNNNNNNNNNNNNNNNNNNNNNNNNNNNNNNNNNNNNNNNNNNNNNNNNNNNNNNNNNNNNNNNNNNNNNNNNNNNNNNNNNNNNNNNNNNNNNNNNNNNNNNNNNNNNNNNNNNNNNNNNNNNNNNNNNNNNNNNNNNNNNNNNNNNNNNNNNNNNNNNNNNNNNNNNNNNNNNNNNNNNNNNNNNNNNNNNNNNNNNNNNNNNNNNNNNNNNNNNNNNNNNNNNNNNNNNNNNNNNNNNNNNNNNNNNNNNNNNNNNNNNNNNNNNNNNNNNNNNNNNNNNNNNNNNNNNNNNNNNNNNNNNNNNNNNNNNNNNNNNNNNNNNNNNNNNNNNNNNNNNNNNNNNNNNNNNNGCAAAGCCCGCGGGUGUCGGCCGCGGCGGGGCCCCUUCAUCCUUUUGCCCUGCGGCGGCUGGCGCAGGCCGGCGGCGGCGGGUGUUACGUCGUGCUGGCGAGGGGCAUGGCGGCGCAACGGCGAGCUUUGGCGGCAGGGUCGCGAGCACGUGGCGGCGGCGUGGUGGGCUUCGCGGGCGUGCGCGCGUCUUGGGCUGGGGCGGCGGCUGGGUCUGGCUCGGCCAGAUCCGCGGCUCAGCGGCCUUUUUGACGGCGCGGGCCAUCUCGUUGGCGGGUCGCGGUGCAUCUGCUGCGGCUCGCGCGGCUGCCGGUGGCCGAUGUGCAAGGCCCGGCGUGGCACCUCCUGUGGUCGUCUCUAGGACGGAUCUGACCGUCUCACGUCCUUGUCGUCAGCCGAGUGUUCGACGUGCUCCUCGCUGAUCUGAUCUGGAGGCCGUGGUGGGGCGUUGUAGGGGGCAACGUGAGGAGGCUGGCUGGAGGGAUGGGUGGUCUGCCCACCCGUCACCGGCGCGGGUGUGUGCCGGUCGAGGUCUCGCACCGCUUCGCCCCCUCCUCUUCUCCCUGGCCUGGUUGCCUCCGGCUCCAUCUGUCGAGGCGUGGCAGCUCCAAUGAUGGUGGGGGUCUGCUGGUGGUGGUGAUUCGUUCCUUUGGGCGGUCGUUGGGGGUGUCGGGUGGCAGGGCGACAGCUCUGCGGUGGGAGCUGCGGUGUUCGUGAGCAGAGCUCGCAGCUCGGGUGCGGACUGGUGACCUUGGUCGCGUGGGCGGCGGGGUGGCUCGCGCUCGGCGACCCGUGGUGAUCGGAGAUGAGAGGUAUACCGGGGUGAAAUCCUUGUCUGACCACGGUCAGACCGACGGUGGCGGCGUCCAAGGGCGUCGUCCCCUUCCUGUAGGCUCCGUCGCGGUCUCUCCUGAUUCUCCGUGUUGCUCCGGAUGAAAAUCUUGAUCUUUGGAUCGGGUGGUGUCGGUGCUCCGGUGUCGUACCCUUCCUGAAGGCACUACCUUGGAGCUCGCAGUUCGUCGGCGGUCAACUAUGUUCUUCACGGUGGCUUGUUCUCGGUGGAGGGCUCCGUCAUCUUCGUAGUGAUGCUUGUUGUACAUCCGUUGUCCGCUUCGAGUUGGCUUAGCUGAUCUCCGGCAUCUUUGUAUCUUGCUCUGUGUGUGUUUGGGUGAUGUGUUGUAUGGUUCGGUUGUAUGAGGGUCAUUGCUUUAUAUAUAAAGCGGGGCGAAAGCCUUUUGUCAGUAUGCUGUGCCUGCAUCUUUUGCAUGAGGCUCAAUUGGUCUGGUUUGGCCCUAUGUACAUGAAAGUGUUGUUAUAGAACAGCCUGCAAGUUCUCUAGACCCUGGUAUCACAAGGUUAUCUUGUAGUCUUCUUGUCUUGAUGUUCUGUAAAUGUUCCCCAGCAAUGUCCCAGACCGUGAUCAUACUCUUGAAUUGCUUCCAAAGUGCGGUGAAGAUUAUGGAACCAGUGUGCAAUGUGUUUUGCCUCUUGACCUGCCCAAGUUCUCCUUUUUUUUAUUAUCCUUUCCCAGUUUGUUUUUCAUGAUAAGAUUAACUUCUUUCUCAGUUAGAUGGCACUUCAUUAUUGAACCCUUGGACUGCCCUCUUAUGCUUGUGAUUUUGUGAAUUCCACGGGCUAAAUCUUGCAGUUCAUAAUGCAGUACCAAGUGCCUAGCUAAUCAUUAAUUCAUAUAUGCACCCUUGGACUGCUCUCUUACGUUUGUGAAUUUGUUAGGAGGACGAGCAUGAGAUGGUUAAAGCAGUGAGCAGUCAUGUCUUUGUCUUCAAUGGUAUCUGGUUCCAUGCAAAUUUCCUUGCUAAGCGAAAAGGAGCCACCACCUGCGUUGAUCUCGUCCCCAAGUACUUCUUUGCUGAGUUGGACAUCGUGGGGACGAAAAAACUAUCUUGUGUUUCAUGUGUUAAGCUUGACCCAGGUAUGUUCAAUAACCCAAGUUUCACUCUAUUUGUUCACACAAAUUUAUCUUGAUGAAUUCAGCGAGUAUGUGGUGUUUUUUUAAUAAAUGAUUUUACACCCGCAGGUGAUCCCAAAAACAUUGGUGGUUGUAGCCUGUGCUAUGAGAAUAUCAUACAUCCUGCUGGCGGUGGAUACCACGGUGCCCAACCUCGAUCUGUUCGACAUGCUCCUGGUGGCCUACAGAUUUCAUUCAAGUUCUGAAUGUUGUAAGUGGUAGAAUCGUCCAUCACCAUGCUAAUAUAAUAUAGGCGGAAGAAGAAGAAAACCAUGUUUAAAUAUGAGCGUCAAACCGUUCCGGUAGAAUCAUGCAUCAUUUUGGUUGUAACAAAGGUUAAAACUCCACUUUGAUGUAUGUCUGAUGUUAUUAAUCUGUUUCAUGUAGUGUAAGAAGGUGUUUGUUACAGUUUGCUUGAAUAUAUACACCUUGUCGCCGCCAGUGGCAACGAUCUAGUGCUGUUGUUGCUGGCAGCAACUUUGGUUACGAGGUUUAGUUUAUGCAUGGCGAAAAGGCGCCUUGGAAUGAUCUUAACAGAACAUUUAGAAAGAAAAAAAAGGGAAAAGAUUCUAUUGAGACAGUUACAAAUUUGAUUGAGUUUCCCCUACUUGAAAGUUUGAAUUCUGUUAUUUCUACUAUAGCAAACGAUAAUUCGAAUUGGUAGACUACCCUCGAAUUAUUUUCAUAAACUGGAGAGUCUUGACCAUAGUAUGAACAACUGGAGACCCUCAUUACGGACAAAAUGGCCGAACUAAGGGUUGAAUCUCCUCGGAUAUAACUUAUUAUUUAAAACCGAUGAUCCAAUAGUCCUCGAGACUCAGGUCGGGCUGAAAGACCGGCCCAAGGAUCGGCAUCCUCCUCCUUGACUUAAAUUAGAUCUGAACUUCCAUCGAAGCCAAACCCUAUUCAGCGUCUUUAGCUCCAAUUAUAGUAGUUUUUGGCAAAUUGGGGCACACACACCCCCUCCACCUAGGGCUCGGCCCAUUUAACUUUUUUUCUCGUUCAAAACAUUUGUCUCACGCGCCAGGUUCCUGUUUGACCGAUCCAAGUAGGGUUUCUUUUCUUACCUUUUUUUCUGGAGUGGUUUUCCUUUGUUUUUUUCAAGGUUUGUAUGGUUAUGUUUUUCAUUUUCUUUUUCAUUGUUCUUCUAAAUUCCUGAAUUUUCUUAAAUGUGGGAAAAAUUAUAAAAAAAUAAUAGAACAUUUUCUCAAAUCCAUGAUCUUUUUGCAAAUUCGCGAACAUUUUUUCAAAUUUGUGAACUUUUUCAAAUCCAUGAGCGUUUUCAAAUAUACUAACUUUUUUCUAAACCCAUGAACCUAUUUUGAACUUGAGUUCAUGAACUUUUUUCAAAUUCACAAACUUUGUUUGAACUCGUGAACAUUUUUGAGUUUGCAAACUUUUGUUCAAAUUGUACGAACUUCUUUUGAACUCAUGAAUGUUCUUCUGUUAAUAAACUUUUUUCAAAUACAUGAAUAGUUUCGAAUCCCCAGACAUUUAUUGAACUCAUGAACUUUUUUGAGUGCGCGAACUUUUUCUAAUCCCAGAAACUUGUUUUGGACUCGUGAAACUUUUCGAGUUCGCAAACUUUUCUCAAAUCCCAUGAAGUUUUAUUUGAAGUCUUGAAUGCUUUCGAUUACACAAACUUUUUUUAAAGCCCACAAACUUUUUUCUAACUCAUGAAUCUUUUUGAGUUUGUGAACUUUUUUCAAAUUCCCGCGAACCUUUUUGAAAUCCAGAAAAAAAAUGUGAACCUUUUUCUAAUUCACGUACUCUUUUAAAUCUGCGAACAUUUUUUUAAAUCAGUAAACUUGUUUUCAAAAGCAUUCACUUUUUCUUUUUCUUUUUAAAAUACAGCUGGAAUGCAGCAGCAAAAUCUAGGGAAAAGGUGUACGUAUUUUUAUAGGUACAAAAAAGUUUACGUACGUGAGAGUUAGAGCGGCAAUUUCACGAAAAAUGUAUGUGAGAGUGAGAGCGGCAAUUUCAGAUAAAAAAAAGAAAAGACGUGUGAGAGCUGAGGGAAUGAGUUGGGCGACCGAGCGCCUCAGAAAGCACUAUUGGGCCACGGCCAGUCUAGCCCGUGUGAGCGCCGGCAUGCGUUUUCGUCUCCUGAAGCACUGAGGAGGGGUCGGGUGUCUCUUCAUAGAACCACGACGUUCAGCUAGCAGGACCUGCAUGGGCCAUCACCAUCGUGCUUCAUUUUGAGUUGUUGCACAUUAAACGACACAGUGUAUGGGUAUGGCAUGUCAAUGCCUGCAGCCCAUCAUACUGAGAAAUUUCUUCAUUCAUUUCCACACCAUAGUACAACAGAUUACAAAUCAAUUUUGGACGGGCAGUUACAUGACAAACACAUUCAUAACAAAAUCCAGAAUAAUGCUACAAGCAAACAUAUGUGAACCUCGCACUAGUAGAAAAUGGGGCAUUUGUCCCGGUUCGUAAGGGCCUUUAGUCCCGGUUCAUGAACCGGGACUAAUGGGUCGUUACUAAUAUCUCCUCCCUUUAGUCCCGGUUCAAACACGAACCGGAACAGAUGGUCCUCCACGUGGCCGGUGCACCAAGCCCAGGCAGGGGGGCCUACCAACCGGGACCAAAAGGCAUCCACGUGUCAGCAUUCCAGUGGCUGGGGUUUUUGUUUUUUUUGAAGGGGGGGUUGGGGGUUUUGGGGGGUUAAUUUAGGUGUUUCAUAUAUUAUGUUAGCUAGCUAAUUAAUAGAGAGAAGUGUCCUCUCUUAUGUCCGUGCUUGGUCGACGCUACGUACUAUAUACAUAGAGAGGCCCUCGACAUGCUAGCUAGUAAGAAAAUGAAGGGAACCAUUGAGUACAGAAGUUCGUCAUGCAUACCGAGAGAAGUGAUCGAUCGACCUCUCCUUCUUCGAGAGAUUGGUCGAACAACAAGUUUUCGUAUCAUGUAUCCAACGCUACUGGCUACAUACAUGUACAAUAUGUAAGAUCUCUUAAUUACAAUCCCCUAGCAAUUGAAAUCAACUUCCACAUGGUAUUCUCUGGCUUUAUUGAUGACGUGGUCAAGAAAGAAUCCCGCCAAUUCCUCUUGAAUUGCUUUCAUGCGAUCUGGUUCUAGGAGUUCAUUCCGCAUCUGCCACGUCUAAUUUGAAGAAGGGGGUUAAUACAUACAUAUAUAUGAAUGAAACUCAACAGAAAUGAUGGUGUAAUAAAAUAAAAUUGUGAAUAUUAUUGUUUACGCACUUCAAAUUGUCUUUCAGAGUAGCCCCGCUUGUUUUGCAAAGUCGCAUUGUGAAUGAACUCGCACACAUAGUAUCCACAGAAAUCAUUCCCUUGUUCCUGCCACAAGCACUUUACGAGAAAUAGAGGUCAAUCAAACUGAUAAUGAAGCAUUAUAAAUGGCAUUGAUGAAUAUAGCUAUAGAAUCAACGGGAGAUGCGCGCAACUAGCUAGCCAGUAGUACUUAUUUUUGGGUACGUAUAUCGCAGCUCCUUCGGUAGUCCCGGAGCUUCUGCGGUGAACUAUUCCAAACCCUGCAAGACAAAGAAAAUAAUCAUUAUUACUUGAGAUAUCAGGAAAUGAACAAAAAGUUACCGAUAUGGUGCGAUAAUGAUCGAUUGAACUUACUUGCUGAGCAAUUCAGUCAUGUCCGCAUAGGUUUCGGGAUCUUUUCGUCUUGAGUCUAAGACGGUUACUAGUCCCCGCUCAAGCUUAAUCUCCAGAAGAACAUAGUGGUACCUGUGCACGCAUGCAUAACUCAUCAAUUACAUUACUAUAACCUCGCUCGAGUAAUAAGGGAAACUGAAUAUGCACACGACAGUAACACUCACUUGCCGUUGUAAGGAAAGAGUAUGGUAUCUUUGUUUUGAUUUUUGAUCAACGAUUGUAGCAAGUUGUCCUCGGCCUCUUUGGAGUGUUUUUUAACCAGAAAUUCAUCUAUGAUAUUUGUGUUAAUGAACCCAAUAUCAUAAAUUUCUUGUUUUUUGCACUCGACGAUCUUCAAUCUGCAUAAUAUAUUGAGGAUAAUUAAUUAUAAAUACAUGCAAUGAAAGAGCCGAGCUAUAUAUAGAGACUUAAUGACAGAAAUAGUACUUACAUGCAGUAGCAAAAGACCGUUAAUUUAUCGAGGGCCUUUUGAUUGAAGAACGCGAAGAACUCAUCAAAUGGAACACACAACAGAUCACUUGAAACGAGGUCUUGCUCCUCUUUAAUGUUCAGAUACAAACUAUUCGUCCCCUCAGACUCUCUGCAGGUUUUCCUGUACCAAUUAUGGAAUCUUCGCAUCAUCGUUGUUAGAGAUUUUUCAUCUUUGACGAGAGGCUUCCCGUACUCGUAUCUGUGUUCGUCCACCUCCACGAAACAGGAAGUUGAUCGUCAGGCAGGUAAUCUUGUAGAUUGCCAUAACCGGUCACCAUCCCCGGAGCAUUAGCGACGAUGUUACCGCUAGACACAUUGAGCGGGGGGCACGAUUGGUUUGCUUGUUCGCCGAGCUGGUCCAUUUUUUCGCAGCUGCUCGUUCUCUUGACCUUAGAUGUCUGACAGUACUUCCCGACCGCUCCGCUUGGAGAUAUGUCUGUUCAGUAAUGCGCUCAUAGUUGGUUCUCGGCGGAGACUUUGCCGGUUUCCUCUGGGCAUCGAGAGUGCGCUUUGCUUUCACUGGAUCUACCUUCUCAUCCGAAGGUGGUUGUCUCUUUGCUUUCACCCCUUCAAAGAACUCCUUCACGUGGGUCCGCACGAUCGUAUCGUUUUCCUCCUUGGUCCUCUCGUACGGUAACUUCUCUAGAGGCUUGAGAGGUGGACCGUAUCUGUAUUACCUCCCGCCUCUGGUGUGCUGCUAGACGCCGGAGCAGACGGAGCGGCUAUGGCGUCUGUCUUCUUUUGUGCUUGCUUACGAGGCGGAGGAGAAGGACUACGACGCGCCGGAGCAGCCGGGGCGGCGGCAGGUCUCUUCCGCCCUUGCUGGCGAGGCGGAGAAGGAGGAGGCUGCUAGCUGAUCGGGAGCGCUGGCGCAGGCGGAGAAGGAGGCGGAGUGCCGCCACGCGCCGGAGAAGGAGGCGGAGUGCCGCCACGCGUGCCCUGAUCGUCACUCACCGGAGGAGGAGGCAGUGGAGGAGGCGGAGUGCCCUGACUCGCCGGAGGAGAAGGAGGAGGCGGAGGCGUCCAGUUCGGAAGGUUGAUGAGCUCCUUCCACCAUAGGCAUGGAGUCUUCAGAGCAGAACCCAGCCUAGUCUCCCCUUCACCGGUAGGGUGGUCAAGCAGGAGUUCCUCAAAUCCCUCCGUUAUUUCAUCCACCAUCACCCUAGCAUAUCCUUCUGGAAUCGGCCGGCAGUGAUAAGUUGCGCCGGGUCCAGUAGGAUAAACAGAGCCAACAGCCGCCUUGACCUUAAAAUUCAUCCAUCGCGUCAUAAUGUGGCAAUUUUGAUACUCCGUGAUAGCAUCCACGGGAUAGCUAGCAGGAUCCGUCAAGACAUGCUUCGGCUGAAGCAGCUCGGUGGAAGCCACGCUGCUUUUCCGCUGAGAUGGCGGGGUAGCUUCGGCGGAAGCUUCGGCAGGUCGUUUGCUGCGAUCUGCUGCUUCUCGUUCCUCUUCUCGUUCCUCUAGCCCCAUUACCCUUUCGUGCAGCUCCUGCAGUUGGCCCUGCUCCAGUUUCUUCCUCCUCUCGUGGGUUUUGUAAUCCCCUGCGUCCGGAAAACCAACCUUCCACGGAAUGGAGCCUGGCGUGCCUCAUGUCCGUCCAGGGUGCUCAGGAUUCCCGAGGGCCAUUGUGAGCUCGUCCUCCCCCUGUCUGGAACGAACGUCCCUUGCUGCGCUGCAUUGAUAUAUUGUCGAAGGUUCUUGACUAGUAUUUGUAGUUGCUCGUCCGUCCAACGGCACUUCCCUGAUACAGGGUCCAAGGUUCCGCCAGCCCCGAAGAACCAAGUCCGGCAACGGUCUGGCCAGUACAUUGUCUCUGGUUCGAUCCCUUUUUCAAGCAGAUCAUUCUCAGCCUUGGACCACUUAGGCCGGGCUUUGAGGUAGCCACCUGACCCCGUGCGAUGGUGAAGCUUCUUCUUCGCAGCAUUUUUCUUGUUUGUCGCCGACAUCUUCUUACUCUUUUCCGAUGUCUUGUGGGCCACAAAUGCGGGCCAGUGAUCUUUGAUCUUCUCAUAUUUGCCGAUGAAUUCUGGUGUCUAUUUUUUGUCGACAAACUUGUUCAGCUCUUUCCUCCACCUCCUGAAUAGGGUUGCCAUCUUCUUAAGAGCACAAGACUUGAUUAAUUACUCUUUAACUGGCUUCUCCGGAUCCUCCUCUGGCGAUAGGGUGAAAUUUGCCUUCAGCUGAGUCCAAAGAUCUUCUUUCUGCAUAUCAUUGACAUAAGACACCUUAGGGUCUUCCUCCUUAGGCUUAUACCAUUGCUGGAUGCUGAUCGGGAUCUUGUCCCUAACAAGAACCCCGCACUAAGAAGAAAAUGCGUUCUUUGUCCGGAUGGGUUCAAUCGGUUCGCCGUCGGGCGCGAUUUCUCUGAUCUCAAACCUUUCAUCCGAGCUCAACUUUUUCUUUGGGCCUCGUCUCCUUACCGAAGUUGUGCUCGAUCCGAAGGGCUAGAAAUUAAAAGGAAGAAAGACGAGAGUAAUUAAUAUGUGUACAUAUACCAAAACAAUGGAUGCAUCAAUUAACUAGUCAGCACGGGCUUAACUAAUAUAUAUAUAUACUUGGCCGGACUCGGUUCGGUCACCGGAGCAGUCAGCACGGUCUCCUUCUUGUACCUCCAUUGUGUCACCGGAGCCAUCAUGAACAUAGCCCUCUUCUUGUACCGGCAUUAAUGGGCCGAAGCCAUCAUGAACAUAGCCCUCUUCUUCACCCAGUCCUUCCUGACCAUCGGUGCCAUUGAGAAAUGACGCAACUUCAUCACUUCCUUGUGCGAUUAUGUCCCCCAACAUCGCUUAUGUUGCUUCGCCUCAGGAGUGCUCCAUAGUUUCUGCAAAUAUUUACAACAUGUCAAUUAUUAUUCAAACAUGGUACAGAUGGAUAUAUAUAUAUAUUAGUGGCAAACAUAGAACUAGCUAGCUAAUCACAAUAAAUAAUCAUGUGAGUGGCCUCGACGCUGCUUCUCUAGGGUUUGGGGUCGCCUCGACACAACGCUUCAAGGGUUUGGGGUGGCCUCGACGACAACGCUCUUUUAACUUGGUAAAUUUGGGUGGCCUCGAGAGAGUUAAUUUGUCGGGUAGGGGCGCGGCGGGAGGGGGUAGGAGACCAACAUCGUUUUCUCUCUAGGGUUUGGGUGUCCUCGAGAGUUUUGGUCGAGCGAGAGGGCCGAGGGGGGUGCUGCCGUUGUAUAAGUUAUCACGGUCGAGAGGGGGUAUAUAUAUCGAUCGCCCCUCAUGUCGAAGUUAUCUCGAGGGGGUUAUAUCGACAACGACGCGACAUACAUAUACAUGGAAAAAUAAUGUUAUCGGGGAGGGGGUAUCGGUAUUUAUUUCUUCUCUUUUUCUUCUUUUUUCCUCUUCUUAUUUAUUUCUUCUCUUCUUCCUCUCCUCUUCUUCUCCUUUCUUCCUCUUCUUAUUUUCCCUUUUCCUCUCAUUCUUUUUCUUCUUCUUCUUCCUUCUUCCUUCUUCCUUUUUUCUUCCUUUUCCUUAUUUUACUUUCUCCUCUACACUAACCUAAAAUGCACUAACCUAAAAUCGAUAUCUACUAACAACCUAAAUAAAAAAUUAAUACAUAUAUGAAAAAACAUACAUAAACAAAAAAAAUGCUAUGAACAUUAUAUUCAAACAUACAUAUAUAGCCACAUCCAUUCAUCAUAUAUAUAGCUAGCACAUACAUAUAUACAUUAUAUAUAUGAACAGAAUGCAAUGAACAAAAAAAAUACACUUAUGAAAAAAAUGCUAUGGAAAUUNNNNNNNNNNNNNNNNNNNNNNNNNNNNNNNNNNNNNNNNNNNNNNNNNNNNNNNNNNNNNNNNNNNNNNNNNNNNNNNNNNNNNNNNNNNNNNNNNNNNNNNNNNNNNNNNNNNNNNNNNNNNNNNNNNNNNNNNNNNNNNNNNNNNNNNNNNNNNNNNNNNNNNNNNNNNNNNNNNNNNNNNNNNNNNNNNNNNNNNNNNNNNNNNNNNNNNNNNNNNNNNNNNNNNNNNNNNNNNNNNNNNNNNNNNNNNNNNNNNNNNNNNNNNNNNNNNNNNNNNNNNNNNNNNNNNNNNNNNNNNNNNNNNNNNNNNNNNNNNNNNNNNNNNNNNNNNNNNNNNNNNNNNNNNNNNNNNNNNNNNNNNNNNNNNNNNNNNNNNNNNNNNNNNNNNNNNNNNNNNNNNNNNNNNNNNNNNNNNNNNNNNNNNNNNNNNNNNNNNNNNNNNNNNNNNNNNNNNNNNNNNNNNNNNNNNNNNNNNNNNNNNNNNNNNNNNNNNNNNNNNNNNNNNNNNNNNNNNNNNNNNNNNNNNNNNNNNNNNNNNNNNNNNNNNNNNNNNNNNNNNNNNNNNNNNNNNNNNNNNNNNNNNNNNNNNNNNNNNNNNNNNNNNNNNNNNNNNNNNNNNNNNNNNNNNNNNNNNNNNNNNNNNNNNNNNNNNNNNNNNNNNNNNNNNNNNNNNNNNNNNNNNNNNNNNNNNNNNNNNNNNNUGCCACCAACCGGGACCAAAGGCCCCUGUGCUGCCCACAUCGGGGCCAAAGUUUAGUCCCACCUCGCUAGUUGAGAGGGGCGUGCAGUGGUUUAUAAGCCCCACUGUCGCACCCCUCUCGAUCUCCUCUCCAUCGUAGGCUUGCGGGCCUAUUUGCUACUGCUUUGCCUGAUGGGCCUUCUGGACCUACUGCGGGCCUGAAUCCUGGUCCAUGGUAGGGUUUCUAGUCGUAUUUAGGCCGUGGCCCAGUAGGAGGCAUUUUUUUUUGUUUUCUUUACUUAUUGUUGCUAUUUUUAUUUUUUUUCCAGUUUUUUUGUUUUAUUUUCUGCAUUAUUUAUUUUCUUUUGUUUUUUGCUUUAUUUUUUAAUUCUUUUUUGCUUUUAGUUUUAGGAAAAUUAUAAACUUUCUGUUAGUGCCAUUAGUUUUCAAAUUUGAAAACACUUUUUCUGUUUUUUUGUUUUCUUUCUUGCUUUAUUUAUUUUAUUUUGUUUCUACUUACAACAAAAUACUUAUUGUUGCUAUUUUUAAUUAUUACGAGGGCCAAACCAUAAGACAUUAAAGCAUUUCAAAUGAACUCUGGAAAAGUUGAAAGUUGGCAUGGUAUCAUAAAUUCACCCACAUAGCAUGUGCAUGUACAAAACGGACAAUGGUAUCAUACUCGUCUGUUACAAAGUUGGCAUGGUAUCAUCAUAAUAGUUCCGAGAGAAAGUCUUCACUUUUUCUUCGCUUGUGUCAUUUGCUUAUUGCGCCGUAACCAUGGAUAAUCUUCAUCGUUUAUCAGGAUGCUGGGGUCAGCCUUGACUUUGAAGGGAGGAAUUUCAUGAAACUUUUCAUAAUCUUCAGACAUGUCUGUCUUGUCCUCCACUCCCACGAUGUCCCUUUUUCCUGAAAGAACUAUGUGGCGCUUUGGCUCAUCGUAUGAUGUAUUCGCUUCCUUAUCUUUUCUCUUUCUCGGUCUGGUAGACAUGUCCUUCACAUAGAUAACCUGUGCCACAUCUUUGGCUAGGAUGAACUGUUCGUCAGUGUACCCAAGAUUUUCCAGAUCCACUGUUGUCAUUCCAUACUGUGGGUCUACCUGUACCCCGCCUCCUGACAGAUUGACCCAUUUGCACUUAAACAAAGGGACCUUAAAAUCAUGUCCGUAGUCAAGUUCCCAUAUAUCCACUAUGUAACCAUAAUAUGUGUCCUUUCCCCUCUCGGUUGUUGCAUCAAAGCGGGCACCGCUGUUUUGGUUGGUGCUCUUUUGAUCUUGGUCAAUUGUGUAAAAUGUAUUCCCAUUUAUCUCGUAUCUUUUCCAAAUCGUAACAGUCGAAGAUGGUCCCCUGGACAACAAGUACAGCUCAUCACAAACAGUGUUGUCACCUCUGAGACGUGCUUCCAACCAACUGCUGAAAGUCCUGAUGUGUUCACAUGUAAUCCAGUCGUCGCACUGCUCCGGGUGUUUGGAGCGCAGACUGUUCUUGUGUUCAUCGACAUAUGGGGUCACCAAGGUAGAGUUCUGUAGAACUGUGUGGUGUGCUUGAGACCAAGAAUAUCCGUCCCUGCAUAUUAUUGAGUCCCUUUCAAGCGUGCCUUUUCCAGUCAGUCUCCCCUCAUACCGCGAUUUAGGGAGACCUAUCUUCUUAAGGCCAGGAAUGAAGUCAACACAAAACCCGAUAACAUCCUCUGUUUGAUGGCCCAUGGAGAUGCUUCCUUCUGGCCUAGCGUGGUUACGGACAUAUUUCUUUAGGACUCCCAGGAACCUCUCAAAGGGGUACAUAUUGUGUAGAAACACGGGGCCCAGAAUAACAAUCUCGUCGACUAGAUGAACUAGGACGUGCGUCAUGAUAUUGAAGAAAGAUGGUGGGAACACCAGCUCGAAACUGACAAGACAUUGCACCACAUCACUCCUUAGCCUUGGUAUGAUUUCUGGAUCGGUCACCUUCUCAGAGAUUGCAUUGAGGAAUGCACAUAGCUUCACAAUGGUUAAUCAGACUUUUUCCGGUAGAAGCCCCCUCAAUGCAACCGGAAACAGUUGCGUCAUAAUCAAGUGGCAGUCAUGAGACUUUAGGUUCUGGAACUUUUUCUCUGCCAUAUUUAUUAUUCCCUUUAUAUUCGACGAGAAGCCAGUCGUGACCUUCAUACUAAGCAAGCAUUCAAAGAAGAUUUCCUUCUCUUCUUUGGUAAGAGAAUAGCUAGCAGGACCUUCAUACUGCUUUGGAGGCAUGCCGUCUUUUUCGUGCAAACGUUGCAGGUCCUCCCGUGCCUCAGCUAUAUCUUUUGUCUUCCCAUACACGCCCAAGAAGCCUAGCAGGUUCAUGCAAAGGUUCUUCGUCACGUGCAUCACGUCGAUCGAAGAGCGGACCUCUAGGUCUUUCCAGUAGGGUAGGUCCCAAAAUAUAGAUUUUUUCUUCCACAUGGGUGCGUGUCCCCCAGCGUCACUCGGAACAGCUAGUCCACCGGGACCCUUUCCAAAGAUUACGUGUAAAUCAUUGACCAUAGCAAGUACGUGAUCACCGGUACGCAUGGCGGGCUUCUUCCGGUGAUCUGCCUCGCCUUUGAAAUGCUUGCCUUUCUUUCGACAUUGAUGGUUGGUCGGAAGAAACCGACGAUGGCCUAGGUACUCAUUCUUCCUGCAGCUUCCCAGGCAUAUACUAUCGAUGUCAAGUAAACAGUGCAUGCAUGCGUGGUAUCCCUUGUUUGUCUGUCCUGAAAGGUUACUGAGAGCGGGCCAAUCGUUGAUGGUCACGAACAACAACUCCUUUAGGUCAAAUUCCUCCUGUUUGCGCUCAUCCCACGUACGUACACCGUUUCCAUUCCACAGCUGUAAAAAUUCUUCAACUAAUGGCCUUAGGUACACAUCAAUGUCGUUGCCGGGUUGCUUAGGGCCUUGGAUGAGAACUGGCAUCAUAAUGAACUUCCGCUUCAUGCACAUCCAAGGAGGAAGGUUAUACAUACAUAGAGUCACAGGCCAGGUGCUGUGAUUGCUGCUCUGCUCCCAGAAAGGAUUAACGCCAUUCGCGCUUAAAGCAAACCAUACGUUCCUUGGGUCACUUGCAAACUCAUCCCAGUACUUUCUCUCGAUUUUUCUCCACUGCGACCUGUCAGCGGGUGCUCUCAACUUCCCGUCUUUCUUACGGUCCUCACUGUGCCAUCGCAUCAACUUGGCAUGCUCUCCAUUUCUGAACAGAUGUUUCAACCGUGGUAUUAUAGGAGCAUACCACAUCACCUUCGCAGGAACCCUCUUCCUGGGGGGCUCACCGUCAACAUCUCCAGGGUCAUCUUGUCUGAUCUUAUACCGUAAUGCACCGCAUAUCGGGCAUACGUUCAGAUCCUUGUACGCACCGCGGUAGAGGAUGCAGUCAUUAGGGCAUGCAUGUAUCUUCUGCACCUCCAAUCCUAGAGGGCAUAUGACCUUCUUUGUUGCGUAUGUACUGUCGGGCAAUUCGUUAUCCUUUGGAAGCUUCUUCUUCAAUAUUUUCAGUAGCUUCUCAAAUCCUUUGUCAGGCACAACAUUCUCUGCCUUCCACUACAGCAAUUCCAGUACGGUACCGAGCUUUGUGUUGCCAUCUUUGCAAUUGGGGUACAACCCUUUUUUGUGGUCCUCUAACAUGCGAUCGAACUUCAGCUUCUCCUUUUGACUUUCGCAUUGCGUCCUUGCAUUGACAAUGACCCGGCGGAGAUCAUCAUCAUCGGGAACAUCGUCUGGUUCCUCUUGAUCUUCAGCAGCUUCGCCCGUUGCAGCAUCAUCGUGCACAUUGUCUGGUUCCUCUUGAUGUUCAGUAGCAUCACCGUAUUCAGGGGGCACAUAGUUGUCAUCGUACUCUUCUUCUUCACCGUCUUCCAUCAUAACCCCUAUUUCUCCGUGCCUCGUCCAAACAUUAUAGUGUGGCAUGAAACCCUUGUAAAGCAGGUGGGUGUGAAGGAUUUUCCGGUCAGAGUAAGACUUCGUAUUCCCACAUAUAGGGCAUGGACAACACAUAAAACCAUUCUGCUUGUUUGCCUCAGCCACUUCGAGAAAAUCAUGCACGCCCUUAAUGUACUCGGAGGUGUGUCUUGAACCGUACAUCCAUUGCCGGUUCAUCUGCGUGCAUUACAGAACAUCAUGAAUAGAUAAUUAAGUGACCAAAUUAAUAGAAGUUCAUCAUCACGUUAAAACCAAAGUACAUACAUAGUUCUCAUCUAACAACAUAAAGCUCUGCAGAGCAUCUAAAUUAAUUGAACCAUACAUUGAAACUAUGUAAAACAUUUCAAUGCGAAAACAAAUGCGAUAAUCGCAACCAAUGUAACAACUGAUCUAACGGCAUAAUGAUACCAAGUCUCGGUAUGAAUGGCAUAUUUUCUAAUCUUUCUAAUCUUCAAGCGCAUUGCAUCCAUCUUGAUCUUGUGAUCAUCGACGACAUCCGCAACAUGCAACUCCAAUAUCAUCUUCUCCUGCUCAAUUUUUCUUAUUUUUUCCUUCAACAAAUUGUUUUCUGCUUCAACUAAAUUUAACCUCUUGACAAUAGGGUCGUUGGAAUUUUCGGUUCAACAACCUCCUAGAUAAAUAAAAUCUAUGUCACGUUGGUCGGCAUAAUUGUCAUAAACAAUAAAUGAACCAAUAGUUAUGAAAAGAUAAUAUAUACCACAUCCGAAUCAUAGACAGGACGAGGGCCGACGGGGGCUGGUACCAAAACCAUCGCACUAUAUAAGAUGCAAUAAUAAAAGUAAGAAAAUUAUACAAGUAUCUAUAUAAACAUACAAGUAAGAAUUUUUUCUUUCUUUCAGAAAGAAGAUAAGAACAAGAGGCUCACCACGGUGGUGCCGACGACGAGAUCGGCGCGGGCGAUCGACGGCGGUGAAGACGGGGACGGGACGUGACGGACCGCUAAACCUAGACAAAUAUUGAGGAAAAUGGAGCUUGGAGGUCGAGCUUGGAGAGGAGAAAGCUUAAGUAGUGUGGCUCGGGCAUUCCAUCGAAUACCUCGUGUGCAUAGGAGGUGAGCUAGAGCACCACAAAGCUCUCUCCUCGCCGGCCACGAAAAACAGAGCAGUGGGAGUGCUCUGCUCGCGGGCAAGGGGUAUAUAUAGGCAAUUAAUUGGUCUCGCUUCGUGGCUUGAACCGGGACUAAAGGGAAGCCUUUGGUCCCGGUUCAGGCCACCAACCGAGACCAAUGGUGGUGGGCCAGGAGCGAGUCACAUUGGUCCCGAUUCGUCCCACCAACCGGGACCAAAAGGUCCAGGCGAACCAGGAUCAAUGGCCCACGUGGCCCGGCCGGCCCCCAGGGCUCACGAACCGGGUCAAAUGCUCCCAUUGGUCCCGGUUCUGGAUUGAACCGGGACUAAUGGGCUGACCUGGCCUGAACCAUUGCCCCCUUUUCUACUAGUGUCAAGCUGCCUUCACAAAAACCGACAAUGCUUCUGCUUACUACAGGAACAGAGAAACAUACUCUUUGUCUAAACUCAGAAACUGAAAGAUAUCUCGAGACCAUUGGGGGCAGGUCAAUCACUGUGAGGCUGACCAACAUUAUACGCACCAACAGCAGGAUGAAGGAUUUUCUCUGGGCACACUCCGCAGCCACCAAACUUUUUUGACUCAACUACACAUGUAAAUAAAGACAUAAACGUAAGCACCACAAAUCCCCAAACAAUUAUUAAAAAAAAAUUGCAAGCUAUGAGUGAAAAACUUCUAUCAAGGAGCACACAUGAAUCGAUCUUCAUGUAUGAAGCAUAGGACAAGUCGUUUCGAUCAAUCUUUAGCUUAGUAAAGAAGUACUUGGGCAACACAGUUGUUGGCACCUUUGCGCCUAGUAAGGAAGUGCGCGUGCAGCCACAUACCACAGAACACAAACGGAUAGACGUCCACUCCCUUAACUAGCUCUAACCGGCAAUGGUUUUUCUUUAUUUGUACUAAACUUUUGUAUUUCAACAUAACUUUUUAUGUGAAAUAUAUAUUAUUUUUUAACAAUAAGUUUCUUAUUCACGUGUGGUUCACUGUAUUGUCUAAUAUUUUUUUUCUGUUAUAACCAUGUAAGUGUGUUCUACAUAUUAAGAUACCUUAUAUUAGUAUAUGAUUCUUUUGUUCGCGGUUAUAAGUACAAUUUUUAUGAUAAACUCUAAGUGCACCCGGUCAUACCAAUACUUAAGUUUUCUAAUUUAGUUUGAAAUAAAAAUUGCGCUGAGUUUCACCAUAAAUACAAGCAAAGCAAGAAAAAUCACAAUCCCCCACACAUGAAUAUAUGCCACUUAAUGAAUUGUGACAUGUUUAUAUAUGGUUGUAUUUGUAGUGUCCUUAACUACAUCGGGUGUGUUUGAAAACAAAAGAGUAACAAAUACGUUGAGAGUGGUCUCUAGAGUGUUAGGCUGUCAACCGAGAUACUAUUAAACAAGGGUGUGGAAGGUUCAAAAAGAGGUAUGUCGAAUGUGGAAGUGUUUGCUUCUUGGUUCUUCCAUGGACACCUAUGUCGUUCCUCUUCACAGGCAUAUAACAACCGGCCAAUGGCCCAUCAAUACACAUUUAUUGUUGUAUUCCUAUUUUAUUUUUUUCUUAUCAAGUUCACAAGAUUAGUUAAAGCUCUUUACAGGAAAAGCUCCCAGAAUUAACAAUAAUAGUAAUAAUUGAACCUAGCGACCUUGAAAAUGUAUGUGGUCUUACUUCUUUUAGAAUCUUCAAAUAAUAUGCAUGUUAGAGCAUCUCCAAUCAUCCCAGUCGUUUAGCCUGCAUGAGAUUUAUUCCCAAUCCAAAGGUUGGCAUCCUAUAUACCUAAAUAGUUGAUCCCAACUAACUUCACUUCUCUCAGCAUGCAACUAUGUCACCUCAUCAUGCCAUCAUGCAUGACCUAAAUGAUUGAUCCUCCAGUAUCUUUAAUUCUUUUAACAUGCAAAUAUGCCACAUCACGCCAUCAUGCAUGCAUGAGAAAAGACCCAAAUGAAAAUGCACCAUGCAUACUACUCAUAUUUAAUAGAUAUUCUACAACUAUAGAAUAAGGAAAUAUAAUACUAGAUAUUAGUUUCAAUUCACAUAUUGUUAGUUCAAAUAUGAAUGCUUCAUACAAAUUUUCUUGAGAGAAAACACCCAAGGGCAUCUUAGAGCCGAGAAUUAUCAAGGAAAACAUAGUCAGCACGAUGGGAAGACAAAUGGACGCAGAAUGACCAGUAAACAAUAAAAUUACAUUAAAAACCAUACUAGCAUUCUUCUUCCUCUGAUUGUAUGCCGCCCGCCGGAGAUUGAAAAUUGCACUGAACUAAUAGUAAAGGAAAGGGACACAUGCAAGCACUCUUGCCAUACCAGGCUUUAAAGGCCGCAAUAGCCAAUUGUUCCUUGAAACCAUAUUUAGAAAUUGCUGAAGAAACAUCGGCUAGAGGAAAUAUGUAGUUCGAGGGGGGGAAUUCCCACGGUUGGGAGGUUUAAUCGUAGCUAGGGGAAUAUGUAACAACGGUCUUCACCUAGUCUUCUCUCCUCUACAUUAGUUGGUAAAGAUAGGAUCUAAACCUCUCUUGCAUCUUGAUAGUGAUCCUGUGCAUGUACGUAGGUACGAGUAAAAGAAUAUUCUUUGUACUAUGUUCCCUAACAAUAGCCAGCCAAUUAAUCUCCUUGAUAAGACACACCAACUGCCAAAAUCCGAAGAAUGGCAACAGAUCUGGCAACACAAACUUUUGUAUGCUCUUUGUCAAUGCCGGAUCAGACAUCGCCGAGGUAGGUAGAUGUUAAAGAGACCUUAUUCCAACACGUCAUUGUUGCCGUCACAACCUCGUCGAUGCCGCUAUGAAAACAAAACAUAAAGAAAAGAAAAAUGAGACAGAAGGGUCCCACUCCUCUUGUCACCAUCGAGGUCGCUGGAUGGAGGAGAGGAGGGGGACCGAGGCGGCGACAUGGAGAAGACCUUUGGUGCUGGCGGCUAGGGUUGGCAAUAGGAGGUGGGCAAAAAAGCUUCGUCCUUCUUACCUCUCGAGAAGUAAGAGUUUUAAAUUUAAGUGAAUUCUCAAUGCUUAUUAUUUGCCCAAGUGUCCUUAAAAUGGUACCACCUCCGUCCAGAAUUACUUGUCGCUCAUGUAUCUAGCACUAAAAUACGACUAGAUACAUCCAUUUGAGCAACAAGUGCAUUGGACGUGGCUUAAAGUUUUUUUUUGCGGUAUUGAUUGCCGACAAAGAUAGUUUGACAGUACUAUUUCGAAGACGAAAUUAACAACCACAAGAUACUAUUUUCUUAGACUUAGCUCCACCUGGUAUAGUUGCUAGUACUACUUUGAGAAUUGCUUUAUUCUUAUGGUUAUUUGCAUAUUAUUCUACAUCGACACAUUCAUGGAGAAACAAGCAGUGAUUUCAAAUCCAGAGGUGCCGAUGCAACAUCGUCUGGAAAAAACGAGUCCAACAAAGGAACCCCGUAUGCCACUUGGGUCAGAUAAAGAAAGAACAAUGCUAUUCUUAUAAAAAAUAAAACCGUACGCAGUAGUUCAAUGUGCUGUCAGUUAUUCUUCAGACGCCAAUGCGACCCUACCAAUGGGUUAUCCCCCAAUUCUCUAGUGCUACAUCAUUACAUCAGGCAUUGCAAAAGCAGAAUAGCUAAUGACUUACACUGCAGAAUGCAUUAUAGACAUGAAAUGCAUCGUCGUCACGGCAUAGGUGUUCGGCGACAACCAACCAAACCAAAGACAAAACAAAUAAUCUACUGCGGGGAACAAGCUCUGAACUCCCAGUUUUAACAAGGGUUUGGGGCUCAUCUCCUCGGGACACAUCUCUGAUAGUCAUCUUACUGUACAGGCUGACGAGCGUCCACCUUCUCACGCUCAACCUCCUGCAGCCGUUCGUACGCAUUAUCUCUUCAAUCAUCUGGAGCUCAGUCUUCAUGAUAUGGGCUUUCUCCAUGACCUUCAAUCAUUAAAGUGCUAUCUCAGCCUUCACUAGUAGCUGACUCAUCAAAGUCCAGUUUCAGACUUCACUAUCUGAUUUAACAACUAACCUGCAUAAACUAGAAAAUCCUUCUGCUACCAUAUAGUAACAGACGCAGAUUUUAACACUCAAACACUCAGAAACCAAAUGAUAUCUGUAGACCAGUGGGAGCAGGCUGAAGACGUCGUUCAGGCCGGGCACCAAUGUAGCCACCACCAGCGGGAUGGACAAAUGUUGCCGGGCACACUCCACAUCCGCCAAAGUUCUUCCAGUCAACUACAGGUGUGUAUAAUUAAGGAAAUAAAUACAAUUAGCACCACAACAAAGCCUUAAAGAAUUUAUCAAAAUAAAUUUUCAAGCUACACAAGUUAGCACACCUGAGUCAAACUUGGAGCAUGAAACGCACGAGAGACCAUCUGCAUCGAUUGUCAGCUCAGCAAAGAAGUACUUGGGAACAAGAUCAUCACAGCUGCUACUGGCACCUUUACGCCUAGCAAGAAAAUUUGCAUGCAGCCACGGACCACAGUAGCAAAAGCUUUUGACGCCCACUGCGUCAACCAGCUCAUGCCCAUCCCCCUAAAAUAUUAUAACAAACAAACAUAAGAGGGUGCUCACAAGAUGGAUAUAUUUGUAAAUGCUGAAUGACCACACGGUCACAAAGUGGUACACUAUGCACUGUUUAUAAACUCCAGUAAGAUCAGAACCUGAUUCAUGUCGUUGUAGCGUUCCAAACCCUUGCGCGCACAUGCUGGGGCGUUCCAAAGUUCAGCUCGCUUAAGUUGCUUCUUGGAUAAGCGUGGCUGAUCCAGCUUAAUUUCCCUGAAGAGCACAAGCGUCAACAUCACGCAUAUUUCGUGAUUUCAAAUGUCCAUCAAUUAACAACUAGUAUGAUUCAAUAAAUACUGAACGCUAUUGUCACACUGAAGAAAAUCUGACAGAAAGGAAUACAAGCGCCAGGUGAAAAAAAAAA